UGUUGUAAACAAAAAUUGCCCUUUUCCCUUAUGGGGUAUCCAAGACCCCAUAUAGAGUCCUUAUGUAGGUUCUCUGUCGGUAGGAGAGAAUAACAGAGGCCAACCACAGAAUAUUGAGAAGCAAAGCAGCUAGUAAGCUUGAUCUUUAUUGAUCUGUUGCAACAGGGUGCUCCCCUCACCCGCAGGAGAGAGGAGGAACCCAGAAAAAUGGUGUGCAAGGCCUUAUAAAAACUUUUGAAAUUGCCACCCUGUAGAUCAAGACCAACCCCAGAAACAUCAUACAUACAUCACAGAAGGGGUGUAACCUAAGACCACCCCUCAGAUACAUCACACCUACAUCACAAAAAAGGCGGUCUAAAACAGAAAUUUUGAAUGUUGUUUUUCUCCUGUCCUUGUUUAUCUCCUGUCUGGCAGGUUACUUGAUUGGAUUGCCUGGGGAGCCUGGCCAGUCUUUCGUAAUGAUAAAUACUUAGUUCCUGGGCCAGGUCACAGGCUCACCCUAAUCAUACACAGAUAUACUCUUAAGACAGGAUUUGUGAGGAAAGAGACAAUGGGGAGGUUUCCCACUUUGACCUUGCAGAGAAAACAUUUGCUCAGUUUAGGAAUCAAAAUGGUUCCAGGUUGGCCUUCCUGUGCUGAUCUAUGUAUGUGCCUUGUUGGUACACUUAUGAACAUUUAUCAUAUAUCUAAGACCUCAAAAUUCCUAUCACACUAUACACACCACAGAUUCAGAUGUCCAAACAGCUUUCCUGGUACACAGAAGCCAUUUCUCCAGAACCAGGACAGGAGGAAAGGGGAGAGAUCAGAUAAACAAGAGAGCACUUUCCCACUUCCUUCUUGGCCUUUUGGAAGGUUUCAGGUGGCUUUCCUGAGUUCCCCCCAGGGAAGCUUUCCAAUGUUUGAUUAUGUUUUUAUAUAUGUUGGAAGCUGCCCAGAGGGGCCGGGGCAACCCAGUGAGAUGGGCGGAGUACAAAUAAUAAAUUAUUAUUAUUUCUGUCAUUUUGGGGUCAAAAUUCCACGGUCAGGAAUGCAUUAAUAAUAAUAAUAAUAAUAAUAAUAAUAAUAAUAAUAAUAAUAAUAAUAAUAAUAUAUUAUUUAUACCCUGCCCAUCUGGCUGGGUCCCCCCAGCCAUACUGGGUGGCUUCCAACAAAACACUAAAAUACAAUAACCUAUUAAACAUUAAAAGCUUCCCUAAAGAGGGCUGCCUUCAGAUGUCUUCUAAAAGUCUGGUAGUUGUUCUCCUCUUUGACAUCUGAAGGGAGGGCGUUCCACAGGGCGGGUGCCACUACCGAGAAGGCCCUCUGCCUGGUUCCCUGUAACUUGGCUUCUCGCAGCGAGGGAACCGCCAAAAGGCCCUCAGAGCUGGACCUCAGUGUCCGGGCAGAACGAUGGAGGUGGAUAGAUAUUUUUCGCAUAGGGCUCAUUGGGAAUUGUCCACUCAUUUCGCAAAUCCUUGCCUAAUGAACAAUUUCCUGAGAAUGCGUUUUGUUUGAAUAAGUUGACCCGCAUGUAUUUAUAUUUUAUUAUUUUAUAUAUUGUAUUUACAUCCCGCCAUUUUUCUCCAAGGAGCUCAAGAGAGGCAUUCAUGGUUCUCCCGCUCCUCAUUUAACCCUCACAGCAACCCUGUGAGGUGGCACCUGGCCCAAGGUCACCCAUUGAGCUUCAUGGCCAAGCGAGGAUUCAAACCCUGGUCUCUCUCAGACACUCUAAUCAGACACUCUAACCACCAUACAGCACUUAGGCUGCAGACACACCACACCUUUAAAGCAGUUGACUCCCCACCCCCAAAUUCUGGGAACUGGGGGUCACCUCACACAGACCUGUGGUUCUCAUUGCACCUAGUAAACUAUGGUUCCUUGGGGAAAGUCCUGGCCAGGCAAGAGUGUGGGAAUGUUGCAUAGGCAAACUCGGCCCUCCAGAUGUUUUGGGACUACAACUCCCAUCAUCCCUGACCACUGGUCCCAUUAGCUAGGGGUGAUGGGAGUUGUAGUCCCAAAACAUCUGGAGGGCCAAGUUUGCCUAUGCCUGUUGUAGAUACUGGGAGAGGAUAUAUUGAUUUAAUAGUAUGCUUCCUCUCUCAUGCUUGUGAGUCAGCAGCAGAGUGCAUUCCCCAAUAUAUAGCUGGAAGCUAGUUGGUAGAUUCGUUUGGACCUCUUUACUUAAGCAAUCCAAUCUGGCUUUGUUCAGAUUGGAGUAUAUUCCUGGUAAGACCCCUUUUAUCCCUCCUAAACAGAAGAAAGACACAAGAAGCUUCUUUUAAAAGUAACAAGAAGUUUACUCACAUUCAGUUCACGGUUGGAUCCCUGAAGGCAGACUUCAGCUUAGAGUUACAAAAGAGGGUUUGAGUUCAUCCCAUAUGGGAACUCAUCGGGAUUCGGACUCGGAGGCUGAACCUGAGGGAUCCCAGCCUGCACAGGAUUCCCCGCCUCCAGAACCAGCUGAGCCGGGGCUGGAGCCUGAGCCUGAAGGGUCCUCACCUGUGCUGGAUCCUCGGGUACAGGCACCAGCUGAGUCUGCUCUGGCCCCUGAGGUGAUGGAGGACCCAUUGCCUGCAGGUGCUCCACUCUCAGCCCCGUCAGAGGAAGCGGAGGUUGCCUCUGGGUCCGGUGACCCUCCAGCCUCUCCUGAGAUGCAGAGGCUCAGGGCAGAGAGGCGGAGGGAACUAAGUUCUCGCAGGAGGAGUGCUUGCCUCCAGGCCAGGAGAGGUGAGUCACCAGGGGAUCGGGGCCGCCCUAUGCCUCGGGGAAGAUAAAAGCCGGCCAGCCCCUGUCCCAAGUUGCGGGAGCAACAUUUGUUGGUAGCUUGUUCCUGCCCAAACCCUGUCCUGCUCUUCUGCCAGAGUUCCUGACCUCACCCGACUCCAGGCCUUGGACCCAGCUUCAGCUUUGACGGACAGCCUCCAUGCUGCACCCUUGACCUUGGUCUGGACUUGGACCUCGCCUCACGGUUAACCCACAGCACACCAACCCCUGCUCUAAACAAAUUGUUGCAAGCUCCAUGUAGCUUUCCCUUACUUCUUCCCAACCCACCAGCAGCUCCCAGGACUUUCACACAAGAUGCCCCCACAAGACCUUCUCCGUUCUACUCCUUUCUCACUGGCCCAGCCAUGAUCCGGAGACGAUUAUCUCCAGCCGCCACACAGAGAGCCCUCAAAGCUCACAACGAACCUUUGGAUGGCUCCGUUGCAAUCUCCACGGUGCAGAAGAGGAAUCUCUGCAAAGGCACUUGAGCUAAUUCUGUCUUUGAAGGAUGCGGAGGAGGGAGAAAAUGAAAUAGCUGGUAUCUCUCCCCUGCGUUCUGCUGUUCUCUUUUGGACUGGGAAGGCUGCAGCGAAACAGAGACAUAUCUAGGGAUGCAGUUCAGGACUAUGAUGCCAGGGACUCUAGAGGGGGCAGCCCCACAGCCCAACCGAGCCCUAUUGGUGCUCUUAAUGAUGCAGUGCAUGUGAUUUUGUAGAAUCCUAGAACUGCAAAGUUGGAGGGGUCCUAAAGGACCAUCUAGUCCAACCCCCGACAAUGCCUUUGAUUUCCUCCCAUAUCCAUGUCUUCAUCAUCAUCAUCUGUCAGGGAACUGCCAUCAGUGCCGGAGGGAGAGAGAGAGCUCCAGAGGGAUCCCAGAGAGCGUCACGGGAUUGGGAGAGGCAGCCCAUCUUCUGGGGAAGGGAAUCAGCUCAGCUCCAGUGGAGAAGGGGGCAGAUGGGGGAAUCUGAGAGGAGUCACAUGACUCCUUGCCUGGGACCAGUGGGGGGAGGAAGGGUCCUCCGCUGCCUACGCCUUCCUUGCGCAGAAGGCUUCCGCGCAGGGAAAGUAGGAGGCGACUGGGCGUGAAAGAACUUCUAUGCUGGAAGAAGUUUAAGAAACGCCCACUGACAGAUUCUGCCAGCGAUUGAGACAGCCACGGGUGAGUGGCUGUCCAGACAGAAAAGGUUCACUUAGGCAACCCAGCCAGGUGUGGGCACCGGCUUACGCACGAGCAACCCCUUGAACCACUACAGCAAUCCGUCAGUCCUUGACGUUGCUUGUGCGCAGUACCAGAGAGGCAGCACGAUGAGCCAAACAGAGCCGGCCGGAGGAACAGAGCAAGAAGCCUUGAUGCGAGGGCUGGUAGAGAGGAACCGAGACCUGGAGGUGCAUGUUGCUACCCUGACGGCGCGGCUGUAUUAUUUAUACCUCACCCAUCUGGCCAGGCCUCCCCAGCCACUCUGGGCAGCUUCCAACAAAAGAUUAAAACAUCAAACAUUAAAAACUUCCCUAAACAGGGCUGCCUUCAGAUGUCUUCUAAAAGUCCGAUAGUUGUUGAUUUCCUUGACAUCUGAUAGGAAGGCAUUCCACAGGUUGGGUGCCACCACCGAAAAGGCCCUCUGCCUCGUUCGCUGUAACCUCGCUUCUCACAGUGAGGAACCGCCAGAAGGCCCUCGGAGCUGGACCACAGUGGCUGGGCUGAGCGAUGGGGGUGGAGACACUCCUUCAGGGAUACUGGGCUGAGGCCGUCUUGUUCAGAAUCAGAGGCUAAAUAGGUUGCUGAAAUGCCAGCAAGGGUCACAAGUUACUCUAGUGCUGUAGUUGUUCAUACAAUCAUAGACUUAAUAGAAUUGUAGAGCUGGAAGGGAUCCAAAGGGUUAAUAAUAAUAAUAAUAAUAAUAAUAAUAAUAAUUUAUUUAUACCCCACCCUUCCCGGUUCAAAAACCGGGCUCAGGGCAGCUAACAACAAAUUUAAAACACUUAAUUAUAAAAGCAGCAUAAAAUACAGUAUAAAAACAUGAAAAACAAUAAAAUUCAAAAAUCAAUUUAGAGGAAAUAAGCAUUAGAUAAUCAAUCCCCAGGGCUAGCUGACUGAAUUGGUCCUACUUGGGCCAGCGAGGAGGCCAGGGGAGAAUUAGCUGUGGGGUCUCAGAAUGGGUGAUCUUCAUAAAAGGGGAGGGGGAGGGAAGGGAAAUAAAAGAUCAGGCUGAAUUCAAAUUAAAGGCCAGGUGGAAUAGUGGAACAAGAUGGAGACAGAUUAAAAUUGCAGAGCUUUGAAAAACUGAAAAAUAAAGUGCGAGAUUGGCUCCAUUAUUACCAAAUAAUGGAGGCAUACAAUUUGGACAAAAAAGUUGGUUUCCAGGUGGAAAAAUCAAAAUUGGAAACAGAACUGUUAGAUCCAAAAAUUAAGAAUUUGUCAAGAAUGUAUAACUUGCUGUUGAAAUGGAACACUCAGGAUGAAACGGUGAAAUCAGCUAUGAUUAAAUGGGCACAAGAUGCUGGACAUAAUAUAAUGAUGGCUGACUGGGAACAGUUAUGGACCACAGGUAUGAAAUUCAUGGCAUGUAACGCCCUAAGAGAAAAUUUAAUGAAAAUGAUUUAUAGGUGGUACAUGACACCAGUCAAGCUUGCAAAAAUUUACCAUUUGCCCAACAAUAAAUGUUGGAAAUGUAAUAAGACUGAAGGUACAUUCUUUCACCUUUGGUGGACGUGCCCAAGGAUUAAGACAUACUGGGAGAUGAUUUAUAAUGAAAUGAAAAAGGUAUUUAAAUAUACUUUCCUGAAGAAACCAGAGGCCUUUCUCCUGGGCAUGGUUGGCCAAUUGGUGCCAAAGAAGGAUAGAACUUUUUUUAUGUAUGCAACAACAGCAGCAAGAAUGCUCAUCGCGAAGUAUUGGAAGACACAAGAUCUACCCACCCGGGAAGAAUGACAGAUGAAGUUGAUGGACUAUAUGGAAUUGGCGGAAAUGACUGGCAGAAUCCGAGACCAGGGAGAAGAGUUGGUGGAAGAAGAUUGGAAAAAGUUUAAAGACUAUUUACAGAAAUACUGUAAAAUUAAUGAAUGUUAGAAAAAUGUUGGAAUGAAGUUAUAUGGCUUUAGUAGAAAUGUUACAAGGAAUUAAGUAUAAAUAGAUUAAAAGAGUAUUAAAGGAAAAAACAAGGUUAGAAUGUGUUAAGAUAAUUAUAGGAUAGAAAACAGAGGAAGAUGGAAAGGAAUUGCUGAAAGAAUUAACAGAAGUGGAAUACAAAAAGGGAGGUGUGAGGAGGUCGUGGAAAUGUGAAUGAAAGAUAAGAUACUGAAAUUGUUUGAUUUAUCUUAAACUGUUUUUGUUUUGUUUUGUUAGUUUAAUGUGUUAAUGUUAUGUAGUGCUUUUGUAUUGUAUUGUAUUGUAUUGUUUUUGUAGUGUUUAAAUUGUUGGAAAAGUAAUAAAUAUUAUUUUUUAAAAAAAUAAAGGCCAGGUGGAAUAGCUCUGUCUUACAGGCCCAACGGAAGGAGGUUAAAUCCUGCAGGGCCCUGGUCUCAUGGGACAGAGCAUUCCACCAGGUCAGAGCCAUCACUGAGAAGGCCCUGGUGGAGGCUAGUCUGACUUCCUUAGGGCCCGGGACCUCUAAACUAUGGUUGUUCAUGGACCUUUAGGUCCUCUGAGGGGCAAACCAGGAGAGGCGGUCCCAUAAAUAUGAGGGCCCUAAGCCACAAAUCUAGCCCAACUCCCUGUAAUGCAGGAAUCUCAACUACUGUAGAUCAUACAUGACAGGUGCCCAUCCAACCUCUGUUUCAAAACCUCCAAGGAAGGAGAGUCCACCACCUCCCGAAGGAGACCAUUCCACAGCUCUUACUGUCAGAAAGUUCUUCCUGAUGUUUAGUCAGAAUCUCCUUCCUUGUAAUUUGAAGCCAUGGGUUCGAGUCCUACCCUCCAGUGCAGGGCGGAAAUAUGCUUCUUGCAUCUUCUUGCACUUUAUAAUGGCAUUUGGACUUCUAAGCUAGUGUAUGAACUGGCCUUAAGAGUGGUUGAGAUUUGGCUUCCAUUGAGUAAAAGGGCCAGUUCCAUUGGACAUUGGAAGCGAUUACAGAAGGAGCGAAGUUCUCUAGGAUGUAAAAGUAACACCACUGCCUAAGCUCUGUUGUCAAGAGAUGCCAUUGUUAAUUGCCCAGAUCUCGAGAUGCUGCAGCCAGACAAUGAUGUCAGAGUUCUUGAGGUAUUAUUAAUAAUAAUGACAUCAGAUAACCAGUCUCAAUAUGAGUUUUUCAUCAAUAUUGAAACAGCAUUGCAUAUUAAUCAGCCCUGCCAUUCUGGAACGCAAGGCAAUAUCUUUUGAAGUUCCUUAUCUCCUUGGAAAUAAUUUGCUUGGGAAGAAGUUCAUCAGGACACCUGAUCAAAAUAGCUGCCACUUCUCUUUCUUCACAAGGGCAGGGGAAGAUCAUCAUCCUCCCCUCGACGUGAAGAAGAAGAAGAAGAAGAAGAGUUUGGAUUUGAUAUCCCGCCUUUCACUCCCCUUCAGGAGUCUCAAAGCGGCUAACGUUGUCCUUUCCCUUCCUCCCCCACAACAAACACUCUGUGAGGUGAGUGGGGCUGAGAGACUUCAGAGAAGUGUGACUGGCUCAAGGUCACCCAGCAGCUGCAGGUGGAGGAGCGGAGACACGAACCCGGUUCCCCAGAUUACAAGACUACCGCUCUUAACCACUACACCACACUGGCUCUUUAUCAAGGAAUUCUUGAUAAAGUUUCCUGUGCCACCUCAACCAGUGUGGUGCCAGUGUGGUGUAGUGGUUAAGAGCAGUAGUCUCGUAAUCUGGGGAACCGGGUUCGCGUCUCCGCUCCUCCACCUGCAGCUGCUGGGUGACCUUGGGCCAGUCACACUUCUCUGAAGUCUCUCAGCCUCACUCACCUCACAGAGUGUUUGUUGUGGGGGAGGAAGGGAAAGGAGAAUGUUAGCCGCUUUGAGACUCCUUAGGGUAGUGAUAAAGAGGGAUAUCAAAUCCAAACUCUUCUUCUUCUUCUCAACGGGUCUCCAGUGGCGCCAUCAUUUGCACCUCUCUGUCUCUGGAGACAAUGGAGGAAUGCACCUUUGAAGGUGAGGUCAAACCAACAGAGAGUUGCAGCGCCUGACUGAUGCGGGAGAGACAUGUUUUGUUGCAGCUGGGGCAGGCAUCUUCGUUGGACUCUGCGCUGCCAUGUGAUGCCCAAAAUUAUUCGUAAGUAGUUAAAACAUUAAUUAGCAUCUGGCUGAGGUCACAUGCCAUUCCCCCUAACCACAAAAAACCCACACGCGCUCAGCCUUGACUGAUGGGUGAUAACAGGGCCAGAUUCAGGUUUGAUGAGGCCCUCAGCUCCUGAAGGUAAUGGUGCCCUUUAUACGUCCAGCUGUCCUUUGUCAACAACAAAUUGUCACUGUUUUUUUUUUUGUUGAAUAUAUGCUAUAUGGUGAUUUAUGGACCUCAUAGGUAUCUCAAGCCAUUUGCACACAACAAAAUAUGUAUUUUAUCAAAGUAAUUGUUGAAUACAUCCAGGGUUUUUUCCUUUUUGGGGUCCCCCAGGGGAGUGGGGCCCCAAGCUAUAGCUUGUUUAACUUAUACAUAAAUCCGGCACUGAGUGGUAACUCCAAGAUCCGUCUCACUAAGAGAAGUCACUGAUCACCUAAUCCUCCAGGCGUUUGUCCAAUACUCUUUUAAAGUCAUCCAGAUUGGUGAUCACCACUGCCUCCUGUGGCAGGGAGUUCCAUAGUUGAACUGUGCACUGAAUCUAUUUGUCCUGAAUCUUUCAAUGUUCAACUUCAUUGGAUGUCUACAAUUUCUAGUGUUAUGAAGGAGGUGGGAGGGUGGGAAAUAUCUCUCCACUCUCCCCAUGCCAUGCAGAAUUUUAUAAGCACCUGUCAUGUCUCUUAUCCGCCCUUUCUCUAAACUGAAAAGUAAAAACAAAACAAAACACUGCCACCUUCCUUCAUAUGGGAAUCUCUCCAUCCCUUUGAUCAUUUCGGUCAUCCUUUUCUGAUGAAGAUUUUCAAACUCAGCAAUGCCCUUUGCCUGUUCUAAAAGCUCCUCCAUCGAAAUCUCUCUGUCUGAGCAAAGUUAGCAUUGUUGGGAAAGUAUUUCAGGAUUAGAACCCUCUUUCCACCCACAUGAAGGGAGAUCUCGAUGUGGGUGAGCAUUCAAAACCCAAAACUGUCCUCCAUUCUGAGUUGGUCCAGACUUCAAAACAUGAGAGUCUUCAGAAGUUUUCGGCAGAGGUUGGAAAUCUCUGUUUCAGGGAUGCAGCAGCGACAGGUUUCCUUCAUCAGCAGCUGUGGGUUUUGUCUGCAUGGCCAACUCUCCAAUUCUAUGACUGUGGUAUCCGGGCUUUUUCUUUUUUGGCUCUAAAUCCCAGAUUCAGUUUAAAUGAUUAAUAGACUAGGGCUUUGGGUUAAUUUACUAACUCUGCCAUUUGGCAGCAUAAUAAGAGUCAUCAAGAUAGUAUUAAAAUUUGCAUGCCUUACCACUUCAAGCCAAGGGAGGCCUCGUUCCCGUGAAUUUCCUAAUGAAGGAACUUUUCCUAAACCCAUUUCUUCCCUUUUAGAUUUUUUAAAAUCUAUCACAGGCCUUGGAAAGUUAUUCAAGUGAAUCCAGUCUUCUCAGUCUUUGGAUUUUGCAAAAUGUAGCACACAUUAUAUGUGGAGGCCAUAAACACAUGUUAUUUAUUUAGCUAUCGUUAAGUUAUUAAAGUAAUGCCUGUGGUACUGGCCACUAUUUUUGCAGACCCAAAGUGGCUAAAUGCCCUUCCCUGCCGGGAGGAUGCCCAGCUAAUAACAUCCAAUUCUGAUAAGACUAGGUUACCAGAUGUCCCCGUUUCUUGGGGACAGUCCCUGGAUUCACAAAUCUGUCCCCGGACAAAAUCCGUCCCCAGAAUGUCCCCGGAUCUCAUUUAAUGUCCCCGGAUUUAUAUUUUAAGUGUUGUAGAUUUAUUAGUAGGGAAUUAAUGUUGCGUGAUCGGUUCAACGGCACCAGACACAUCAUAUGGGGACUUCCUUCGAGGCAAAGUGGUGGGUACCAUGGCAGCGAGCAGCUCCUGAAGCCAGCCAGAGCCAACUGCGCUACCAGCCUGGCUCUGGGCUGCUGAGGCUGCCACUGCUGCCACCACUGCCGAGGGCAAAAUGGGGAUGCCUGUGGUGUCAACUGGGGGAACCACUGACCCCCCCAUGACCCAAAUCGAGCUGGGAGCAAGAGCGCCUGGCCACCUGGCCAGCUGCCCAGCGGCACUCCAGGGCCAGUAAAACCCCCGGAGCCGACGCAGGGAGAAGGAGGAAAGGAGAAGGAAGAGAGAGAAAAAGGAAGGAGAAAAAAGAGGGGAGCCCCAACCUUGCUGCAUUGCUGCCGCCGCCGCCACUGAGAAGAGGUAGGAGAGCACCGGGAGGGCAAGGACAUGUGGCCAAGCCCAGACCCGACCCGAGACUACUCCAUGGCAGAUAGCACUCCAAGAGAUCAGGCCGGAACCCAGAGGAAGGCCGCGCGACAGAAGACACCCAGAAAAGAAUAUAUUACUUCUCAUUUUUUAAAAUAAUGGUUUUUUAAAAAAUAACUUUUUUUCUCUUUUCAAAAAAAAAGUGUCCCCGGAUUCUUUGGAAAAAAUCUGGUAACCUUAGAUAAGACCAUAUCCAAAAAGAACAGUUUGAGCCUUCCAACAUUUUAUUUGCACCCCAUCUUUCCCACAAGGAACUUGAUGGGGCAUAUGGGGUUAUGCCCUUUGAGGUAGGCUAUGCUGAGAGGUAGGGAUGCGGGUGGCGCUGUGGGUUAAACCACAGAGCCUAGGACUUGCCGAUCAGAAGGUUGGCAGUUUGAAUCUCCACGACGGGGUGAGCUCCUGUUGCUCGGUCCCUGCUCCUGCCAACCUAGCAGUUCGAAAGCAUGUCAAAGUAGAUAAAUAGGUACCACUCCGGCGGGAAGGUAAAUGGUGUUUCCGUGCACUGCUCUGGUUCGCCAGAAGCGGCUUAGUCGUGCUGGUCACAUGACCCGGAAGCUGUACGCCGGCUGCCUCGGCCAAUAAAGCGAGAUGAGCGCCGCAACCCCAGAGUCGGCCAUGACUGGACCUAAUGGUCAGGGGCCCCUUUACCUUUACCUAUGCUGAGAGGUAGCAACAGGCUCAAGGACACCAGGUGAGCUUCAUGGCCGAGUGGGGAUUUGAACCCUGGUCUACCCAGACAUAUUAACCUCUACACCACAUUGGCCUUUGCACCUGAAAGGGGGUCAGCAACAUUACCUGGCCAUUCAAUAAGCUUUUGUGCAUGCAAGACUAACGCUCUAAGUUUGAUGGACGGAAAGCUAUCCUCUGGCAAGGGAGCUUUAUAAAUACAUAAGAAAUAUGCAACCCGCCCUUUGUAUACCUACAGGGCAAGCCUAGCCGUGUCUCCUGAAAAGGAAGUCUGGUUGUGUUCACUCCCAGGUAAACGGGGCUAGAACUGCAGCCUUCAAAAUGGUAAUUUCCACCAUUUCUUUCAGGCAGAAUUGAGCAAAGUCCCUAAAUGACUUUACAGGUAAUUAACUAGCAUUGCAUGGGAUAUGGAAAGCAGCUCCUUGUUAAGUGCAUUUCCUUUAAUUACAAUUUAAAAGGUUCAGAAGGAGAUAUUAAUUAUAGUUUUUUCAGCUAUCUUCACCCGCACUUGGCAAGCCUACAGCUUGCCAGGGGAUGCUCUGGAGAACAUCUUCUCAGCCAUUCGGUUAAAUAUCAGUUCUGAGUGCAGCCUCCUGACGGGCUGCUUCUACAUUUGCUGUGCUUUGCGCAACGCGGCCGAGAAACCCAUUUCACAGCUCUGGGCUAAUUAUAGCGGCAUCUGCAGCCCCCGCCAUCCUCCUCUCCCACCUCUGCUGUCUGGAUCACUUGCCUACUCACCAGUUUGCAUGCUCACCCUGAGCAGCUAAAAGAGGCCCUGGGAGGCCGGAGGGACAUUCCUCCAUCCAUGAAUGUGGGAAGGAAGACCUGCUCCCUGCUGCCAGGCCCAUUGCCACCUGGGACCCAUCUAGAGCAGGACCCAGACUCACCCUGGACAGCUAAAAGAGGCUCCUGGGAGGCCCCUGGAACAUGGCUGGAACAACUCUUGGCUUGCGGCAACUGGCUAAAAUGUCUUAAAAUGCUUUAAAUGGUUCUCCUUUUGGUUCCUCUGUUUGUUUUUGUCAGGUUGGUGUUGGUUAAAUGUUUAGUUGGUGGUUAUUUUAAUCUAAACUGUUUGCAAUGAUAAUAAUAAUAUUUUAUUAUCUAUACCCCGCCCAUCUGGCUGGGUUUCCCCAGCCACUCUGGGCGGCUCCCAAUUGAGUAUUAAAAACAAUACAGCAUUAAAUAUUAAAAACUUUCCUAAACAGAGCUGCCUUCAGAUGUCUUUUAAAAAAAGGAUAGUUGUUUAUUUCCUUGACAUCUGAUAGGAGGGCUUUCCACAGGGUAGGCACCACCGCCGAGAAGGCCCUCUGUCUGGUUCCCUGUAACCUCGCUUUCUUGCAGGGAAGGAACUGCCAGAAGUCCCUCGGAGCUGGACCUCACUGUCCAGGCUGAACGAUGGGGGUGGAGACUGCUCCGUCUCCAUGUUCAGAGGCAGCAGUGCUUCUGAAUGCACUCUGGACGUGCUCAGAGACACUGUGCAGCAAUGCAUUGAACCAAAAUGCCUUUUCACUCCCAUAACCGUGCCCCGCAGAGUGCUUGCAAAGCCGGAGCCGUGUCUGCCUUUCUGAGCAUUUUGCUAUGUACCAGACGCCGUGUUGGUAUUCUGUAAUCCGAGGAUUACUUCCCGGAAAAUCCAAUACAAAUAAAGCUAUCAUGUGCUAUCCAGAAUUAAUGCAAGGAUUCAAAACCCGCCUGUUGAGCCUCUCCCCUCCCGUCGCCCUCUCCUGUCAUUUUGAUAGAGUUAUGAUUUCAUCCCCAGACACAAGGAAGCAGGAUCUGUGUUUGGUGAGGGCUUCUUAUCAGCCUAAUAGAUUCCUCCCUCCCCAGGUGCCGCUGAUGCAUCAGUUGGAUAAUUAAAUGCAUGAAAGCUUCCUUCACUUGUUGCAGGAGGUCCCUUUGCAGAUUCCCAAAGCCUCCCUCUCCCUCUCUGGUCUGAAGGAGCCCCAGGGAACAUCCUGCCAGGACCCCCUUGCACCACCCAUGGGGGGGGGGCGCAGAUCACCAUUGCACAGGGCAGUGUAGUGGUACACUUGUGAAACGUUGUUGUUGUUGUUGUUUAGUCGUUUAGUCGUGUCUGACUCUUCGUGACUCCCUGGACCAGAGCAUGCCAGGCACUCCUGUCUUCCACCACCUGCCGCAGUUUGGUCAAACUCAUGCUGGUCGCUUCGAGAACACCGUCCAACCAUCUCAUCCUCUGUCGUCCCCUUCUCCUUGUGCCCUCCAUCUUUCCCAACAUCAGGGUCUUUUCCAGGGAGUCUUCUCUUCUCAUGAGGUGGCCAAAGUCUUGGAGCCUCAGCUUCAGGAUCUGUCCUUCCAGUGAGCACUCAGGGCUGAUUUCCUUCAGAAUGGAACAUGGACCACUUAUAAAGGCCAUCUCCAACUCCUUGAAAGAUUCCAUCAACGGGGUCUCUGAGAAAUGUUACACAUCACUUGGGAAGACAGUCUACUGGAAGAAGCAAAGAUCACCAGUGUUGAAGCAAUGAUUCUUCAACAUCAACUUCGUUGGACUGGUCAUGUUGUGCGGAUGCCUGAUUAUUGUCUUCCAAAGCAACUACAGUGGAUGUUCAGGUUGCGAACGUGAUCCAUGCGGGAUGCACGUUCUCAACCCGCAGCAUCCACAACAUGCAGCCGGAUUUAGGUUUGAUGAGGCCCUCAGCUCCUGAAGGUAAUGGGGCUCUUUAUAUGUCCAGCUGUCCUUUGACAGCAGCAAAUUGUCGCUGUUUUUUGUGUUGGGUAUAUGCUAUAUGGUAAUUGACGGACCUCAUAGGUAUCUCAAGCCAUUUGCACAUGUUACCCUGCAACCAGCCCAUGCAGAAUGUAGGCACCCUAUAUAUAAAGGUAAAGGGACCCCUGACCAUUGGGUCCAGCCGUGGCCGACUCUGGGGUUGUGGAGCUCAUCUCGCUUUAUUGGCCGAGGGAGCCGGUGUACAGCUUCCGGGUCAUGUGGCCAGCAGGACUAAGCCGCUUCUGGCAAACCAGAGCAGCGCACGGAAAAGCCGUUUACCUUCCCACCGGAGCAGUACCUAUUUAUCUACUUGCACUUUGACGUGCUUUCGAACUGCUAGGUUGGCAGGAAUAUAUAGAAAUAUAUAUAUAAAUGAGCAUACCUAUACAGUGGUACCUCGGGUUACAUACACUUCAGGUUACAUACGCUUCAGGUUACGGACUCCACUAACCCAGAAAUAGUGCUUCAGGUUAAGAACUUUGCUUCAGGAUGAGAACAGAAAUCGUGUUCUGGCGGCGCAGCAGCAGCAGGAGGCCCCAUUAGGUAAAGUGGUGCUUCAGGUUAAGAACAGUUUCAGGUUAAGUACAGACCUCCGGAACGAAUUACCGUAUUUUUUGCUCUAUAAGACUCACUUUUUCCCUCCUAAAAAGUAAGGGGAAAUGUGUGUGCGUCUUAUGGAGCGAAUGCAGGCUGCGCAGCUAUCCCAGAAGCCAGAACAGCAGGAGGGAUUGCUGCUUUCACUGCACAGCGAUCCCUCUUGCUGUUCUGGCUUCUGAGAUUCAGAAUAUUUUUUUUCUUGUUUUCCUCCUCCAAAAACUAGGUGCGUCUUGUGGUCCGGUGCGUCUUAUAGAGCGAAAAAUACGGUAAGUACUUUACCCGAGGUACUACUGUAUAUAGAAAGGAGCAAACCAGUGAUAUUUGAGGGAGCAGGCUAGCAGGCGGGGCCCAUGACUUACAUCGUAGGAGCCUACACAAUACAAAACACUGUUGCUGUAUGUAGGUUUUAUUGUAUUUGUUUUUUAUCUUACAUUUUGGAAAUGUACAUCCAGGUUUUUUCCUUUAACUUUUUUUUGGGGGGGGGGGCCAAGAGAGUGGGGCCUGAAGCUAUAGCUUGUUUAGUUUAUAUGUACAUCCGAGGGUGCCAAAUUUUAGUGUUGCACGGGGUGCCACUGAAAUUUGAGAACCCAAAGUCUGCCACUGCCCCUACCCUGUAAAACUGAACUAUUCAGAAUAUCGGUCCAAUUAAAACUGUGUUCAUGCCCUGAGCCUUUCUUGUCUCACAUCCCUAAAACAUGCGCAGAAGUUAGUAACCAAAGAACAGGCCUUCUCCGUGCCAGCUCUCCCUAGAAAAACAGUCCUGGCACCAAUUUUUCUCUCAUUUCAGCACCAGGUAAAAAUGUAUUUAUUCCAUAGCUGUCAACUUACAGAUUUGAAAAUAAGGGACCAGCAGCCAAAAUAAGGGACCUGCAGCCUCACCUGUUCCAGGCACUCCAGUCUUCCUGUCCUCCUGCAGUCUGGUCAAACUCAUGCUGGGUAGCUUCGAGAACACUGUCCAACCAACUUUGUAACCAGAGGUUCAACUGAAUAGAAUCUGAAUCACAUGCACCACAAGGCCUAUGCAGCCUCAACUUAAGAUGGCUCCCCGGCCUGGCUUUGCACUGCAAAGUUUGCAGCAGCACGUGCAAAGAAAUGGCGUCCAGCAUUCAAAACCCCCCUCAGCUUGCAUUAACUAGCCACACACAAGGCAUGCAAGCUCCACCCCCCCCAGUCGUUCUUAGACUUCUUAUUGGGUAAACAACACAGCCAAUCAACACAGUUGGAGCCUCCCUCCUCCCUGGCCAGCAGGGAGGGAGGAAGAGGAGCUGCUUCCUUUGAAAUUUAAGGGACAUCAUUUAAGGGACAUUUAAGGGACAUCCAUCAAUAAGGGACAGCAGCGGGACAUGGCGCUGGAAUAAGGGACUGUCCCUUCAAAUAAGGGACACUUGACAGCUAUGAUUUAUUCCUCCAGGCAUAUGGACAACUUUAAUCAUAGUGCUGUUAAUCCGCUUUUUCACAUGUGUUUUUAAUUGUAGUUGCACUGAUAUUGUGCAUUGUUUAAUGUGUAGUUUUGAUGUUUUUGUUUCCUUUUUUGUGAUUUUUUAAUAUUGUAAAUAACUUGGAGCCUCUUUUUUAUUUUUUUUACUACAAAGCAAUUUAUAGAUCUACUGGAUCAGAGCAAGGGAUUACCCUGCUUAAAAACAAACACCAAUUAAAUAUUAAUUGAUUUAAUUGAUUCAACAAGAUGGAUGAACUUGAUCCAGCAACAGCAGCUUCUCAAACCUUGAGAGUCAUUGACACCUCCACUGGUCCCCUGCAACCCCCUUCUCUCUUAGUGGCUCCAAGGGGAACCAAGGCAGUAUUCAGGAGCUCGGCCUUUCCCAACCUGGUGCCCUCUGAAGCUUUCGAACUACAAUUCUGAAACUAGAGGGCACUAGGUUGGGGAAAGUCUUCCCACCCUUUUCCCAGGCCCUCAGCGUGAACCCAACCAGCCUCUCCUUCUACUCCCUUCCUAGGAGCUCCUCGUGUGCUCUCAGAACGCAGGUGGGGGAGAAACUAGUUUAAUAAAUAACCCCAGACUUACAUAGCUCUGGGUACCCCAUCAACUCACAGGUGCCAUUUUUUUUUGCUGCAAUAAUGCCCUGAAAAACUAGACUAGAUGAGCAACAUACUUGGAGCCACAGCAACAGAUUCCCUCACAAGGCAGUGGGCCCUCCUUCACUGGAGGUGAAUGGCCAUUCAUCAGGGAUUCCCGCAUGCCAUGGGGUUGGACUAGAUGCCCUUUGUUGGCCCCUUUCAACUCCACAAUGGCUGAGUGAGUUUCAGAGUGGUCCAGAAAGAGUUAAGCUGUGUCUUUUGCCUUGUUCACCAGGAGCAGGGAGAGAUUAUUUAUUCCCCACUGUGGGGUCCUCUGCAAUGAGGUGUUUGCUUUGCACCGGUAUACCUCUGGAGCAUCCUCCAAGGGCUGAUCUGCCUUCUCAUUACAAGGACCUGUUUGUCCUCAUUAGCCUGGGCAGGAUCCUCCAAAGGAUGAACUGCAGUUGCUCAGGGAUAAACAUUUCAAUGCUCUUGUUAAGUUGUGGGUGAACAUAUCAGAUGACACAGCGAUUCUUCAGACAGCUCUUGUUUAUUCAUAGGCCAGAACAGAACUGAACUGAAGGUUCAGCCAAUCUGCUUAUAUAGAGCUCAGCUACAAAGCAACAGUAACAAUUUUCUGUAACUAUCCAAUCACUGAACGUCACUUUCAAUUCCUUAUUUGCAUAUGUAGACCUGAAUGAAAACUACCGUAUCUACAGUAUCCCCCUGCUGGCCCAGGGUGAAAGCUUCAGUACAUAACAGAUCUGCUGCCAGCAGCAUCGGCAGGAGUCCUGUGCGAAGAGUUGCACACGGCCUUAAACUCUGAAGUACCACAUAAGACCCAUUCUGCAACAUAACGGGACAUGGGUGGCGCUGUGGUCUAAACCACUGAGCAUAGGGCUUGCCGAUUGGAAGGUCGGCGGUUCAAAUCCCCACUUCUGCCAACCUAGCAGUUCAAAAGCAUGUCAAAGUGCAAGUAGAUAAAUAGGUACCACUCCAGUGGAAAGGUAAAUGGCGUUUCCAUGCGCUGCUCUGGUUCGCCAGAAGUGGCUUAGUCAUGCUGUCUGUGGACAAACGUUAGCUCCCUUGGCCAGUAAAGCGAGAUGAGCGCCGCAACUCCAGAGUCAUUCUCGACUGGACUUAAUUGUCAGGGGUCCUUUACCUUUACCUUUAACCUUUUAGUGAGACAGCACCUCCACUGCGGAACUCUCUGCCUAUUGACCCCAGUCAGGCGACUUCACUGUCCCCUUUUCUGCACCUGCUAAAACGUUUUUGUUCAGACAAGCCUGCCCAGAUCUUUAGAAGGUUGGCAGUUUUUAGUCUCCUGUCAUUUUAACUUUUCCAAAGUCAUAAAUUAUUGUGGUUAAUUUUUCUUAUUGAUUUUUUUUGUUUUAUAUUUUUUUGGGGGGGGGGCUGCUUUGAGGGUUUCUUUUUACAUUCAAGCAGUGUCUAAAUUUUAGGAAGUGUACGAAUGAGUGAAUUCAAGGAAUUCAUUCUUGGCUCAGACUCAACUAAGCAGUUGUGCUCGUAGGAGCCAGAGCAGUGCUUCUCGUUAGCAUGAUGGGGCUUCCCUCCUUCUCCUCCCCCCAUAAAAAAUUGGCUGACUCUGGGGUUGCAGUGCUCAUCUCGUUUUACAGGCCAAGGGAGCCGGUGUUUGUCUGCUUCCACAGACAGUUUUUCUGGGUCAUGUGGCCAGCAUGACUGAGCCGCUUCUGGCGAACCAGAGCAGUGCACAGAAACACCGUUACCUUCCUGCCAGAGCGGUACCUAUUUAUCUACUUGCACUUGACGUGCUUUCGAACUGCUAGGUUGGCAGGAGCAGGGACCGAACAACAGGAGCUCACCCCGUCGCAGGGAUUCGAACCGCCGACCUUCUGAUCGGCAAGUCCUAGGCUCUGUGGUUUAACCCACAGCGCCACCCGCGUCUCCGGGUGGAAAUACUGCCUUAUAAAAAAGAAAUCAAUAAAAAUUAUUUUAAAAAGAAAAAGAAACCCUGGCAUAAGAACAUAAGAUUCUGUGACCCGAAUUUUAUAACAAGGGGGAUUUCCCCACGGCAUCCCUGAAAUGUCCAACCUGCAUCUAGGAGUCCCCAAUUUCUCCUUGCAAUACUUGGCACAACAGGACACGGGAGGAACAAAAGCGUUGCCACCCCCUCUGUACAUGCAGCAAAUCUUAGUUCUCCUUCAGCCCAUGAAUAACUUUGAAUUCAGCUUAAGGGGAAAGGCUCUUUCUUGUUAUGCAUUUGCCUUUCCACAUUAUCUGACAAGGUAAUAUGCAGUAAAACAGGAAGGCUGCUCUCCAGAAUGUCUCAGAAGUGCCAGGAACCUCCAUCUUUCUGCAGACAUUUGAUCCAGAUGAUUAGACCUCUGGACAGUUUUUGGAGGAGGGGAACUGAGACUCGGUGUGCACAGGGAUGCAAUUUAUGAUCCAGGUGGCAUUAAGAAAAAACACACCUUCAGAAUCCUACCUCCAAGGGAGUGUUAUAAGAAUUCUAAGGUCUCAAAUAUAAAAUAAAUGUUCAUAAAUGUACUAGGCUAACACAUACAUAAGUAUAUAAACCAUGUGUCUGAAAUAGUACAGGAGAGUAAUUCUGAAGCCAUUUUGACUCUCCCAAAUUGACCUCAAAUGUUUCUCUGCAAGGAGGAAGGAAAUGGGAAAGCCUCUCCCUUGUCUAUUGCUUACCUGUCUUAAGGGCAUAUUUGUGUAGGAAUAGGGUGAGCCUGUGACCUGGACUCAGGAAUUAAAGUAUUUACCAUUACAAAAGCAGACACAUCACCUUGCCAACAAAGGUCCUUAUAGUUCGAGCCAUGGUUUUCCCAGUAGUGAUGUAUGGAAGUGAGAGCUGGACCAUAAAGAAGGCUGAUCACUGAAGAAUGGAUGCUUUUGAAUUCUGGUGCUGGAGAAGACUCUUGAGAGUCCCAUGGACUGCAAGAAGAUCAAACCUAUCCAUUCUGAAGGAAAUCAGCCCUGAGUGCUCACUGGAAGGACAGAUCGUGAGGCUGAGGCUCCAAGACUUUGGCCACCUCAUGAGAAGAGAAGACUUCCUGGAAAAGACCCUGAUGUUGGGAAAGAUGGAGGGCACAAGGAGAAGGGGAUGACAGAGGACGAGAUGGUUGGACAGUGUUCUCGAAGCUACCAGCAUGAGUUUGACCAAACUGUGGGAGGCAGUGGAAGACAGGCGUGCCUGGCGUGCUCUGGUCCAUGGGGUCAAGAAGAGGCGGACACAACUAAACAACUAAACAACAACAACAAACAGAGGUUGGGUUUCCACCUGUCUGGGAUUCUGUAGGUGGGAUUCCUGCAUUGCAGGGGGUUGGGCUAGAGGGGUCCAUUCCAACUCUAUAGUUCUAUGACUCUAUGAUUAAGCAGGAAAGGAACAGAGUUAUAUGGUGCCAUCAGUGGCAACCAACGCUCUGAGUGAGAAGCACUUGUCUUGAAGACACACACACACACACACCCCACCCCCACCUCACUGCACAAUGUCUUCUGUCCCAGGACGUCACGCAGAAGCAUAAAUGCCUCUCUCCGCUUCUGGCAUCAAAGCUUUCUUCUUCUCUUUCUUUCUUUUUCGGAUGACUGCUCGGAAGCGCCGCCAUGCCAGAGUUUAAUAAGAGAGUCUCUCAGCUUCUGGAAGUUAAUAGCACAUUUUUAUGGAGACAGGAGUGCGCACUUUGAAAGAGCUGCCUGAGAUUAUGCAUGUUUCUAACUUUCCAAAAGAAUUACUAACCUCAAGAAAUCCCAUAAAUAUCUAAUGGGUUUCUCUUCUGAAAUGCCAGGGAAGAGUUGUGCACGAAGCCCACAGGCAGGAAAGGUAAAGGGGAGGGGGCUGGGCCAGGUGGAACAGCUCUACCUGGGCAACUGAGGUGUCCAGAUUCAACCCUCUUGCUCACUCGCGUCAGCGCAUCCCUUGCCGAGUUGCAACAACACUCUCUGGCCACGGGCAGCGGUGGUGCUGCAGAGCAGCAAAGAGACCUAACAGCGCCCUUCACUGGCACAGGGAGCAAAUGCAACUGUGUCUCUGUUUUGGUCACCCUGGGCAUCUCUCAGCCUCCUGGCUCUUUCCUCUUUUCAAACAGUCCCAUAAGCUCAUCCUGUUUGGCAAAAAGAGGGGAAACGGAUGCAACCACAGACUACUUUGCAUUGGGCAGGCGGGUGUGGAGGACUCCCUGAUCCUGAAUGGGGCAACUGUGCCCCUGAAGAACCAGGUGCACAGCCGGGGAGUCAUUUUGGACUCACAGCUGUCCAUGGAGGCACAGGUCAAUUCUGUGUCCAGGGCAGCUGUCUACCAGCUCCAUCUGGUAUGCAGGAUGAGACCCUCCCUGCCUGCAGACUGUCUCGCCAGAGUGGUGCAUGCUCUGGUUAUCUCCUGCUUGUACCGCAAUGAGCUCUGUGUGGGGCAACCUUUGAAGGUGACCCGGAAGCUACAACUAGAGUGGUACCUCGAGUUAAGUACUUAAUUCGUUCUGGAGGUCUGUUCUUAACCUGAAACUGUUCUUAACCUGAAGCACCACUUUAGCUGAUGGGGCCUCCCGCUGCCGCCACAACACCUGGAUGAACGUUGUGGGUCCCUCUCAACUAUUUGAUUCUCACCAGUGUGUGAUCUGCCAUGUAUAAGCUUCCUGGGCCCGGAAGGCCCAUAGCUGCUGUACCAACUGCAUUUGGAUAUGAAAAGGAAAGCUUGCACAGGGACAAUCCUGGAAGCCCAGGCCCUACACCUUUGCUUGGCACCCCCCCUCACCGCCCCCCACCCACAUCCGGAACAUGCUGUUGCAGAGGCUUCGCCAGCUGCGAGUGGUGACCUGCAUAGAUCUGGACAGGAGCGUUUAUGGGGCUGACGCGCUGCCAAGUCUCCAGUCUGGGAACAUGAGGCAAUUUAAAAGCUGUCAUUUUCUGCAGGGAUUAUGGCUUUGUUAUCAGGGGAGACAGUGUUGCCUGGGCAGCCUGCCCUUGAGGGGAGAUGGGUCACCGUGGAGGGAGGAGGAGGGGAGGGAAUGUUUGACUAGGGGGCACAGAGACAGUGUUCAACUAGGGGGCAUCUCUUCCCAGGUUUGCCAUAAGCCCAAGGCCAGAGGUGCAAAUGGCCUGGUUUCACUAGGGAGAUGAGAAACUCUGACUUCAGUUGUGUUUUGCAAUGUGCCCUCCGCAGGGGCUGUGCCUCCAAAGGUCUUGCUAAAACAAAUACAAUACCUUGUUACGCAGAUGCAAUAGUUACAACAUAUAGAGUGCAACAGGCUGAAUGGUAAUGUUUGUAACAAAUUUCUUUACUGGUUACUUCCUAACAUACAAAUAAAGUCCAGGAUGUUACGGAAAUUAAGCGGGGGGGGGGGGGGACAUCUUUAAAGUUGUUAAAUGUUACAAAUAUUAUGCCUGAAUGUAUCCUUUCGACUUGACAGCUCAGGGAAGUUACCUAGCUUUAACAAUCAUAUAAAAUCAACUCCUUUGCCAGUUUCCUCCAUUCCAAAGCUAUUUUCCCCUUGAAAAAGGACUCCAGGAAGUGCCCAGGGGUGACAACUGCUGAGCUGAUUGUUGGCCAAGGAAAGCCUAAUCCCAUCACCAGACUUGCCAAGGGGUCCAGACAUGCAAAGGAACUUCUAUUGUACUUUGGGUGGUCUGACUUCAGAGGUCUUUGCCUAGGCUAAUCUUAUACCUGGGUCUUGCCCUGACAUGUCUGCUUAUGCUAAUCUUGUACCAAGGACUUGUCUGGACAUGUUUGCCAAGGUAAAACUAGUGUAACCCCUGUCUACCCCUCCCCAUUUGUGACAUGUCAGUGAUGUAGCAAUGAUGUAUCAAUGAUGCUGUACGAACUGUAUUCUGGGAUAUGGUGGGAAGGUUUUAAAAGUCCUUGUCACCCCAUCCUCAGGGUUAAAAAUUCCUCUUUGAACCUGUUGCGCAAUAAACUAUGGUCUACAGCUAUUUGCUCCGGUUGGUGGCUGGACUCCUUCCUUUAUUCCUCAGGGACUCACGAUGAGCUGGGUGACUGAGCAGCCUCACACCUAGAUUUUUCCGUAACAAGGAUGUACACCGUAUACAAUAACCUAUUUAAUUAAAUCCAAUGCAGAUGUUUUUCUUCCUUUCUUCAUGCAUUCUUGUUUGAGUUCAUAUAUUACACAGUCCUCAAAUGUGGUUAAGGAAAGGUCCCUGGAAUGUCCCUGACAAGGUUUCCGGAUAUUUCCUUGUUUUGCCCCAAAGGGCUUCCUCAGCUGUUAAUAGUUCAUUGAAGUGUGUAACAGAUUACGUAAACAAUGAUUCUUGGACGAUUCUCAAUAGUGAGAACUACCCAACGCAGCUGCCUGAGCCAGCCAGCCUGUUUCUGCUACCUAUGCUAGCCAACCUCAUCAGCUAGAAUAGAAUUUUAUUAUUACGGUCACAGACCAGUUCCGGGUCACUUAUAAUAUCAGGAAAAUCAUAAAACCUCAUCAGCUGUAUUGUCGGUGUAAUAUAUAAACUCAAACAAGAAUGUAGGAAGAAAGGAAGAAAUAUAUCUGCAUUGGAUUUAAUUAAAUAGGUUAUAUACCUUGCAUUUGUGACAUGCUAGUGAUGUAGUGAUGAUGUCUCAAUGAUGCCCCUCAAAGUGUAUUCUGGGGAAAACAGGGAAGUUUAAAAGAGGAGGUCACCCCAUGCUUGGGGUUCUUACUCCUGGGGAGACCUGUUGUGCAACAAUAAAGAUCGUGGUCUUCUGACUGCUGUUUUGCUCCAAAUUACUUGGCUGGAACUUCCUUCUUUUACUGACCACAUGGACCUGCAGGGGACUUGCACCCCGAGGAGCUGGGCUGUUGAGUGGUCUCUCACCCCAGAAUUUUUCCCCCAUAACAGCAGGAACUCCAACAUUCCUCAGAUGAAAAUAGGAACAUUUCUCACUCCCCCCAACUCACCCUCCUCAACCCCCCAUUUUCUGUGUCCCCUCUGUCCCCGCAGAAGCAUUUUCUAUCAGAAUAUGGCCAAGUCCCACUGACUCUGUGCCAACAGGACUCACUCAGCAAAAAUGCCCUCUGCCCUUCUGAGAAAACCCCUUAAUCCUGAUUUUAUUUUAUUCUUUGGUAGAUUUAACCUUCCCCCCCCCCAAAAAAAACCCACACCAAUAAAUAAAUCUUAGAAAGGGGCAAGAUGAGAUGCAGGUGGACAAUGCAUUCAGGACUCCUGGUGCUCUGCUCUGCUUCACCUGACCUCUGCUUAGGCUGGAAAGUCUACAACAGGGGGCCCCAAACUAAGGAUUAGGAUAAGGCCCCAGGGACUCGUUUAUCCAGCCCGUGGCGACCCCCGCCACCCGCUGCCACUGCCUGCUCUUACUGGCGCUGUGUUGCAUGACUUCCCACUUCCCGGUCAGAGGAGCUCUGGAAAUAGAUUGUGCGCAUGCGCAAGCAUUCUUUCCAGUGCACAUCCGGGUUGGAGGAGGCCUGUGCACAUGCACACAAGCUAUUUCUGGUGCACCUCCGACCCAGAAGUGCACCGGAAAUAGCGUGUGCACAUGCGUAUGGGCACGCGCUCCCCCACCCUCUGGCCUGCAGUGUGAUCGGCGCUGGAGACACUGGCCCGAGGCGCGGUAAGUUUGCUGACCCCUGGUCUACAUCCUCCUGAGGAAGAUCGUUCCACUGUCAAACAGCAGCUCUUACUGUCAGAAAGUUCUUCCUGAUGUUGAGGCGGAAUCUCCUUUCUUGUAACUUGAAGCCACUGGUUUGAGUCCUGCCCUCCAGAGCACGAGGAAACCAGCUUGCUCCCUCUUCCAUGGGACAGCCCUUGAGAUAUUUGAAGAUGGCCCUCAUGUCUCCUCUCAGUCUCCUCUUUUCCAGGCUAAACAUCCCUAGCUCCUUCAACCAUUCCUCAUCAGGCGUCCCUUUAUCAAAAAUGAAGAUAGAAAAAAAUAACAUCAAUAACAACCUCUCACCGCACAACAUCCCCCCCCCCCAAUACCCCAGUCAAUAGUCUGUUCAUCCGCCUCAGCUUUCGUAGCUGAAGUCAGCCAGGUGAGUGUAAUAAACGAAAAUCUGCCCUUAUUCCCUUAUGGGGGUGCACAAGAGCCCUUAUAGAGUCCUUUGCAGGUUUUCCAUUGGUCGGAGAAAAUAACAGAGGCCAAGCAGAGAAUAUUGAAAAGCAAAGCAGCUCGUAAGCCUGAUUUUUAUUGAACUGUUGCAACAGGGUGCUCCCCUCUCACACAGGAAAGGAGAAGGACCCCGAACCAAACUGUGCCUGCUCUUAUAUAGACAUUUCAAAUUGGCUGCCUUGGAGUCCAAGACCACCCCCCAGACACAUCAUACCUACAUCACAGAAAGGGCUGUCUACAACAAAAAUCUGAGUGCAUUGUUUAUCUCCUUUCUGGUAGACCUGUCAAUGCUCACUUGAUUGGAUACCCUGGGGAGCCUGGCCAGUCUUUUGUAGUGACAAAUACAGUGGUGCCUCGCAAGACGAAAUUAAUUCGUUCUGCGAGUUUUUUCGUCUUGCGAUUUUUUCCGUCUUGCGAAGCACGGUUUUAACGGUAUUAACGGUUUUAAGAAAAAGGAAACAAACUCGCAAGACGUUUUCGUCUUGCGAAGCAAGCCCAUAGGGAAAUUCGUCUUGUGAAGCAACUCAAAAAACGAAAAACUCUUUCGUCUUGCACGUUUUUCGUCUUGCGAGGCAUUCAUCUUGCGAGGUACCACUGUACUUAGUUCCUAAGCCAGGUCACAGGCUCACCCUAUUCAUACACAGACAUACCCUUAAGACAGGUUUUGUGAAUGACAAGACAAUGGGGAGGCUUUUCCAUUUCCUUCAACCUUGCAGAGAAAACAUUUGGUCAGUUUGAGAGUCAAAAUGGUUCCAGGGCUGUUUUCCUGUGCUGCUUCAGACAUGUGGUUUUUAGAUUUAUGUAUGUGUUUGUUUGGUACAUUUAUGAACAUUUAUUGCACACAUAAGACCUUAGUUUUUUUAUUUCAUGAGAAAAGUCCUGCAAGGAAGGGAGCAGGUCUUCCAGGACUCUCAGCCAACAUUAGGAAUAAUGUUGUUAUUCCAGUGGAAUGGAUUCCCCUGGAAGGUGGUGGGCUGCAUUAAACAGAGGUUGGGGGGAGGGCAUCUGUCAUGAAUGCCUUAGCUGUGAUCCCUGUAUUGCAGGGGGUGGACUAGAUGACAUCUGGGGAUCCCUUUCCAAGCCUACAAUUCUAUGAUUCCUUUUUCUUGGCAGCACCAGGUUUUUUGGAAAUGGAGGCAUAGUACAUUUCCUCCUCUAAGCCAGGAAGUGGGAGUUCUUCUUCCUGCUGCCACAACUCUUUUAAUAAAUGAGUAGAAAGCACUUGGGAAGGAGACGGAUGAUGGUGGUCGCGAUUAACCCAGACACCAUCCAUGAAUAAUGAUAAUUGUGGCUUUGCUCAGCUACUCAGAUAAGAUCAAUUUAAUCAUUAAACAGCCUGACACAGAAAUUGCUUCCCAUCCAGACUCCCAUUCAUCUGCGGCCACUACUAUAAUUUUACUGAAACAGGAGCUUUUCUCACCCUGUACAAUUCUGCUCUUACUUUUGGUGCCAGUUCUGAGAUGUAUAAUAUUGACAUCGAAUGUCAGCUCAAUUCUGCCAUUUCAGUUUUCUGGAAAACCAAAAGCAACAUCUACAUGCAGAGGUACAUGGGCAUAAGCCAGGCAUUUGGACAUUUAUGGACAGAAAUAUACAAAGUGGAAUACGGAACUGAGAUUGAAAGUGCUCUGCCUGUAGCCCAAGAUACCCUCUAGACUUCCACAUAUCGUAUGUCCUGAGGAAGAGUCUGGCCAACACAGAACACCAGUCAGAGGAGAAGGUGGUUGCUAGAUUCAUAAAAGGGGAGAUAAGAACCUAAUGAGAACCUGCUGAGUGAGACCAAUAGUAAUAAUAAUAAUAAUAAUAAUAAUAAUAAUAAUAAUAAUAAUUUAUUAUUUAUACCCCGCCCAUCUGGCUGGGCUUCCCCAGCCACUCUGGGCAGCUUCCAGCAAAAUAUUAAAAUACAGUAAUGCAUCAAACAUUAGGGCUGCCUUCAGAUGUCAUCUAAAAGUCUGGUAGUUGUUCUUCUCUUUGACAUCUGGUGGGAGGGCGUUCCACAGGGUGGGCGCCACCACCGAGAAGGCCCUCUGCCUGAAUAUUACUGGCCCAAAAAUGGAAACAGGAGGAACUACCGACGCUCGAAGAAUGGAGAAUGAAGCUGAUGGAUUAUGCAGAACUGGAUAAAUUAACCGGGAGGAUUAGAUAUCUACGAGACCAAAAGUUCAUUGAUGACUGGGGAAAAUUUGUAGAGUAUCUGAAAAGUAUAUAUGAUGAGCAAACAACGCUGGUGGGGUUUCAAGAAGCUCUGUGAAUUGGAGGAGUAUUGUAAAAAAGAUAAUAUGUUUGGGAGGGUAUACCUAAAGGCAAUAUUAAAUUAAGGAAAUGCGUAAUUAAAAAUUAAAUACAGAUGAUUGGCAGAGAAGCUGAAGGAAGUCCAAAAGAGAAAAUCUGUGACAAACUCUGAUAUGGAAUUAUAUGUAUGUUUGUUUUGAAAAUUAAUAAAAAAUAUUUUUUAAAAAAGAGAGAAGGCCCUCUGCCUGGUUCCCUGUAACCUGGCUUCUCACAGAGAGGGAACCGCCAGAAGGCCCUCGGCGCUGGACCUCAGUGUCCGGGUAGAACGAUGGGGGUGGAGACGCUCCUUCAGAUAUACUGGCCCGAGGCCAUUUAGGCAUUGAAAGGUCAGCAUCAACACUUUGAAUUGUGCUUGGAAACAUACUGGGAGCCCAUCUACUUCUCACAGCGGAAACUUCCUCUGCCCCAGCUGCAACAAAACAUGUCUCUCCUGCUUCGGUCUCUACAGCUUCAACAGGCACUGCAACCUUCCAACAGUUUGACCUCACGCCCAAAGGUGCAGUCAAGAGAGACAGACUGAUGACAACCAAUUGCAACACCCUCUAUGUGGGGCAAAGCUCAGGAUCUGGGUGCAACAAUGGAUUAUCAGUCCAGCAAAAAGUUCUAUCGUAGCUCCAGGGUGGACCACGUAGUGCUGGCCAUGCAGAGCAUCUCACACCGAGUAGGUAAACACGAGCUUUCCCCAUCUCCUUUGAAAAAGGUCCAAGCAUGACUUCGUAACUUAUCAAGUAGCACUCUAUGUGUUAGCAGCUAAAAAGAUCAGGAGAAAAUAACAUUUAAGACAUUUAAGCUGGCAAAUUCUACCUGAGAACCCUCUGCUAUUCUAUCGGAUGCAACAAAUAAUUUCUAGGAAGCAUGACAGCGGUUUGUUGCGUUUGCAGUGCCUGAUGUUUUUAUGUUUUUAUGUGCCUGAUGUUUUUAUGGUUAUUGUUGCUUUUCUUUUUGAUCCCCUUGUGAAUGAUGCCAUGGCCUUUGGCUAGUGCAAUAAAGUUUAUGAUGAUGAUGAUGACAUCCAAGCAAGAGGUGAUGGGGGGAAAGCCUCUCUUUUUUCUGGCUGUGCUCCCCUGAAGAUCUCCUGCCAGAACUCAGAAUGGACAGUCCUGGGCUAGAUAGACAGACCUGCUACAUGGCAGCUUCUAGUCAACCAUCCUGCACAGGGCCGGAUUGAGGUUUGAUGCAACCCUCAGCUCCUGAAGGUAAUGGGGCCCUUUCUAUGUCCAGCUGUCCUUUGUCAGCAACAAAUGGUCACUGUUUUUUGUACUGAAUAUAUUGUUGUUGUUGUUUAGUCGUUUAGUCGUGUCCAACUCUUCGUGACCCCCUGGACCAGAGCACGCCAGGCACUCCUGUCUUCCACUGCCUCCUGCAGUUUGGUCAAAUUCAUGCUGGUAGCUUCGAGAACACUGUCCCACCAUCUCGUCCUCUGUCGUCCCCUUCUCCUUGGGCCCUCCAUCUUUCCCAUAUAUAUUGAAUAUAUGCUAUAUGGUAAUUGAUGGACCUAAUAGGUAUCUCAAGCCAUUUGACACUGUUGCUGUAUGCAGGUUUUAUUUUUAUUUUUUUAAUAAUAUUUAUUGAGAUUUCAAAAGAAAACAAAAAAUACAAAAAUUACACAAAAACAAAAAAUAGAAAAUACAAAAACUUGCACACAAUAAGAAAAAGAUACAAAAGUAAAAAAAUAAAAAUAUGAAAAAGUAAGAAAUACAGAAGAAAAAUAAUAGUAGAGAAGAAAAAACAUUAGACCUCCUCCUCCUCCCUUCCUUUGUAUUCUAGUUAUUAAUUAUCCCAGCAAAUCCUUUCCAUCUUUCUAUUAUAUAAUAAACCUUACAAUUUAAAAUUUAAAUCUUAACUAUACCAACUUCUUAUAUUCAUAAUGUUCUUUCAUGAUUCUUUAAUAGUUUUUAAUUAUCCCAGCAAAUCCUUUCCUUCUAUUAUAAAAUAAACCUUAAAAUUUAGAAUUUAGAUCUUGACUUUACCCACUUCUUAUAUUCAUAAUGUUCUUUCAUAAUUCUUUAUACAUCUUUGCUAAAGCCAGGUAAAUUCUUCCAACAUUUUCCUAUCAUUCAUUUUUCUCUCAUUCUAUCAUUCAUCAGCUUUAUAAAACAUUCUAUUAGUUAAAAAACAAAACAAAAAAAACAAAGAGAAAGAAGCAUAUAAUCAAAUCCAAUCUUAAUCCAACGUCCCUUCCUCCUGGUUUCGGGAUUUGUCAGUCCUUAUUCAUCAAACUAACCCGGUGACCUUAUGUCCGAGGCCCUCAAGUCACUUCCAUGGCCCUUCCGCAGCUUUUCUUCAUAUUUGUGGCUGUAGUCACUUGCUCGUAGUAGCUCCAACUUAAUAGUGUUUUUAACCCUUCUCAUCAGAUCAGAUCCUUUUCCCUGUUCAUCGCUGCAUUCCAUGUAGUAUUUAAGAGCAUACUUCAAGGGCCCUCCGAAUUUGUGGACCCCCACAUUUCCAAACAUGUCGCAGCCUGUUACUGAAUUUAAAAAGUCCAAAUAUCCCAACAUAGGGGGGUCAAUCCAGCCCCCCAUUUCCAAACCACACCGAACUUUCCCUUCCCAUAUCUGAUUUUUUCCAAGUUCCAUUAUCAAGUCCGAAGGAUCAAGCUCCUGUUGAGACUGUUCUGUCAAGCCACACUCCUGAUUUAAUGCCACAAACCCCUGUUCUGUCAAAACACACUCCUGGUUUGAAUCCUGGAUAGACUCCACAUAUAUUCCCACAGUUUGAUCAACGCCUUCCACUGCCAGUCCGAGAUUUCCAGUCGACUUGGCCAUCUGGUUCACCUUAUCAUGUAGUUCUUCCAGUAGAAUAUUUGUUUUAUUGAGCAGGCAAACCACAACUUCUGAAAACAUUGUUGCACUCUCCCACGGUUCUUUGUAACAACUGUCAAGUCCUUGGCAUUUAGUUACAGUUUCUAAGGCUCCCCCUAGGGAGAAGACUUAUAUUUGUUUCUGAUACAUUUCCAUGUUACUUAAAAUCCUUUAUCCUUAUAUAUUCCUUUAAAAUGCGAAAGGGAACAGUAGAGUCACAAAAAUUCUCUUCUUUUAACUAUCUGACACACACAGAUACCUUGAUUUGUUCACGUCAGUCCUGACUUCCCCGCUCCAGGAUCAGGACGAAAGUAACUUCCUUUUACUGCUUCAAAUAGUCCAAAAAAAAAAAAAUAUUCCCAAUUUAAAAUGUUGGAAUCCACUCUUUUGAAAGCAAUUUUCAAAGCUCUAGUACAAAUUGUCUUUGCUUUGUUAUAUUUACAAAAGAACGGAAGGGUGACUUCCUGUUUAGCCCUUACCGCUCCGUACCAAAUUCAAUCAAUUUUUCUUUCUUUUUUUUAUAGUCCAAUUCUGCCCUUUUCACUAAUCUUCAUUUAAUGUCCCAAUUUGUCCAAAUUCUGGGUACUCACGGAUAUUUGUUUUAAAGUCCGAAUUGUCCAGGAAGAAAGGCAGCGCUCUCCGGCAACAGCUACGCGGCUUCACUCCACAAAAGAAGCAGACGACUCACAGCACAGCGCCUUCACUUCCCCGCUCUGUUCCGGAGCCCGUUGCCGGGUUCCUUUGCAGAUUGGGGGGGCGCAAACAGUGCCCGCCGAGUCCCAGGGUCACAGGCUUCACCCGCCUGUGGUUUGAAGGGUCCCCGCUGCGCCGAAGCGGUUUUAGACCCGAUUUAUGUGGAGCGGUCUCCCUCUGGAUUAGAGGGAUUCCGCCAUUGCCGUUGGCGCCACCUCCGGAAGAGGGGGGCCCAAGAGAGUUUUUUGGGGGGGGGCCAAGAGAGUGGGGCCCUAAGCUAGAGGUUUUUUUUUUUUUUAAAUAAAUAUUUUUUUUGUUUUUUAUCUUAUAUUUUGGAAAUGUACAUCCAGGUUUUUUUUUUCCUUUACAUUUUUUUGGGGGGGGCCCAAGAGAGUGGGGCCCUAAGCUAGAGGUUGUUUUUUUUUUUAAAAAAAAAUAUUUAUAAAAUUUUCCAUAUAUAACAAUAAAGGAAAAACAUUCCAUCCAAAAUUUACAUCCAAUUCUAAUCUUUCUACUUUCAGACUUCCCUCAGUCUAUCUGGAAAUUUUCCAUAUUAUCACAAUUAUUCACAUUUCUUCCAUCUAUAUUGUUUUUUUUUUAACCAUAUUAAUCUUAACAAUUAUUAUAGAACAAUAUUUCUUUCCAUUAUUAUCACAGAGCUUCUUGAAAACCUACAAACAUUAAUUGUUCUUCACAUAUAUUUUUAAUAUACUCUGUAAAUUUAUUCCAGUCCUUGGUAAAUCUUUGGUCUCGCCGGUUCCGAAUUCUUCCCGUUAAUUUAUCUAGUUCUGCGUACUCCAUCAACUUCAUUCUCCAUUCUUCUUUCGUCGGGAUUUCUUCCUGUUUCCAUUUUUGUGCCACCAAAAUUCUUGCCGCUGUUACUGCAUAUAAAAACAACUUCUCAUCCUUCUUUUUUAUAUCAUAUCAUACAAGCUAGAGCUUGUUUAGCUUAUACGUAAAUCCGGCACUGAACCUGCAUCCCAGAUGCUUCCAUGAAGCCUGCAAGCAGACCGUGAAGGCAACUCCCCCUCUUAAGAACAUAAGAAGGGCCAGUGGCCCACUGAGUCCAGCAGCCUGCUUUCACUGUGGCUGAAGAGUUGCCUGCGGGAAACCAGCAAGCAGGAUCCAAGCACAAGAGCAUGACUGGCAUUCAGUGUGGGAUGUAAUCCACUGAGAGCAGUCAAAUACAACAUUCCUUGUUUUCCUAGAGUGGACAUGCAAGGGGAUGUUUGGUCCAGCCUGUCAAAAACAUCCUGUUUCCUCCUGGGCUGGAGCAUCCUUCCUUUUGCAUGUGAUAGAAGGUGGACGUGACCUUACCUGUCCAGGUAACAAAAGGAUGAGUCACACCUCCCUCUUUUUCACUUCCUUCGUCAUUUGACCAGCUUCUAGUUAGGACUGCUCUGCUAGCUCUCAGCUAGCAGAAGCACUGGGAUUAUUCCCCCAUAUGGGGUAGAUCCACACGUACAUAUUUGUAACUAAGUCUGCCUUCAGGGGUCCAGCUGUGUACUGAUGUAAGUAAACUUCUUUUAUUAACUUUGAAUAAGAUUGUGGCGUCUUUAUUCUUUUAAGAGGGAUUCAAGGGAACUUACCAGGAACGUACAUUUCAAUCUGAGACAGACUGAAUUAUAUAAUAGUAAGAGGCUUACAGUGGGUGGCACUGUGGUGUAAAGCACUGAGCCUUGAGCUUGCCGAUCAGAAGGUCAGUGGUUCGAAGCCCCACAAUGGGGUGAGCUCCCGUUGUUCAGUCCCUGCUCCUGCCAACCUAGCAGUUCGAAAGCACGUCAAAGUGCAAGUAGAUAAAUAGGUACUACUCCAGCAGGAAGGUAAAUGGCAUUUCCGUGCGCUGCUCUGGUUUCGCCAGAAGCGGCUUAGUCAUGCUGGCUACAUGAACUGGAAGAACUGUCUGCGGACAAACGCCGGCUCCCUUGGCCAGUAAAGCAAGAUGAGCGCCGCAACCCCAGAGUCAUUCGUGACUGGACUUAACUGUCAGGGGUCCUUUACCUUUACCUUUAAGAGGCUUACACAAGCCUGCAACCAGCUGUCUGCUGUGCAUGUAAAAAGGGGAAUGUAUACUCUGCUAAGUAAGGAAACUUGCUGGUGCAUGUUAGGAAGGAUAUUAAUAAACAAUAUAUCCUCUCCUGCCACCCUGACUAUUCCCACAUUCAGAAGCAAUGCCGCCUCCAACUGUGGGGGCAGAACAGAGCUGUCCUGGCUAAUAGUCUUCUCCUCCAUGGAUGCAUCCAGUCCUCAUUUAAAGUCCUCUGGGUUGGUGACCAUUCCUGCCUCCUGUAGGAGCAAGGGCCAGAGUUUGACCAUGCACCGCAUGGAGGGCUUUCUUUGUUGGGUGUCCCCGAGUUCUCAUGUCAUGAGAGAGGGAGAGAUGCUUCCCCUCCCUGCUUUCUCCUUGCCAUGUGCAAUUCAGGAAGUCUCUCUCUUGUUUCCUCUUCCUCGCCUUUUCUCUAACCUGAAAGGUCCCAAAGCACCUGCAACCUUUCCUCAUAGGGCAGUCGCUCCAUCCCCUUGAUCCUUUGAAUUGCCCUUUUCUGAACCUUUCGAAACUCUACAAUAUCCUUUUUCAUGUGAGGUGACCAGAGCUGUACGCAAUAUAUUCCAACCACGUUUGCAGCAGUGUAUUUAUAGGCUGCAUUCAGGAGGACUCCAGACAAAAGCAGCUCAGAGUCCAGGCACAUUUAAAUUUAAGCAAGUACUUUUUCUGGCUGUUUUUUGAGUUUGCAUUUCAAAAGAGGGUUCUGGGGAGGAUGAUAGCAGACCACUCAAAGCCUCCCUCCAUCUGAGAGCACCAGGCAGCCUCAGAGGAGGAGUCUGUUUUCUCAGAGUCCUGAUUGGGGUUUUGCUUAAUGCCAUGGUCUCUGAGAGCUACAAACCAUAAGUCCAGAUUUGCAACAUAAUCAGGCAAAGAACUGUAAACAGGCAACUCUCCCAAUUUUCAUGCUGAAGCUCUUCAGCGAGACUUGGGAAAUAUCCAGGCCAGGAAACAACAACAAAAAUAUUUUCCUUGUCAGCUCCUUGCAGAAAAUGUGGUGAAACAAGCAUUUGUGUCAGGUUCGUUGUUCUGUGGAUUGUCGAAAACCCCAGUGCAAAGAGAAUUCAAAUAUUAACUCAGACAAGGAGUGGGUGCAUUGCCAAUAUGGGAAGUGGGUGGGAAGGAGAGAUUUGCCCAACAAACCCAGCUUCCUCUGGGUUCUCCCUUGCAGUCUCUGUGAAGGAAGAUGACUGUGACCUUCAAACCGCUUUGAUACAUUUGUAAAUAAGGUAUAAUGAAGCUGGCAGAACAAGGAUGGGUGUGUGUGUGUGUGUGUGUGUGUGUGUGUGUUGUGUUGUGUUGCAAGAUACAGCCUCACACCUCUCCUGGUUGCAUUUAGGUCACAACCAGUAGAGAGUUGGGGGGGAUUCUGAAAAGCCUAACUGGGGAUGCAACAGCAUUUUGUAAACAAAUUACUUAAUAUUUCCCAUAUCCCCCUUUCUCUCCAAUACACUUCCUUUUACAUUUUAACAAUCCUCUUUCUCAGGUGUGUGAAGAGUGUGUUCCGUGAGUGAGCUUCUGGUGCUAAAUAGUUUGCAAGCUGGGAAACAUAGUCUUUUGCAAUUUUGUAUGCAUUUAACCCAAUACAGUGGUACCUCGGGUUAAGAACUUAAUCCGUUCUGGAGGUCUGUUCUUAACCUGAAACUGUUCUUAACCUGAAGCACCACUUUAGCUAAUGGGGCCUCCUCCUGCUGCUGCUGCUGCACCACUGCUGCACGAUUUCUGUUCUCAUCCUAAAGCAAAGUUCUUAACCCAAGGUAAUAUUUCUGGGUUAGCGGAGUCUGUAACCUGAAGCAUAUGUAACCUGAAGCGUAUGUAACCCGAGGCACCACUGUAUACACAUUUUGCCUGCUUCUUGCAAGAAAAGCAAUGACAAACUAGACAAACUAGACAAACAAUGUCUAGACAGCAUCUUUAAAAACAGAGACAUCACCUUGCCAACAAAGGUCCGUAUAGUUAAAGCUAUGGUUUUCCCAGUAGUGAUGUAUGGAAGUGAGAGCUGGACUAUAAAGAAGGCUGAUCGCCGAAGAAUGGAUGCUUUUGAAUUCUGGUGCUGGAGGAGACUCUUGAGAGUCCCAUGGACGGCAAGGAGAUCAAACGCAUCCAUUCUGAAGGAAAUCAGCCCUGAGUGCUCACUGGAAUGACAGAUCCUGAAGCUGAGGCUCCAAGACUUUGGCCACCUCAUGAGAAGAGAAGACUCCCUGGAAAAGACCCUGAUGUUGGGAAAGAUGGAGGGCACAAGGCGAAGGGGACGACAGAGGACGAGAUGGUGGGACAGUGUUCUCAAAGAUACCAGCAUGAGUUUGACCAAACUGCGGGAGGCAGUGGAAGACAGGAGGGCCUGGCGUGCUCUGGUCCAUGGGGUCAUGGAGAGUCGGACACGACUAAACAACAACAACACAUUUUGCAAGGCUGUUUCCCUUAAAAUGAUGCUUUUUAAUAGAUUGCAUGCUAUUUUAAGAAAGAAAUGUAUUUUUAUGCAUGGUUCACCCCAUUGUGUGCGUUUUGGUAUGUUUUACUUGACUGGAGAAUUGCACUGUAUAAUUAGGAGAAGUGCAAAUUUCAAAGGGCAUCUUUGGUUUUUGUGUUGUUUUGGAAACUGCAAAUUGGGUGGAUUCACAUGCAAAUGGAAUCCAAUUCCUCCCCAUCUCUAUUGACCCUUGAUGGUGGUGGCCCCAUCAAAGUCUCUGUGGCUGAACAGGGACCCCAAAGCAGGGAAGAAGCACCACCCCCUUAUUUCACGGCAGGGAUCUCCUUCCCUGGGGCACUUGAUAGAACAGUGAGAGGGUUGAAGAUAACCCCAUCUGCACCUCCAAUACUUUCUUAUCCAGAUGGGUAGGCCAUCCAUCAUCACAUCGACAUGAUCCCAGGACAGUUUCCCGCAAGACCACAAAAUACAACAAGCAGAAAGCAAAAACAAAAAUUAAAGCAAUCCAGUUAAUAAAGCACCAGCAAGGAAACAACACAAGACCAAAACAGUCGCUGGUGUUUGAUUCCAAAAUCCCAGCAAAAUAAAAUUGUUCUUUUCACUCUCAGUGGAAACUUUUCAGAAUCUCCCCCGGCUGGGCUUCAAGGGGGGAAGGGGAAUCCAGAGUUGGGGGACCACAGCAGAGGAGACCCUCUCACAGAUGACCAUAUGUGACCAUAAGGAAGAGGUUUUCAACCUUUUUGAGUCCACGGCUCCCUUGACCAACUACAUUCUUUCUGCAGCUCCCCUGUAGGGCUCAGGAGCCCAGUCAUGUCACCCCUUCCUGCAGAAAUGGCAGCCUCUCACCCUUUUUCAAACACCCUCCCUUGGGGAGUGUUCCCUCAGCCUCCUCUCCCCUCUCCUUGGAAGUCCUCUGGGCAGCUGCUGCCACCACCCCUGGUCUCUGAGCCCCCACCCCAAAGAGAGGUGCCUCUCAGAGGCGCUAUUCGCCUGCAGAGCUUGUAGUCAGGACUGCUGCAAUAAACAGCUGUGCAAGCUAUAGGUAGGUAGCCGGGUUGGUCUGCCGUAGUCGAAACAAAAUAAAAAAAUUCCUUCCAGUAGCACCUUAAAGACCAACAAAGUUUGUUAUUGGUAUGAGCUUUUCUGUGCAUGCACACUUCUUCAGCUGUGCAAGCCUUUGGGAGGCAGAGACACGAGAGGAAAUCAGAGGAGGAGAAGAAGAAGAAGAGUUUGGAUUUGAUAUCCCGCCUUUCACUCCCCUUCAGGAGUCUCAAAGCGGCUAACAUUCUCCUUUCCCUUCCUCCCCCACAACAAACACUCUGUGAGGUGAGUGAGGCUGAGAGACUUCAGAGAAGUGUGACUGGCCCAAGGUCACCCAGCAGCUGCAGGUGGAGGAGCGGAGACGCGAACCCGGUUCCCCAGAUUACGAGACUACCGCUCUUAACCACUACACCACACUGGCUCUCUAAAUGGCCUUCAGGGUCCUUGUGCCAAUUCUACCAUUCCAGGAUUUGGUGGUGGGGAGGGCUGGGGUGCCUGGGGGGGGCGCCUCCGUGGUGAACUCCCUAAGCCCCCUCUUUUGGGUCUCUUGGUCGCUCUUCUGCUCUCCUGCCAGCCUCUCCUGGGACCAACAUCCUCCCCUCCCAGUCAAGCCUCUUCCUCUUCAUCCCUAAGUUGCCCCUCUGCUCAAGUGGUAGCCAUUUCAGCCUCCCUCCAGCCAAGUCUCGCUAGCCAUGCCAUGCCAGGCCAAGCCCCAACUCUUCUCCUUGCAGGAAAAAAGUGAGACAUUUCCUCCCUCAUUCCAAAAGACCAAACACCAAACAUCUGGAUGCACUGGAUGCAUCUGGAUUUCUGCACUAGGACGCCCAAAUCACAAGCACACCUGGGAUGUCCAGUCUCCACCAUCUAUGAAGAGAAGAAGAGUUUGGAUUUGAUAUCCCGCCUUUCACUCCCCUUCAGGAGUCUCAAAGCGGCACACUUUGCGGCACACAACAAACACUCUGUGAGGUGAGUGGGGCUGAGAGACUUCAGAGAAGUGUGACUGGCCCAAGGUCACCCAGCAGCUGCAUGUGGAGGAGCGGGGAAUCGAACCCGGUUCCCCAGAUUAUGAGACUACCGCUCUUAACCACUACACCACACUGGCUCUCAGGAGGGAGAGAAGGAAAGAGGGACAGAGAAUAUUGCUGCCUGCAGCACCUCUGACCAUCAUUCAAGGCAGCCCAGGGUGCCACAGCACACGGGUUGAAAACCACUGCCAUAAGGGAUGACCAGAAGGGAUGGCAAGAAGGUUGGCCGUUAAGUCUAGGGUGGAUUAUAUGGGAGAAGGUGCAGAUUGCAGGUCUCUGAAUCUCAGCUACUGAGGAUGGUGGGUGAGAGAGGGGAAUUGCAGUUAUGCAGUAGGAUAUGUCAGGAGUGCUCUGAUGGUGUUUCCUGCUUGGCAGGGGGUUGGACUCGAUGGCCCUUGUGGUCUCUUCCAACUCUAUGAUUCUAUGAUUCUAUGAGUUCCCAGUGACCUUGCAGUUAUGUGUGGCAUGGAGAAAGCGGAAAGUGAUACGGAAGGGGGGGCAUGUCUUCUUCACCUUCUUCUUCGCUACAAUAUAUCCAUUUAUUUCCGAGUCCAAUUGUCAAAAUAAAAUUGGGCUAAAAUCUAUAAAAAUUCAUAUUAAAUCAACCGUAACACCGAUUUUCUUGCUUUCGGUGCCAAUUUGCUCAAUUUCUCUAGGACUCCAUGACACCUCCAGUGUCCUCCAUAAUCCCUCAAGCGAGGUGUCAUGUACACUCAGGAAGACCCUAAUCUUCUCAAAUCACCCUGCCAAGCCCUUCCUCCGGGCAGUGCCAGGUGGCAGACUAUGCAUACCUGGACUAUUGUCCUCUCAUCACCGGUACUUAGGAUGUGGUUAUCUGCGCAUAUCUCCAGCUCUGCAUAUUCCCCCUUCCUCCUCCAUAUGUUAAUCCUGUGUAACCCAACCUCUUCUUAAGGUAUUCAUGAUGUAACCGUGAUGUAUUUUGCACUGCAUCCUCGGAGAUGGAGGGAAGUUUUAAAAGUUCAUGUCACCCCUUCCUCAGGGUUCAAUCUCGCCUUGAACCUGUUGAGCAAUGAACUUGGAUCUUCUGCAGCUUGCUCCUGUCUCCGGCUGAGCUCAUUUUCUUCCGCAGGGACCCGCGGACUUAGUCCGACGAGCUGGGUGGCAGAGCAGCCUCGCACCCAGAUUUUACCGUAACAAAAGAGAAAAGGUUUUCUCUUCUCUCAUGACGCUAGAACUCCUGGGCAUCCAACGAAGCUGAGUGCUGGGAGAUGCAGGAUGGACGAAAGAAAUAACUUCUUCAAGCAGUGUGAAGUUAAGCAGGAGGCCGGGCUGGCCACCCACCACGAUUGCCUUAAAAGAGGAUGGAGGAAAGGCGUGGAGGGGAGGGCUAUGGCCCCUAGCCAGGAUGGCUCUGUUCUGCCUCCACAAUUGGAAGCAGCGGUGCUUCUGGCUACCAGUUGCUGGAAGCAACAGAAGGGGAGAGUGUGGCCCUUGUGCUCGGAUCCUGCUUGCAGGAUUUCCAUGGGGGAUCUGCUUGGCCACCGUGAGAAGAAGAUGCUGGACUCAAUGGGUCAUUCAUGGGCCUGAUCCAGACGGGCUCUUCUUACAGUCUUGGGGCAAAGGCAGCUUCUUUGUCAUUCUUAAACACCCCCAAGGGAUGCUUAGGACAGCUUGGAUGGCCUCUGCUCAGUAGGCUGGCUCUGGGAGAAGGAGAAGAAGAGGAAGAAGAGGAAGAAGAAGAGGAAGAAGUUGGCUGAUCCUUCAGAUGCAAGAGGAAGCAUCCCUAUAAAUAAACAACUCGGCUGCUUUCUCCUGCCAAAGAGCUGCCUUCAAAUUGGGCUUUGGGGGUGAUUUGCGCCAGGGAAUUAAUCUGUUUUUCUCAUCUCCUCUGCCCUCCCAUCAGGCGUUGAGAUCCUGGGUGUGGAUAAAGGUGCCUUUUGAAAAGAGUUUCUCUUUCCCUUGCAGGAUUUUCUCAUCUCUCCCUGGCACCAUUUUUAUCGCUCUUUCUGAAGAAGUGUUUAAUUUGCCUCUUUUAAGUUUCCUUUCCUCUAAUCUGGGGGCCGUCUGCAUCUCCCUGACUUGUCAGAUCUCCUUUGUUAGCCUGCAGUUUUUCUUAUCUUGCUCGCUUGCUCUUUCCCUCCCUCCCUCCACUCACAAUCUCAGUUAUUAUUUUUUUGGCCGGGCUUUGGGCGGGGGGAGAGGGGGAAAAUGAUUUCUGGAUUUGCAGAGGCAAGUUAUGAGAUGGGUGCGGGGUGGUGGAGGAGUGAGAAGGAAGAAGAGAUAUUGCGGAUAGCAAAGGUGACUAGCCUUCUCUCGGAGGGCCUCUUGGAAACUUUCACCAGUCCAAAAGCUCCUACAUUGUGGGGGGCUGGACUAGAUGACCCUCAGGGUCCCUUCGAAUUUUAGGGGGGCAUGUGGUCCCCACAUGCAGGAGGCCUCUCCCAGGUUCAUUUCUGGGUGCUGUAGGUCAAAAGCAUCUCUCCAGCAAUGUUCAGAGGCAGGUUGCCUGUGACCCUGGAAGAAGCACACAAAGCUAUAAUGGCUGGGGGAGUGGGGGUGGCUGCAAUGAUCUGGAAACCAAGCCUUAUGAGGAAUGGUUGAGGGAGCUGAGUAUGUUUAGCCUGGAAAAAAGGAGGCCUACUGAGAUUCCUGCAUUGCCAGGGGUGGACUAGAUUAUGCUUGGGGUCCCUUCCAACUCUACAAUUCUAUGAUUCUGUAGUAGUAGUAGUAAUCAUCACCAUCAUCAUCAUCAUCAUAAUUUAUUUGUACCCCUCCCAUCUGGCUGGGUUUUCCCAGCCACUCUGGGCAGCUCCCAGCACAAUAAAACAUCAAACAUUAAAAGCUUCCCUAAACAGGGCUGCCUUCAGAUGUCUUCUAAAAGUCUGGUAGCUGUUUUUCUCUUUGACAUCUGGUGGGAAGGCGUUCCACAGGGCGGGCGCCACCACCGAGAAGGCCCUCUGCCUGGUUCCCUGUAACCUCGCUUCUCGCAGUGAGGGAACCGCCAGAAGACCCUUGGAGAUGGACCCAGGUGUCUGGGCAGAAUGAUGGGGGUGGAGACGCUCCUUCAGGUCUACUGGGCAGAAGCUGUUUAGGGCUUUAAAGGUCAGCACCAACACUUUGAAUUGUGCUUAGAAAGUUAAUGUGAAUUUUAACCUGUUUUUAGUAUUUUAACUUCCUAUAUUCUAUCGUUGCCAAUUUUUCUUAGUGAUGAUUUACCGUAUUUUUCGCUCUAUAAGACGCACCAGACCACAAGACGCACCUAGUUUUUGGAGGAGGAAAACAAGAAAAAAAUAUGCUGAAUCUCAGAAGCCAGAACAGCAAGAGGGAUCGCUGUGCAGUGAAAGCAGCAAUCCCUCUUGCUGUUCUGGGUUCUGGGAUAGCUGCGCAGCCUGCAUUUGCUCCAUAAGACGCACACACAUUUCCCCUUACUUUUUAGGAGGGAAAAAGUGAGUCUUAUAGAGCAAAAAAUACGGUAAUCAUUUUAUCUUUCGAUAAACCUCUUUGUGUUUAGUUUUUCUUUAACAAUCAAGAUGUAGAUUCUUUGUUUCAUGAUGUAAAAAAAAAACAAAAAAACAACCCAAGGUAUUAUUCCCUGAGAUUCUGUACAUCUAUGGUAGGACAGAAGCCAAUUUUGCAACCCAGCACAUCUGUCCUGCAAUCAAUGCAUUUUGUUCCACAUCAAUCGCCGCACUGCCUCCGAAGCGGAAUCCCGCUGGCAGCCUGGAAACCACCACCCCCUGCCCUGCAUUUUCCUGUGGGGGGGGGGGCGGCCUUGAUGCAUUUAUCAUUGCACAAGCUCUUCUGGAUCAAAAAGAGAGAAGAGGCCCCAAGCAGAGUGGCUUGUCAGCACUGCGGAGGAGCUGAUCCCAGCAGCAACUUGGCUAUUUCCUGAGCUUUGGAUUUCUGCCUUUGUGGGUUUCUGAGCCUGAAGCUGUGAGCCUGGGAAAUCCCGUUGAUCAAGCCUGGGUACCACAAAGCACCCCGAAGCAUGUUCAGCAUCUCUCAGGGUGGAUUAGCUGCCCUUCCUGCAAAUUGAGCUCUGCAUCAACCUCUCUCUCUGCAUCCUCUUCCCUUAAGCACUCGUAUUGAUCCGAAUCCCCAAAUCUCUCAAGUGGCAAUGGAUGGACGGAGAAACCACUCUCUUUUUUUAUCACAAAAGGCAGAAUCGCCUCCUGUACAGGCUCUGAAGAACAGCUCUGCCUUCAGAUUCAAGAUCUGAGGGGAGGAGGGCUAAACCAUGGCUAGGCAACCUAAGGCCCGGGGGCUGGAUCCGGCCCAAUCGUCUUCUACAUCCGGCCCGCGGACAGUCAGUGUGUUUUUACAUGAGUAGAAUGUGUCUUUUUAUUUAAAAUGCAUCUCUGAGUUAUUUGUGGGGCCUGCCUGGUGUUUUUACAUGAGUGGAAUGUGUGCUGUUAUUUAAAAUGCAUUUCCGGGUAAUUUGUGGGCCAUAGGAAUUGGUUCAUUUCCCCCCCACCAAAAAAAAUAUAUAGUCCGGGCCCCCACAAGGUCUGAGGGACAGUGGACUGGCCCCCUGCUGAAAAGGUUUGCUGACCCCUGGGCUAAACCAAUCAAUAAAGAAUGAGAAAAUAAAGAAUAGAAUUGUGGGGUCCCCUAAGGACCAUCGAGUCUAACCCCUUGAAAUGCAAGAAUCACUGCUAAAGAAUUCCUGACAGAUGGCCAUUGAACACUGAUUUUAUCACAGGACAUACACUGCCACGGGGGGCGGGUUAAAUCAACCAGUGGGCCAGAUUAGGCCCCUAAAGCAGACUUUGGACAUGCCUGGUGAAAUAUACUCAGAGUCGAGAGUGGAUUUCAUGCUCUUUAUUCAGCUCAUAGUGGUGAGGAGGGAAUGAAUGUCCCCUCAAAGUAUCUGCUUUAUAUACAUUAUUUACACAAUAGGCUGAACGUGAUUGGCUAAUUCCGGAAUUCUCCUGUAGGCCAAUCAGGUUGUGGAUUCACUUCUAUCUGGAGCUGGAUUGGGUGGCUCCUGCCGACCAAUCAUACUGCUGCAUUGUUCUAGGACCAAUCAGACUGCUGCAUUUUGGAUCCUAUUGUUCUAGGACCAAUCAGACUGCUGCAGUUUGGAUCCUAUUCAACACAGUACAUAACACCUGGUUUAGGUCAUUGGCUGUGAUGGCCUGGGAUUCGGACUCGGAUGCCCAACCUGAGGGAUCCCAGCCUGCACAGGAUUCCCCGCCUCCAGAACCAGCUGAGCCGGGGCUGGGGCUUGAGCCUGAAAGGGCCUCACCUGUGCUGGGUCCUCAGGUCCUCAGGUGCAGGCAUCAGCUGAGUCCGCUCUGGUUCCGGAGGAGAUGGAGGACCCAUUGCCUGCAGGUGCUCCACUCUCAGCCCCGUCAGAGGAAGGUGAGGUUGCCUCUGGGUCCGGUCACCCUCCAACCUCUCCUGAGCUGCAGAGGCUCAGGGCAGAGAGGCGGAGGGAACUAAGUUCCUGCAGGAGGAGGGCUCGCCUCCAGGCCAGGAGAGGCGAGUCACCAGGGGAUUGGGGCUGCCCUAUGCCUCAGGGCAAAUAAAAGCCAGCCAGCCCCAGUCCCAAGUUGCGGGAGCAACAUUGUUGGUUGCCAGUUCCUGCCUGAACCCUGUCCUGCUUUCCUGCCUGAGCUCCUGACCUGCCCUGGCUCCCUGCUUGCAAGCCGGUUCCUGACUUCACCCGACUCCCUGCCCUGCACCCAGCUUCAACUACUAUGGACUGCCUCCAUGUUGCACCUUCGACCAUGGACCGGUCUUGGACCUCGCUUCUCGGGUAACCCAUGGGACCAACACAUUGGCACUGCUCAUAUCUGUGGGAUGUGAAACAGAGCAGUCAAAUACAACAUUCCUAGAGUGGACAUAAAAGGGGAUGUCUGGACCAGCCAGUUGGAACUUCCUGUUUCAUUCUGUGCUGGGACAGACUUCCUCAGCAUGUGACCUGAGGUGGGUGUGACCUCACCUGGGCAGGUAACAAAAUACCUCAGGGGAGGCAGCCCUAUCUCUCUCUGAUGCCAGUCCUCAAAGAAGCAACAUCUCCUUAGCCUGAGAUGCUCUCUUGGCUUCCAGCCAAGAGAGGACAAAGGAACUAGCUCCUUAUGGUAUAGAUUCCAGGUGUAUAUAUUUUGUAACUUAAGUCUGCCUUCUGGGAUCCAUUUGUGAACAGAAUGUGAGUAAACUCUUUUAUAUACUUUUAUACAAGACUGUGUCGUGUCUAAUCUUUUUAAGAGGGAAUAAAGGGGAAAUUACCAGGAAACUUAUUUUAGAGGCUUAAACAAGCCUGGCAAAGACGUUAUCGGCUGUACAAGUUUAAAAAGGUGAAUGUUACUCUGCUAAAUUGUAGAACUUGUUAACACAAGUUGGGAAGGAUAUAAUUUAACAAUAUAUCCUCUCCUGCCUCCCUGAACAUUCCCACAAAAUCUCCCCCCAAAUCCUGCACCUUCCAUCUUUCCCAACAUUAGGGUCUUUUCCAGGGAGUCUUCUCUUCUCAUGAGGUGGCCAAAGUAUUGGAGUCUCAGCUUCAGGAUCUGUCCUGUACACUUCCGGGUUCUGCUUGCAAAAACCCGGACAUUUUGCCGAUUUCCCAAAAUUCCCCCCGCCCCUAUUUCCCCCCUUGGAAUCCCCGACAUGUCUGGGGAAAUCCGGACGUAUGGCAACCAUGUGAGCUUCAUGGCAGGUCUGGAUUUGAACCCUGGUCUCCGAGGUCCUAAUCUGACCCCCUAACAGCUCUCCCCCCCCCCCGCUUGGUGUGUCCGCUCCUAACAGAUUCAUUGCUGCUGGGGGGAUCCCUUUUCCAUCCGGGCUGUAGGAUGCUCCUUCUCCGUGCGCAGUCUGGGGAUUCCAAAGGGAUCCUGGCGGCGGCGGGGGCUUCAAGCGCAGCAUAGCCCGCAGGCCUGACCGUGGCCGCUGGGAUAACGGAGUGGAUGCCUCUUAUUUCUCCCUGUUGCUGAAAGAAAGAUAAAUCUUUUCUUCCUUUUAAGCCCGUGGGUUGCAAAGUAAGACGCACAUCAGAAGCUGUACUAGCGGUGUGGGAAACGGCUUUUGAUCGCCAAAGACGUUCUUCAAAAGACAAUAUGCUCUCCCCCACCCCCCGGCUGCCGCCUCCCAACACCACCUCCCCCCCCCCCGCAAAUGUUAACUUCGCUGCUGCCAGCAUCUGCGGGAUUAGAGGGAUGAGCCACAGCGAGCGGCUCCCCCAGGAGGGGCGCACGGAUUUUCCCAGAGCACCUGCCAGGCCCUUUGAAGUAGCUUUCCCUUUUGCUCAGAUAUCAGAGGCCUGUAAGGGGAGCCUCAGUUUCUGCAGCAAGGAUUAGCAUCCCAAAGGGGUGCGGGGGGGGGGGAAGGCCUGGUGGCGAGAGGACUCGCGAGCACCCACCCCCGCACCCAUCCCUGCCAGGCUGCGGAGCGCCCUGACAAGGAUUCCCCACCACAAAUGGAUGGUGCUGUGCUUUCAUGUCCCUUCCAGAGAUUUAUUUAUCCCCCCCCCCAACCCAUCUCUGUCCUCAGAGCCGGCCAACACCGGGGGACGUGCGCUCUGCCGAUGCAAAUAUUAGCAUACAAGGCGCAGCUUCGUCUGCCUAGUGCCGGGAGGGUGGGCAUUUCUGAGGCGUUCUCCCUCCCCAAAGAGGACACAAAUCUGCAUAGAAUUUGCAUAUGGAUUCUGGGUAAUAACUGAAUGGUGCAGGGAGGAGCCACUUCUGAGCAGGUUUCGGGGGUGGCCCUGACCUUCCUUGUCAUUUGGAUUUCAGAGAACAACAUGUUAUCUCCGGUUUUUCGACUGCCUCUCCUGUUACUGCCUCCUCGCCUUGCCUCCGCUGUGCUUUUUUUAAAAAAAUAUAUGCCUCCCCAUUUAUCUGUCAGCCAGAGAACAUCAUCCUUCGCCAAUGGCCUGUUCCUGCUGGAAUUAUCCUAAUUGUGCAGGGCUCACUUUAAGGUACUUUGAGACUCACUUCAGUUAGAAUGGCGGAGCUCCAAACAAGCCACCUUUGAUGGCCAGAAAAGAAACACAACUGUCUAAUUAUGCAGCUUCAUGUGGGCAUCUUUUGGCAUUUGUCUUUAGUGACAGGAAAACAAAAGCAACCACAUGCGGUUGAAGAAAUUGUUCUGACUGCAGCUUGGUAGCCCAGCCCAGCUCACACCAGGUGCCUUUGAACUACAACUCCCAUAAGCCCCGGUCAGUGAUGAUGGGAGUAGUAGUUCAACGCUGUUGUUGUUUAGUCGUUUGGUCAUGUCCGUCUCUUCGUGACCCCCUGGACCAGAGCACGCCAGGCCCUCCUGUCUUCCACUGUCUCCUGCAGUUUGGUCAAACUCAUGCUGGUAGCCUCGAGAACACUGUCCCACCAUCUGGUCCUCUGUCAUCCCCUUCUCCUUGUGCCCUCCAUCUUUCCCAACAUCAGGGUCUUUUCCAGGGAGUCUUCUCUUCUCAUGAGGUGGCCAAAGUCUUGGAGCCUCAGCUUCAGGAUCUGUCCUUCCAGGGAUGAUUUCCUUCAGAAUGGAGAGGUUUGAUCUCCUUGCAGUCCAUGGGACUCUCAAGAGUCUCCUCCGGCACCAUAAUUCAAAAGCAUCAAUUCUUCAGCUAUCAGCCUUCUUUAUGUAGCCCCGGUAGCUCACCAUGUUAGGUACUAGUCUAUGAAUCCAGGUGGUUACUGGUUCUACUCCUGGGAGUUCCUGACACUGAAUUUCCGGAUGGCAGGUUUUUCCCCUUCAUAGAUCACUGCCUUGCUGUGGUGAAGGGGCAUGAAUAACUAUGCCGAGAAGGGACCCAAGAUGGACAGGUCAUAGUGGAGAGUUUUGACCAAACGUGAUCCACCUGGAGCAGGAACCGGCAAGCCACUCCAGUAUCCCUGCCAAGAAAACUCCAUGGACAAAGACAACAGGCAUAUAAAAGUUAUGAUGCUGGAAGGUGAGUUCAAUGCUACCUGGAUAAAAAUGUCUGCUCUGGUGUGAAUCUCCUUAUGUUCUUAAUGUGUUGCUUCCAUAACCCACAGCUUCAUUGCAAUCGAAUGACCCUGGGAGCCCCGUUUUGCCUAGCAGGCUCCUUCCUUGCAGUCAUCUGCGUUAAUGUCAGAUAUCUUAAAAUGAGGAGGAGGAGAGAAGGGAGUCCUGCGUUGUCUCCAAACUUAGCUAAUCCACUCAGACCCCACAAGGUUCAGAGAGUUCUGUCCCUGCCUCUUUAUUGCCCAUAUGGUUCCUUGAAUAAUUCAUAGGAAAUUAUUUAAUUGGCAAAAUGAAUGUCUGUCCCCAAGCCUCUCAGACUUGCAGUUGAAAUAAUUUGCUGACUAAUUCUUCCCUGUCGCCGUGCAAAAGGAGGAGGACAGAGGGCUCUGGAUCUGAGCAAAGAGCAAGGAUGCCGAGGUGAAGUUGGGAAAUCUUGGUGUGCCAAACGUUGGUUCAUGCAGGAGUGAGGCAUUGUGGGAGAGAUAGAAUUGUGGCCUUCUGGGGAAUGAGUGUUUGGUCUCUUUAAAUGUAAAACUCCCUGCCUCUAGAAGUGUGAGUCAGUUACAUCUUGACUCUAGGCAGGAUGAGAUGUUAUCUGAUUUGCAGACCCUGGCACAGCUGGGGGCCUGAGAGUGGACUGGGUUGUUAAAAGGCACAGGAGGCUAUCAAGUAAUUUACACUUUAGGAGCCUGGUAAGUGUAAUAGCUGUGGGUGGUGCUGUGUGUUAAACCACAGAGCCUAGGACUUGUCUCGGUUCAAAUCCCCGCAAUGGGGUGAGCUCCCAUUGUUUGGUCCCUGCUCCUGCCAACCUAGCAGUUCGAAAGCACAUCAAAGUGCAAGUAGAUAAAUAGGUACCGCUCUGGUGGGAAGGUAGAUGGCAUUUCCGUGCGCUGCUCUGGUUCACCAGAAGCGGCUUAGUCAUGCUGGCCACAUGACCCGGAAGCUGUAUGCCGGCUCCCACGGCCAAUAAAGCGAGAUGAGCGCCGCAACCCCAGAGUCGGCCACGACUGGACCUAAUGGUCAGGGGUCCCUUUACCUUUACCUAAGUGUAAGAGAGGCCUGGGAACUAAGGAAGAGCCUUUUGAUCUUAAGGUCUCUGAGUCUAAACAAAGUUCAGCUGUGCUGGUCUCCUGACAAUCAGGAGGUAUAGUCUCAUCAUACAGCCAUUGGUAAACUGGUAAUUAACCUAAAGAAACGAUUGGUCCCUAACCUGUCCUCCAUGUGGGAUUUCAAGGAUAAAGGAUUUGGGAAUUCAGAUGCAAAGGGCAGAACAUCUUGCCCUGGUACUUUGCCUGGGGGCGUUCGACCAGUGAAAGGACUCUUGACUGCUCACUGUGUUUUGAACUAUUGUUGCUGUGUGAGUAUGGUUUUAGCUAGUUACUGUAUAUUUUACAAUGUUUUUAUUUUUUGUUUGUAACCUUUGUGCAACUUUUUGAAUGGCUUGUUCAAUAAACUUGGAAAAGGACUUUUUGUCUUUUGUACUCUGUGCCUUUGCUCAGGGAAGCCAAACUGGUGCCUUACCGUUUGGAUACCUACCGGUUGAAUUUCUGUCUGCGUCACGGUAAAGUGACUCAGGGCUGAGCCAACCCAGGAAAUAUCGAAGGGGGGGUUCUCCUCCUUGAACCCCAUUCAAGGGUGGUCCAGAAAAGGAGGUGGUGAUGGUACAUAACACCAGUCAAGCUCGCAAAAAUUUACCAUUUGCCCGAUAAUAAAUGUUGGAAAUGUAAUGAAACUGAAGGUACAUUCUUUCACCUUUGGUGGACAUGCCCAAAGAUUAAGGCAUUCUGGGAGAUGAUCUAUAAUGAAAUGAAAAAGGUAUUUAAAUAUACCUUUCUAAGGAAACCAGAGGUCUUUCUCCUGGGCAUGGUAGGCCAAUUGGUGCCAAAGAAGGAUAGAAUUUUUUUCAUGUAUGCCACAACAGCAGCAAGAAUACUUAUCGCAAAGCACUGGAAGACACAAGAUCUACCUACCAGGGAAGAAUGGCAGAUGAAGCUGAUGGAUUAUAUGGAAUUGGCGGAAAUGACUGGCAGAAUCCGAGACCAGGGAGAAGAGUCGGUGGAAGAAGAUUGGAAAAAAUUUAAAGUAUAUUUACAGAAAUAUUGUAAAAUUAAUGAAUGUUAGAAGGAUGCUGGAAAGAAGUUAUAUGACUUUAGCAGAAAUGUUAUAAAGAAUUAAGUAUGAAUAGAUUGACUAUGGGUAAAGGUGUAAACUUAAGGUUAAAUUGCGUUAAGAUAAAUUAUGGAACUAAAUUUGAGAAAGAGGGAAAGGACUUGCUGGAACAAUUAAUUGAACUAGAAUACAAAAAAGGAGGUAUGAGGAAGUUGAGGAAAUAAGCAAAUGAAAGAUAAGGAUAUGAAAAUACGGGGUCUCUUUUUUGUUUUUUUCCUUCUAUAUUUUUUUAAAGGUUGGUGUUUUUUAAAUGUUUCCGUUUCUUUUCUUUUUUAAUGUUUUGAUGUACUGUUGAUGUUUUGUUUUAUUGUAUUUUCUUUUGUUUUUGAGGUUUUGUAACUGUUCAUUGCUUGUAUUUCUUUUUUUCCUUUUCCUUUUGUAAUACUUAAACUCUAAUAAAUAUCUUUUUUAAAAAACAACAACAGAAAAGGAGGUGGUGGCAGCUUUACCAUUUGGCUUGUGAUUUGCAACAACUAGCGAUCUUUCCCCCUUCCUGGCCAAGUCCUGCCGGUGUCUAGGAGGAAUGGUCAGGGGGGUGGAUAGUCCCGCUCACCACAGAGGCCCCCAGCAACUUGAUGCAGGUCGUUGAACGAGACUUGUUGCCUUUUGGGCCUGGAGAUCUCUCUGCAAACAGAGCAACAACCUUCUGCUUUAUUGGCAAGCAAGUGAGGGGAGGAGGCCGGACUCAGAUGGACCAAGCUGCCGGCCACAGCGCUAUGCUCUGCCUCCACAGUCUGAAGCAGCAACGAGUAAUUCUAUAACAUUUAGGAGACAUCUGAAGGCAGCCCUGUCUAGGGAAGCUUUUUGAUGUUUUUAUAUAUGCUGGAAGCUGCCCAGAGUGGCUGGGGCAAACCAGUCAGAUGGGCGGGGUACAAAUAAAAUAGUAAUAGUAAUAGUAAUCAUCAUCAUCUUCUGAUGCUACAUGCUUUUUUCUCAGUGCAGGCUUGAAAUAGAGCUGUGGGGUUAUAUCUAAAGUGUGAGUCCCUGUGACCUGUAUGUAUGUACCGUAUGUACAAAAGAAAAAAGUGGGGUUUUCCUUUCUUCACUCCCUCCCUCCACUCUCCUACCUAAUCUGCUUCUCCAACCCCCUGGAGCGUUUGUUUGUUUGUUUAUUAAAUUAUUAUAUUUAUUAAAUUUGUAUACCGCCCUUCAUUUGUUGAUCUCAGGGCAAUUCACAGCAUAAAAAUACAAGAUAAAAACACAUUGUGAAAACAAGAACAACAGCAAAACAAAGCAAUAGCCAAUAACCCCCAUCCCACCAUGAAAUUUUAUUUUGAAAACUUAUGCACCACUUGAUUAUAGAAAAAUAACAACCUCAAAGCAGUUUUCAAAGAGAUAAAACUAUAAAAUUAUUAAGACAAAUCUACAACAGUUAAAAACCCACAGCAAUCAACCUGCUAAGAUAUCUAAGCAUCUGGACAGACUUAUCUAAGCAAAGCUUUUUGCAGGGAAGGUACCUGCUUGGUGUCAACAGGCAGGGAGUUCCACAGGGUAGGUGCUGCCACACUGAGCGAUCAAGUUCCUACAAAUGUGGAGCGGGUCUUACGUGGCAACUGAAACAAUGCCAGCUCUGCCAAUCAAAGCAGCUGAGUGGGCACCUGUGGGGUAAGGUGAUCUCGUAGAUAAACUGGUCCCAAGUUCUUAAGGGGUUAAGCACCUUGAACUUGGCCAGGCAGCAAAUGGGCAACCAGAUCUCUGGACACAGGCAUUCUAUGUGGUCAAGGCCUCCCUCCUGUCAGCGACCGCGCUGCAGCAUUAUGUUGCAGGGAGGUGAAAUGAGGGGGACUUUUCCAGUGUGCAAGCAGAGGUCUGUUGCACGAAAAGAACGGCAACACUGUGGGAAUGCUCAGGGAGACAGGAGAGGAUAUAUUGCUUAUUAAUAUCCUUCGUAACUUGCACGAGUUAGUUCCUUUACUUAGUAGAGUUUACAUUCCCCUAUUAAACGCACAGCAGAUAGCUGGUUGCAGGCUUGUUUAAGCCUCUCACUAUCGGGUUCCUGGUAAGUUCCCUUAUAUCCCUCCUAAAAGGAUAAACACGCCACAAUCUUGUUUAAAGUAUAUAUAAGUAGUUUACUCACAUUCUGUUCACAGCUGGAUCCCAGAAGGCAUCUGUUACAAAGUGUAUAAAUGUGGAUCUAUCCCAUAUGGGGAUAAUCCCAGUGUCCAUUGUUGGAUAGAAGCCAAGAGAGCAUCUCUAGCUAAAAGCUGCUCCAAUGGAGGAAGUCAAAAAGAGAGAGAGUGCUGCUGCCGUGUCCCUUUUCUUACCUGGGCAGAUAAGGUCAUGCACACCUCUAGUCACAUGCUAAAGGAAUUAUUUCCCACCCAGGAGGAAACAGGAAGUUUUUGACUGGCUGGACCAAACAUUCCCCUGCACGUCCACUCUAGGAAAACAAGGAAUGUUGUACUUGACUGCUACUUAUGUAUCACAUCCCACAAAAACUAGGAAUGACCCUCAGAGUUGAAUUAAUAUAUGGUAAUUUAGUGCUAGCUGCUAGGUAUUCAUCUUCCUCUGUGUAAAAUUGGUAGCUUGGGUUUUUCUUUUUUUAAUAUACCACCCUGCCGUGUCUCUACAGCUUUCGAAGUAGCCCAAGGCCACAGGAAAUCAGCCUCAAAAUCAUCCCGCAACACAGGAAUGGGAAAAAAGUUUCACUGGCUUGAUUCCUGAGUUUCAGGGUUUUUUUUAUUAAAGGUAGAGGAGCAGGGCCAGGGAAGAGAAUGGAAAGGUGGCAACUGCACUUCCUGCCCUGAAGAAUGGCCUUUCUGUGCUGCAGUUUUUCUAAGAGGCAGCUGGAGCGCCACUGAUCAGUUCCUCCUUCUCCACGGGGGAUGUCUUAUGCAACUCGAGGUGCGUUCCAAAAUGAGUCUGCAUUAAUGGGAUGCAGCUGAUAGGUGAGGAAGCACCUGGAAACAUCACUACGAAGGGAGGGGACAGGAGCAUCAAACACCACCCCCCCUCACUUUGGUGUGAUACACCAGGUGCCUCUGGAAGAGAGCAAAGCAUUGAAAAGCUAAACCAAUAGUCAAGAAGACCUCAAAAUCUCAGCAGCUCUCUGGCAUACCUUUUCUUUGCAGUGGAGAAAAUAAACUCGCCAGUGGGGAAACAGUCGCUAGCGUAGGCCUGCAAUGGAGUUAGCUGAGAUUCCUGCAUCGCAGGGGGUUGGACUUGCUGACACUGUGGGUUAAACCACAGAGCCUAGGACUUGCCGAUCAGAAGGUCGGCAGUUCGAAUCCCCGCGACGGGGUGAGCUCCAGUUGCUCGGUCCCUGCUCCUGCCAACCUAGCAGUUCAAAAGCACGUCAAAGUGCAAGUAGAUAAAUAGGUACCGCUCUGGCGGGAAGGUAAAUGGUGUUUCCAUGCACUGCUCUGGUUUGCCAGAAGCGGCUUAGUCAUGCUGGCCACAUGACCCGGAAGCUGUAUGCCUGCUCCCUCGGCCAAUAAAGUGAGAUGAGCGCCGCAACCCCAGAAUCGGCCACGACUGGACCUAAUGGUCAGGGGGUCCCUUUACCUUUACCAAUUCUACAAUUCUAUGAUUCCAUGAGUCCCCUUCCCAGGGUAAAGAAGGGGAAGUGUGUGAGAGCAUCGCCCCUUGCAAUGCCCUAUGCUCUAAAGCAGAGUCGGCAAGGUUUUGUAACUGUGGAUUUGUAACUGGCUGACUGACCGAACCCAAAGGGUGCUCAUCAAUGGUUCCUCUUCAUCCUGGAGAAGAGUGACUAGUGGGGUGCCACAGGGUUCUGUCUUGGGCCCGGUCUUAUUCAACAUCUUUAUCAACGACUUGGAUGAUGGACUCAAGGGCAUCCUGAUCAAAUUUGCAGAUGACACCAAACUGGGAGGGGACCCCAGAGGACAGGAUCACACUUCAAAACGACCUUGACAGAUUAGAGAACUGGGCCAAAACAAACAAGAUGAAUUUUAACAGGGAGAAAUGUAAAGUAUUGCACUUGGGCAAAAAAAAUGAGAGGCACAAAUACAAGAUGGGUGAUACCUGGCUUGAGAGCAGUACAUGUGAAAAGGAUCUAGGAGUCUUGGUUGACCACAAACUUGACAUGAGCCAACAGUGACACGGCAGCUAAAAAAGCCAAUGCAAUUCUGGGCUGCAUCACUAGGAGUAUAGCAUCUAGAUCAAGGGAAGUAAUAGUGCCACUGUAUUCUGCUCUGGUCAGACCUCACCUGGAGUACUGUGUCCAGUUCUGGGCACCACAGUUCAAGAAGGACACUGACAAACUGGAACGUGUCCAGAGGAGGGCAACCAAAAUGGUCAAAGGCCUGGAAACGAUGCCUUAUGAGGAACGGCUAAGGGAGCUGGGCAUGUUUAGCCUGGAGAAGAGGAGGUUAAGGGGUGAUAUGAUAGCCAGGUUCAAAUAUAUAAAAGGAUGUCACAUAGAGGAGGGAGAAAGGUUGUUUUCUGCUGCUCCAGAGAAGCGGACACGCAGCAAUGGAUCCAAACUACAAGAAAGAAGAUUCCACCUAAACAUUAGGAAGAACUUCCUGACAGUAAGAGCUGUUUGACAGUGGAAUUUGCUGCCAAGGAGUGUGGUGGAGUCUCCUUCUUUGGAGGUCUUUAAGCAGAGGCUUGACAACCAUAUGUCAGGAGUGCUCUGAUGGUGUUUCCUGCUUGGCAGGGGGUUGGACUCGAUGGCCCUUGUGGUCUCUUCCAACUCUAUGAUUCUAUGAUUCUACCUUGCCUGGGCUGGUUCACUCCAGCAGAGAUCCCACCCUGGGCUGGAUCGCGCACCCGCCCAUGAUUUCCAGCGUCUGUGCAGACGCGAUAUCCAGCGCCGCGAAAGUGAGUCCCCGUGCUGCACUGCGCAACUUGGAGGGCUCCAGGGUUACGUAACACUUGACACAACCUUUCGCCCAAGUUCUCCCUGCAUUCCUUAUGCUAGGAAGAGGUGAAAUGAUAAAGGUUUAUAAAAUGAUGCCUGGCAGGGAGAAAAUAUUUAUUUAUUUAUUUAUUUAUUUAUUUAUUUAUACCCCGCCCAUCUGGCUGGUUUUCCCCAGCUACUCUGGGUGGCUUCCAACAAAAGAUUAAAAAGACAUUAAAACAUCAGUCAUUAAAAACUUCCCUAAACAGGGCUGCAUUCAGAUGUCUUCUAAAAGUCAGAUAGUUGUUUAUUUCCUUCGCAUCUGAAGGGAGGGCGUUCCACAGGGUGGGCACCACCACCGAGAAGGCCCUCUGCCUGGUUCCCUGUAACCUCACUUCUCGCAGGGAGGGAACCACCAGAAGGCCCUCGGAGCUGGACCUCAGUGUCUGGGCAGAACGAUGGGGGUGGAGAUGCUCUUUCAGGUGUACUGGUAUAUUCAGGUAUAAAGUGGAUAGGGGAAAAGUUUCAUCCCUCUCUCGUAGCACUAGAACUCUGGGAAUCAUAGAAUCGGAAUAGACCACAAGGGCCAUCGAGUCCAACCCCCUGCCAAGCAGGGACACAAAGUGAAGCUGAAAGUGGGACGAUUUGGGACAGACAGAACAAAGCAUUUCUCCACACAGCACACAAUGGAACUAUGGAACUCCCUGCCACAGGGGGCAAUAGUGGCCAACAACCUAGAUAAUAUUAAUAAUAAUAGUAAUAAUAAUAAUUUAUUAUUUAUACCUCACCCAUCUGGCUGGGUUUUCCAGCCACUUUGUGUGGCUCCCAACUGAAUAUUCAAAAUAGAAUCAAACAUUAAAAACUUCCCUAAAAACUGCCUUCAGAUGUCUUUUAAAGAUAACAUAGCUGUUUAUUUCCUUGACAUCUGAUGGGAGGGCGUUCCACAGGACAGGUGCCACCACCAAGAAGGCCCUCUGCCUGGUUCCCUGUAACUUGGCUUCUCACAAUGAGGGAACCGCCAAAAGGCCCUCGGAGCUGGACCUCAGUGUCUGGGCUGAAUGGUGGGGGUGGAGACGCUCCUUCAGGUAUACAGGAUGGCUCUUUUAGAUGGCUAUAAAAGAGAAUUAGACAGAUUCAUGGAGGGCUAUCCGUGUCUCCUAGCCAGGAGGGCUCUGCUCUGCCCUUCACAAUUGGAAGCAGCGAUGCUUCAGAACCCCAGAUGCUGGAAACCAGGGGAGGGGGAGACUUGGGUCUUGCUUGUGGGUUUGCCUUUGGGGCCUCUGGCUGACCUCUGUGGCAACAGGAUGGGGGACUAGAGGGGCCUCCUUUGGCCCCAUCCAGCAGGCUUUCCUUGUGAAUCUGAGCCUCCCUUUCCCUUCCUGCUUGUUUCCAGCUCGCUAUCCCCACAUCCCUUCCUGGGAAGGCGCCACUCAGUGCCUGCGGGGGCUUUUCGCGCGCGCGCACACACACACACACACACACACACACGCACGAACGAUAGAGCAAUAUAGGCCUGUUGUCACUCUGCUGCACGCUUCUCUAAGCGGCAGUGAUGCCUCCUUUAAGAACAGUGUUUUCCCUCCGCGGGACUUCCUAUUGAGAAGCGUUCCCAUCUCAUUAUCCGGCGGGGGGGAGCGCGCCAGGGAUCUGCGCUCAGCACAGGUUGCGUUAUUAAGAGGCUCGGCGCCCGGCUGGGAGAAAGGAGGGCGAAGAAGAAGAACAGGGAAGAAGAGGGAGCCUUGCCCUGCCGCAUGCAUUAGGGAGGGAGGGAGAGGGGACAACAGCAGCAAGCUGCGGGGUUUUUUUGGGGGGGAUGAUGGAUUCAGCUCUGGCCCUACCACUAGGUGGAAAAAGGCAGGUGCCUCAGGCGGAAGAUGCUGCGGGAUGGGCAGUAAUGGGGAGCUAUUAUUAUUAUUAUUAUUAUUAUUAUUAUUAUUAUUAUUAUUAUCAGAUUUAUACACUGCCCUUCAUCUGGAGAUUACAGGGUUACCCAGAGCGCAAAAACACAAAGGCAAAUGACAUAAUUACAAACAAAACAGUAACACGCACACACAAACCAUUGUUUAGGGAAGUUUUUAAUGUUUUAUGUUUUAUCGCUUUAUUAUUAUUAUUAUUAAUCUGUUGGGAGCCACCCAGAGUGGCUGGGGUAUAAACAAUAUAUUAUUAUUAUUAUUAUUAUUAUUAUUAUUAAAGAUUGGGAGGCCUGGGAGAAGAGGAAAGUCUCUACACCCAUUGUUCUGCCCAGACACUGAGGUCCAGCUCUGAGGGCCUUCUGGCGGUUCCCUCCCUGCGAGAAGCCAAGCCAAGUUACAGGGAACCAGGCAGGGGGCCUCCUUGGUGGUGGCGCCCGCCCUGUGGAACGCCCUCCCACCAGAUGUCAAGGAAAUAAACAACUAUCAGACUUUUAGAAGACAUCUGAAGGCAGCCCUGUUUAGGGAAGCUUUUUAUAUUUGAUGAAGCCACCCAGAGUGGCUGAGGAAAACAGAUGGGGAGGGUAUAAAUAAUAAAUUAUUAUUAUUAUUAUUAUUAUUAUUAUUAUUAUUAUUAUUAUGUGAAGGUGCCAGAAAAGCCUCUCUGUGAAUAGGAUACCACAAGUGGGGAGCCACUGCAGAAAAGGCCCGUUCUCAUGUUGCCACCCUCUGGACAUAGAGGAGGGUCUGUGGUCUGAGAGCCAGUGUGGUGUAGUGGUUAAGAGCAAUGAACUCGUAAUCUGGUGAACCGGGUUCGCUUCCCCGCUCCUCCACCUGCAGCUGCUGGGUGACCUUGGGCCAGUCACACUUCUCUGACGUCUCUCAGCCCCACUCACCUCACAGGGAAAGGAGAAUGUUAGCCGCUUGGAGACUCCUUCGGGUAGUGAUAAAGCGGGAUAUCAAAUCCAAACUACUCUUCUUCUUCUAAACCACUGAGCCUCUUGGGCUUGCCGAUCAGAAGGUCGGUGGUUCAAAUCUCCACAACAGGGUGAGCUCCACUUGCUCUGUCCCAGCUCCUGCCAACCUAGCAAAUCGAAAGCACGCCAGUGCAAGUAGAUAAAUAGGCACCGCUGUGGCGGAAAGUUAAAAUGGCAUUUCCGUUCACUCUGGCUUCUGUCAUGGUGUCUCAUUGUGCCAGAAGCAGUUUAGUCCUACUGGCCACAUGACCCGGAAAGCUGUCUGUGGACAAAUGCUGGCUGCCUCUGCCUGAAAGCGAGAUGAGUGCCACAACCCCAUAGUUGGCUUUGACUGGACUUAACCAUCCAGGCGUCCUUUACCUUUUCCCCUUUUACCUUGCCCAGCAAGAAAGGGAGUCAAGGAAUAUCAUAUACAGUGUUACCUCUGGUUGCAAACGGGAUCCGUUCCGGAGCCCCGUUCGCAACAUGAGCAGAACGCAACCCGCAUCUGUGCAUGCGUGGGUCGUGAUUCGCUGCUUCUGUGCAUGCGCGUGAUGUCAUUUUGAGCGUCUGCACAUGUGCGAGCGGCAAAACCCAGAAGUAACCCUUUCCUGUACUUCUGGGUCACCGUGGGACACAACCUGAAAAGAUUUAACCUGAAGCAAAUGUAACAAAAGGUAUGACUAUGUUGUGGUUAAGGUCAAGUGAAUGCGGCUUUGGAAAUUGGCGGUGGGAGUUUGUUGGAUAAAAAAGGGAGAAGUCCUGGAGACAAGCCUGAACUCCUGGAGCUGGCAACUGCCAAGGCACAGAGAUUGUGUUUAGCCCCAGAUCCUUGGGACUCCUCCAGGCUGUUACCUUGGCCAGACAGCAGCCGAACUCCAGCCUGGCUUCUCCUGACUCCGAUGACAAGGAGAAACAGAGCUGGGAGUCUUCAGCAUACCAAUGGACAUGCAGCUGAAUGUUGGAAGAUUCAAGCAGAGAAAUAAUGGGCUUCUUCAUGCAGCCUAUACCGUAUUUUUUGCUCUAUAAGACACACCUUUUCCCCUUCAAAAAUUAAGGGGAAAUGUAUGUGCAUCUUACGGAGCGAAUGCAGGCUCCUUGGCUUCAGCGAUAGCAAUGCGAAGCCUCCAAAGCGCAGAGGGAGAGUUCCUGCUGCGCUCCGAAGGCUUGCGGAUAGCCACCUGAAGCCUGGAGAAUGAGAGGGGUGGGUGCACACCGAUCCCUCUUGCUCUCCAGGCUUCGCUUCACUGGAGAGGCGCUGCACAGUUUUCCCUCUCUGCGCAACGCCCCUUCAGCGAAGCGGGAGGAGAAAUGGAAGGGGCUCCGUUUCUCCUGCCGCUUUGCUGAAGGGGCGCUGAGCAGAGAGGGGGAGAUUUUUUUCCCCCUGUUCUCCCCCUCCUAUGGUCCGGUGCGUCCUAUAGAGCGAAAAAUACGGUAAUUAAACGGUGGAACUCUGCUGAAAGCCACAAAUGAGGAUGGCUUUCAAUUCUCCCACUGCUGGAAUUUACUGCCUCUGGCAGGGACUUUAAAUAAAGCAUUGUUAGAUUACGCUUUCAAAGUUUAAGGUUUCAAUGCUUCAUUUAAAAAACAGCAACAAUGGAAGAGAACCUAACCUGAAAAAAUACUUUUAUUCCUUGUUUCCUCCAUUAUCCCAUAAUUUCCUUUAAUGGUUGGAGUGAUGGACUUUGGGCCAAUUGCUGCACCUCAGCCUAACCUACCUCACAGGGUUGUUGUGGAGAUUAAAUGAGGAUGGGGAAAAUCAUGUAAGCCACCUUGAGCUCCUUGGAUAAAAAGGUGAGCUAUAAAUGCAAUAAAUUUUGGGCAGAGGCGAUUUGAUGUUAGUUGCUGCUCUGCCUCACAGAAUCAUCAACUCAUUAAGUUCAAAGUUCCCAAAAACUGUGUGGGGGGUGCAUAUCUUACAGUUAUUGUAAUUUUGAUCCCAAGGUGGUGAUAAUAGCCAAAGGAAAAGUUCAAGAUUUGAGAACAAGCGAGGAUUUUGCUUUGAUUUUGCUGGCUUUGCAUUGGGGAGCUGGGAGAGAGCUUUACCUGCCACCUUGUGGCUAGGCUGAGAAUUGCCACCACCUGUCUUGGCAAAUAUCAGUGGAUUUUAUCUAGAUUCAAGUAGGUAGCCGUGUUGGUCUGAUGCAGCACCUUAGAGACCAACUAAGUUUGUUCUGGGUAUAAGCUUUCAUGUGCACAAAAGCUUAUACUGAGAACAAACUUAAAGGUAAAGGUAAAGGGACCCCUGAUGAUUAGGUCCACUCGUGACUGACUCUGGGGUUGCGGCGCUCUUCUCGAUUUAUUGGUCGAGGGAGCCGGCAUACAGCUUCCGGGUCAUGUGGCCAGCAUGACUAAGCCACUUGUGGCGAAACCAGAACAGCGCACGGAAAUGCCAUUUACCUUCCCACCGGAGUGGUACCUAUUUAUCUACCUGCACUUUGACGUGCUUUCGAACUGCUAGGUUGGCAGGAGCAGGGACCGAGGAACGGGAGCUCACCCCGUCGUGGGGAAUCGAACCGCCGACCUUCUAAUCAGGAAGCCCUAGGCUCUGUGGUUUAGACCACAGUGCCACCCAUGUCCCAGAACAAACUUUGUUGUUGUUUUGUCGUUUAGUCAUGUCCGCCUCUUCGUGACCCCCUGGACCAGAGCACGCCAGGCACUCCUGUCUUCCACUGCCUCCCGCAGUUUGGUCAAACUCAUGUUUGUAGCUUCAAGAACACUGUCCAGCCAUCUUGUCCUCUGUCGUCCCCUUCUCUUUGUGCCCUCCAUCUUUCCCAACAUCAGGGUCUUUUCCAGGGAGUCUUCUCUUCUCAUGAGGUGGCCAAAGUCUUGGAGCCUCAGCUUCAGGAUCUUAGAACAAACUUAGUUGGCCUCUAAGGUGCUACUGGACCUUUCGACUUGAUUUUAUCUGUUCCUUUAAUAUCCAACAUAAAAGUCAGAUGGGAACAGUCCUUCCUUCCUUCCUUCCUGUUUAAUGCAUGCUCACAAUCUGAUUUGUUUGCAGAGAGAUUUAGAUAACACUGACUAUUUAAUUGAGCAUGCAUCUUAAUGUUUUUGUGGGGAGGUGAGAUGGCCUUGCAUCAAGCACUUGUCACCCAACACUCUCCUGGACAUUUUCCUUAUCCCAAAAAGUGACUUGGAUUCACAAGAGCUCUGAACUAGCUUUGAUUGUGCAGCCUGGGUUUGCAGGGAUGUGAUUGAGCCCCACCAGAAAAGAGUGGGGUCUUGAAUCCUAAAACUAUGGAGAUAGGAAGCACAAAGCUACCCAUUGACACCCCCAAACCACCCAAGUUUAACUCUUUAAAAGCUUACCUGAAACGUGGCAGCAGUCGGUGCUUAGAAAGCAUCAAGCAAGCAGACCUGAGCCUGAAGUCUAGCUUUAAAAAUAUAUAAAAGGAUAUAUAUAUAUAUAUAAAUAUAAAAUAUUUAAUAUAUAUAUAAUAUAAAAAAUAUAUAAAAGGAUAUAUUGUUCAAAUAUAUAAAAGGAUGUCACAUAGAGGAGGGAGAAAGGUUGUGUUCUGCUGCUCCAGAGAAGCAGACACGGAGCAAUGGAUCCAAACUACAAGAAAGAAGAUUCCACCUAAAGAUUAGGAAGAACUUCCUGACAGUAAGAGCUGUUCGACAGUGGAAUUUGCUGCCAAGGAGUGUGGUGGAGUCUCCUUCUUUGGAGGUCUUUAAGCAGAGGCUUGACAACCAUAUGUCAGGAGUGCUCUGAUGGUGUUUCCUGCUUGGCAGGGGGUUGGACUCGAUGGCCCUGGUGGUCUCUUCCAGCUCUAUGAUUCUAUGAUUCUAUGAUUCUAUUCUAUGAUUCUAAACAUGGGACAAAAGGGUCAAUGUGUUUUUAUCUUCUUUAAAAUUCCUAUUUUUAUUGUUUUCUCAUGUUGAAAUCCAUCCAAGAAGGUAAAAACAAACAAAACCACCCUCCCCGGAGAUGUUUUAACCUUUUUCUCACGGUUAAAUUUAAUAUAUUGUUUCACUUUCUUUUGUAAAUGUUUUUAUUUCAUUUUCUGAUGUAUAUGAAACAGAGAACAGCUAUAACAAUAGAUGAAAGCUUAAAAAGACGAAAAACAAGACUAUAAAAUAGGCACAUAGAAUAAGUACAGCUGCACGUGGGUUAAUAGAGUAACAUCUGAUUAUCAUGUCCAGUUCCAGAUUUUCCAGGCUUGUGAUGAAGGUUGUAUUGAAAAGGAUGGUUCUAUUGCCACAUGGCAAUAGAUCUCACAUGGGUGAGAUCCCAUGGACAGUAAUACUAAAAGGAAAGGGAGUUCAUGAUGGCUGGGAGUUUGUUAAGAGGGAGAUACUAAAAGCACAACGUCAGGCAAUACCAAUGAGACAGAAACAUGGAAGGUGCCUAAAGAAGCCAGGGUGGCUAUCUAAAGAUCUUUUAACUGAGUUAAGAUUAAAAAAGGAUGUGUACAAAAAAUGGAAAAGGGGGGAAACCACCAAAGAGGAAUUCAAACAAAUAGCCAGCACGUGUAGACACAAAGUCAGAAAAGCUAAAGCACAGAAUGAACUCAGGCUUGCUAGAGAGGUUAAAAGCAACAAAAAAGGCUUUUAUGGGUAUGUCCGUAGCAAAAGGAAGAACAAAGAAACAGUGGGGUCACUCAGAGGAGAAGAUGGUGAAAUGCAAACAGGGGACACAGAAAGAGCUGAACUCCUCAAUGCCUUCUUUGCCUCAGUCUUCUCCGAUAAAGAAAACAAUGCCCGACCUGAAGAAUUUGGAGCAAAUGAUUCAGCAAAGGAAACACAGCCCAGAAUAACUAAGGAGAUAGUACAAGAAUACUUGGCUAGUUUAGAUGUAUUCAAAUCUCCAGGGCCAGAUGAACUGCAUCCAAGAGUAUUAAAAGAACUGGCAGAUGUGAUCUCAGAACCACUGACAGUCAUCUUUGAGAAUUCCUGGAGAACGGGCGAAGUCCCGGCAGACUGGAGGAGGGCAAAUGUUGUCCCUAUUUUCAAAAAGGGGAAAAGAGAGGACCCAAAUAAUUACCGCCCAGUCAGUCUGACAUCAAUACCAGGGAAGAUUCUGGAGCAGAUGAUUAAGCAAACAGUCUGUGAGCACCUAGAAAGGAAUGCUGUGAUCACCAAUAGUCAGCAUGGCUUUCUGAAAAAUAAGUCAUGUCAGACUAACCUGAUCUCGUUUUUGACAGAAUUACAAGCCUGGUAGAUGAAGGGAACGCAGUGGAUGUAGCCUACCUUGAUUUCAGCAAGGCAUUUGACAAGGUGCCUCAUGAUAUUCUUGUAAAGAAGCUGGUAAAAUGUGGUCUUGACUAUGCUACCACCCAGUGGAUUUGUAACUGGCUGACUGACCGAACCCAAAGGGUGCUCAUCAAUGGUUCCUCUUCAUCCUGGAGAAGAGUGACUAGUGGGGUGCCACAGGGUUCUGUCUUGGGCCCGGUCUUAUUCAACAUCUUUAUCAACGACUUGGAUGAUGGACUCAAGGGCAUCCUGAUAAAAUUUGCAGAUGACACCAAAUUGGGAGGGGUGGCUAACACCCCAGAGGACAGGAUCACACUUCAAAACGACCUUGACAGAUUAGAGAACUGGGCCAAAAAAAACAAGAUGAAUUUUAACAGGGAGAAAUGUAAAGUAUUGCACUUGGGCAAAAAAAAUGAGAGGCACAAAUACAAGAUGGGGGACACCUGGCUUGAGAGCAGUACAUGUGAAAAGGAUCUAGGGGUCUUGGUUGACCACAAACUUGACAUGAGCCAACAGUGUGACGCGGCAGCUAAAGCCAAUGCAAUUCUGGGCUGCAUCAAUAGGAGUAUAGCAUCUAGAUCAAGGGAAGUAAUAGUGCCACUGUAUUCUGCUCUGGUCAGACCUCACCUGGAGUACUGUGUCCAGUUCUGGGCACCACAGUUCAAGAAGGACAUUGACAAACUGGAGCGUGUCCAGAGGAGGGCAACCAAAAUGGUCAAAGGCCUGGAAACGAUGCCUUAUGAGGAACGGCUAAGGGAGCUGGGCAUGUUUAGCCUGGAGAAGAGGAGGUUAAGGGGUGAUAUGAUAGCCAUGUUCAAAUAUAUAAAAGGAUGUCACAUAGAGGAGGGAGAAAGGUUGUUUUCUGCUGCUCCAGAGAAGCGGACACGGAGCAAUGGAUCCAAACUACAAGAAAGAAGAUUCCACCUAAACAUUAGGAAGAACUUCCUGACAGUAAGAGCUGUUUGACAGUGGAAUUUGCUGCCAAGGAGUGUGGUGGAGUCUCCUUCUUUGGAGGUCUUUAAGCAGAGGCUUGACAACCAUAUGUCAGGAGUGCUCUGAUGGUGUUUCCUGCUUGGCAGGGGGUUGGACUCGAUGGCCCUUGUGGUCUCUUCCAACUCUAUGAUUCUAUGAUUCUAUUCUAUGAUUCUAUUGCAGAUGUAAUUCACACCCCAAUGCUUUUAACUCUUUUUAUUGAUCACUUUGAUAUUUCUCACAAACCGCAUACAGGUUUCCUGCAGUAUGAACUUUGUUAAGCACAUUUGGUGAAAUAAAUAAAGAUCAGCUGUCAGAUGGGAUUUCUAACACUCUGGGCAGGUUGGCACAUUUUCAUCCCUACGUCCGGGUUCUGCGGGCAAUUUUUUGCUUUUGCGUUGGGUUAUUUACCAAGCACCAAGACUUUAUGUCUCUAACUCGGACUGUCCAGGAUGGAGACAGCUGGCAGCGGAGCCAGGAUCUCUUCCAGAGACCUCCUUUGUAUGCAUGGACAAUACAUACAAAUUGCAGCCAUCAGCUGCCAUGAAGGAAGUCUUUCCGGCAGCAAUUUCAAAGAGAUUACCCUGACGGCACUAAUGAAACGCAAGUCAAGAGUGUGCAUAAGGAGCUCGGGAAAUGGUAAGUGGUUUGACAUCAACACGCCAAAUUUCAUUUCCAAAAGUAUUCUGUUCUGAAUCACAGUGGGGGGGGGGGGAGGUUUGAAAGCACAUCAAAGUGCAAGUGGAUAAAUAGGUACCGCUCUGGCAGGAAGGUAAACGGCGUUUCCGUGCGCUGCUCUGGUUUGCCAGAAGCGGCUCAGUCAUGCUGGCCACAUGACCUGGAAGCUGUACGCCGGCUCCCUCGGCCAAUAAAGCGAGAUGAGCACCGCAACCCCAGAGUCGGCCACGACUGGACCUAAUGGUCAGGGGUCCCUUUACCUUUACCUUUAUACCCAAACAGUAAGGAAUCAGCCCUGAGUGCUCACUGGAAGGACAGAUCGUGAAGCUGAGCCUCCAAUACUUUGGCCACCUCAUGAGAAGAGAAGACUCCCUGGGAAAGAUGGAGGGCACAAGGAGAAGGGGACAACAGAGGACAAGAUGGUGGGACAGUGUUCUCAAAGCUACCAGCAUGAGUUUGACCAAACUGUGGGAGGCAGCGGAAGACAGGAGUGCCUGGCGUGCUCUGGUCCAGGGGGUCACGGAGAGGCGGACACGACUAAACGACUCAACAACAGCAUUCCCAAACUGAGCAAAGACUCUGUCAAAUAAGACCCUCAUUUGGAAAAAGCCAGAUGAGAAACCUUGCUCGUCCCCACUCUGGGCUGAAUGUGCUCUGCAAUUAAGACUCAAAAGUGGUGCUUUGGGUGGCACCUAGGAAGUUUGUGGGGUUUGGGGGGAAUGUGGUUGUUGCUGCUGGUUUUUUGCAUCUUUAUUUUAGAUCUUGCUGUGGAAAUUGUUCAGCUUAGUUGUGUAUCUUUUUAAUGUUUUAUUGGUUGUUCAUUUCAUUUUCUUAUGUCGCAGUUAUGUAAUUGUUUCAUGUUAGAAGAAGCCCAGAGCCUGGUUUGAACUCUGAAAAGGUAGCAUACAAAUAAAAUUAUUUUUAUUUUACAAAUAAAAUUAUGUAUGUAUGUAUGUAUGUAUGUAUGUAUGUAUUUUAUCUCAGAGGGAUUGAGACUAUGAUCACUGCUUGGAAUUUGUGUUAAAGGUAGCCUAUGCAGAACAUACCAGAUUAUAGGGAUUUUAAACCACUGCUAUUAGAACUGCUGUUAAGGUUAAUGAAACAUUUUUAGUAAAGUUACACUUCAGUCGCCUCUUCCAAACAAACAGUCAGUUGAUUUUCUCCUUCCUGUGAGGUCUCCCCUACACUUGGACCUGUCUCUCAUAAUCUGCUGCACCGUCACCUCUAAAUUCCUGCAGUUCCUAGAACCUAACAAACACCAGGCUAAAUUUUCACUGAAUUCUUAGGAAAAGACAAAGCGUUAGCCCAAAUGCUUAAAUCAGAGGCGGGAGACAAGGUCCCAAGUCAGCAACCAGCCACCUGCUGUCUCCAAAGCAGAGAUACGACGCGCACCAUCAGGCAGCCCCAAAGAGUGGGACGAUUCAGACAGGAAUGCAAAAUGUGGAUGGAUUCAGCACAAAUGAAUCUAUCUGAAAACUACUCCAAGUCCAGCCGCUGAAAUCCUUCAGUCAGCGUCUGCCCCCUCCCUCCCUUGCGCUUUCUUCAUAAGCCAGUUAUCUGUUGUGGAAUGAUGUGUUCUUAAUUGUCUGCCAAGGCUGGAUGGAAGAGGAAGGUUUUCAGCAGCAGCUUCUGGACCCAAGUCCAAGGGCAGCCCCAUGUGGCGUGCAUUGCAGUUGUCCAGCCUCGCGGGUGCCAACACACGGACUACAAUGGGCAGGCUGUCCCUGCCCAGAAAUGGCUGUAGUUGGCAAAUAAUAAAUUUUAUUUGUACCCCACCCUACCCAGCCAAGACGGGGCUCAGGGCGACUAACAACCAAUUUUAAAAACAAGUUGAUUAAAAUACAACUUAAAAAACAAGAUUAAAAUAUAACAUUAAAACAUUAAGAUGCAGCCUCUUCACACGAGGAGAAAGGAAAAAAGAAAGAGGGGGAGGGAAUCAAAUUGACUCCAAGCCAAAGGCCGGGCAGAACAACUCUGUCUUACAGGCCCUGUGGAAAGAAAUCAGAUCCCACAGGGCCCUGGUCUCAUGAGACAGAGCGUUCCACCAAGCCGGGGCCAGUGUUGAAAAGGCCCUGCCUCUGGUUGAAGUAAUCUAUCUUCCUUAGGGCCCGGGACCACCAGGGUGUUGCUAUUUAUGGACAAAGCUGGUAACAGGAGCUCCUAUUAUUAUUAUUAUUAUUAUUAUUAUUAUUAUUAUUUAUUAUUAAUGCACUACCCAUCUGGCUGGGCUUCCCCAGCCACUCUGGGCAGCUCCCAACAGAAUAUUAAAAACGCGAUGAAACAUCACCAACUGCUUUGGUAUGUUUUGUAUGGCACAGCAGUAUACAAAUACUUUUUAAAAUAAAUAAACACACUUCUCCUUUGUUCUAAGCUUUGGCCAGCCUGGAAAAAGGACCUCAACCUCUGUCCAUCACACCAGGUUGGUGAAGGAGAAGAGCCCUGCCCCCCCCCCGCACCCCCUCCUGCCAUGCCCUGUGUUGCAGUUUGGCAAAGAAAGGGACUCCUCCACUGUGACACUGGCCUCGUGGAAUUAAGUCCUAUUAGGAACAGUGGAACUGUGUAGGAACGUCACUGGUGGCAGGAUCAGGCUCUGUCUUCAAGCCGCGAUUCCCUCUGUUUUGAAGCAAUUCCAGGACUGGCAGAUUUAAUCACAGAUAGCCGCUCUGCUUGGGGCUGCAUCUUAUCUGCGGCUUCCACCUUAUCCCCCCAUUGCAGAACUUCCCGUGUAUGUAGAACAUCUACACUCCCUUUCUAAGCUUUCCUUAUCUGCUUUCUUGGGGAUCAAAGGAUUCUUUAAAAAAAGAAAUCAAUAUAAUUUGAGAUCUGUCAAAAUGAUUCACAGCCAGCCUUACUUUGAAAUGUCAUAGGAAGUUUCAGCUGCUGGUUCCAGAGCAGAGUGGGGAACGUUUAUUGUGCUCCUACCCCAUCACUGUGGACUCCCAGCCCCCCAUUAUUAUUUUUUUAAAAGGAAAAUCUCCUUUCUGAUAUAGCUAGUCCUUUUUUGUGCAUCUAGUGCAGGGGGCAGCAACCUAAGGCCCAUGGGCUGGAAGGGGCCCACGGAGGUCGUUUGACUGGCCCCCGAGCUGCCUGCUCAUGCGCUGUGCUAAACUGGCACAGCACGGAGCAGGGACUCGCUUCCGCGGCGCUGGAAAACGCGUCUGUGCAGACGCAAAUGCCGAAAAUCGCACCUGCGCAUGCGCAGACACAGAAAAUCGUGGGCGUAUGUGCUCACACAAGUGAUACGGCCCACGGAGGGAUCUCCACGGAACCGAUCCAGCCCAGGCAAGAUAAACCUUGCCGACCCCUGAUCUAGUGAAUGAGGUCCUCUAGUUAUACUCAGCAAUAUGAGGUCCCCUAGUUAUAUAUCAGAGCUUAAAUUCUUAUAACAAGAUUCUUGCUGGAUCUGACAAGGCCUUAAAAGUCUGGCUCAGUAGCUUUGGCCAGCUGAUCCUGUCAGAAGAGCCUGUGCUGGAUCAGGCCAAUGGCCCAUGGAGUCCAGUGUCCUGUUCUCACAGUGGCCCACCAAAUCAUAGAAUCAUAGAAUCAUAGAGUUGGAAGAGACCACAAGGGCCACCGAGUCCAACCCCCUGCCAAGCAGGAAACACCAUCAGAGCACUCCUGACAUAUGGUUGUCAAGCCUCUGCUGAAAGACCUCCAAAGAAGGAGACUCCACCACACUCCUUGGCAGCAAAUUCCACUGUCGAACAGCUCUCACUGUCAGGAAGUUCUUCCUAAUGUUUAGGUGGAAUCUUCUUUCUUGUAGUUUGCUACAAGAUGCUCCAAAGGAAAACCCACAAGCAGGAUUCGAAUACAAGGGCAGCUAGACUGGUGACUGGGAGCAGACACCGAGACCAUAUAACACCAGUCUUGAAAGACCUACACUGGCUCCCAGAACGUUUCUGAGCACAAUUCAAAGUGUUGGUGCUGACCUUGAAAGCCCUAAAUGGCCUCGGCCCAGUAUACCUGAAGGAGCGUCUCCACCCCCAUCCUUCAGCCCAAACACUGAGGUCCAGCUCCGAGGACCUUCUGGCGGUUCCCUCAUUGCAAGAAGCCAAGUUACAGGGAACUAGGCAGAGGGCCUUCUCGGUGGUGGUGCCCGCCCUGUGGAACACCCUCCCACCAGAUGUCAAAGAGAACAACAAUUACCAGACUUUUAGAAGACAUCUGAAGGCAGCUCUGUUUAGGGGAGCUUUUAAUGUUUAAUAGGUUAUUGUAUUUUGGUAUUCUGUUGGAAGCCGCCCAGAGUGGCUGGGGAAGCCCAGCCAGAUGGGCGGGGUAUAAAUAAUAAAUUAUUAUUAUUAUUAUUAUUAUUAUUAUUAUUAUUAUUAUUUAUUCAACUCUCCCUUCUUGCUUGUUUGGAGCAACUGGCUUUCAGAAGCUCAACAGAUGGAGCCACACGUCUAAAAGAUAAAGAAGCUAUUUGCACUGCGCUGGAAAAAGCACCACCAGCAUCUCCUUAACCGCAACUCCCCCGUAGCUGCUGAGGUCCUCUCACAAGUUCUGCAAAAACAAAUUAGACGGUGAUGGACUGGGCCUCAAGACCUGGAUACAGAUGGCCAAGAAUACUCCUUUGCCCAAGAAAAGAGUUGAGACCGUCAAGCCCUCCCCACCCCGAUAUAGGCAGGGGCGAACUAGGGCUAACCGACACCCGGGGCGGGGCAAACCGCCAGCUGCGCAUGCAUGGCGUCGCUAUGUACAGCGCAUGUGUGCGACACCGCGCAUGCGUUGUAGGUAGCGGCUUGCUGCCAGCACUGCUCAAGCACGGUACGGACGGUGGCAGGAUCCUCUGCCCACGGGGUGCCUUCUUGUCACCCCCCUGGGGUGAACCGCCCCCUGCCCCCUUGUGACGCCACUGGAUACAGGUCCACAUUGAUGGCAGCCCAGCUCUGUGCGGUAUCAAGGAGCCCCAUAGAUCUGCUUGGCACGAGGCGCCUCGGGCCGCUCUGUGUUUCUCGUCUGCCUGCUAAUUUAUGGACAUGCUCUAAUCUCCGUAAGAUUAGGAGUGUAAUUAAUAAUAAUUAAUGGGUACAUUAAUCUUCCGCUGGCUGUGAUAAGACCUAUUCAGACAGACGUGGCUUAGUCUCUGUUUGCAGAGACGCAGAAUCGGCAAAAAGGCAUGGGUGGGGACUGUCAACGCAAGGACUUCAUCUCAGAGUUAUUGAGAUCUGUUUCCUGUGUGUGUGUGUGUGUGUGUGUGUGUGUAUUCAUUCUGAUUUAUGCCCACCAGGCUGCCUCCCAAAGUGGAAGGCAGAGCAAUGCUAUGUUGAUUAUUAGUCAUCCAUAGCCCUCUCUUCCUCCACCCAAUCCUCUUCUAAAGCCAUUUAGGUUGGGGGGCAUCCUGUGGCAGGGAGUUCCAUAGUAUUGUUAUUAAUUAAAUUGAUAUAAAGAAGCACUACUUGAAUAAGUACAAGAAAUACAACCUCAGGAGCUGGUCUGCUGUGUUUUUUCUGCCCACAUCUUGACAGUUCAGUACUAAAUAUGUUUCAAGUGAACGUUUUAAAUGCAGAAUGUUUUUCCCUUCAUUCUUUGUUAGAAACGAAGCCUGAUGAGGAACGGUUGAAGGAGCUGGGUAUGUUCAGCUUGGAAAAGAGCAGACUGACUGAGAGGAGAUAUGAGAGCCAUCUUCAAAUAUCUCAAGGGCUGUCACAUGGGAGAAGAAACAAGCUUGUUUUCUCCUGCUCUGGAAGGUAGGAUUCGAACCCACGGCUUCAAGUUCCAACUGGACAUCAGGGACAACUUUUUGAGGGUAUUAGCUGUUCAGGACUGGAACAGGCUCCCUCGGGAGGUUGUGGACUCUUCUUCACUGGAGGUUUCUAUGCAGAAGAUGGAGCCCAUCUGUCUUGGAUGCUUUAGCUGAGCUUCCUGCAUUGCUGGGGGUUGGACUAGAUGACCCCGGAGGGUCCCUUCCAACUCUACAAUUCUAUGAUUCUAUCUUACUCUUUAUGUGGAAAUUGUUUGAUUUGGUUGGUGUGCUUUUUGAGGAGGAGGAGGAGGAGGAGGAGGAGGGGCUGCCACCCCUGAGGCCCUGCCCCACCUGACAAGCUGGCUCUGAGGGUCCGGGCAGAGGACAGGGGCUGCGCUGGGUGGGAAGAACGGUGAAGCAGAGCAGAGCACCAGGAGUCCUGAAUGCAUUGUCCACCUGCAUCUAAUCUUGCCCCUUUCUCAAAUUUAUUUAUUGGUGUGGUUCUUUUUUGGGGGGGGGGGGAGGUUAAAUCUACCAAAGAAUAAAAUAAAAUAAAAUCAGGAUUAAGGGGUUUUCUCAGGAGGGCGGAGAGCGUUUUUGCUGAGUCCUGUUGGUGCAGUGUCAGUGGGACUUGCUCAUCUUCUGAUAGGAAAUGCUUCUGCGGGGGCAGAGGGGACACAGAAAAUGGGGGGUUGAGGAGGAUGAGUUGGGGGGAGUGAGAAAUGUCCCUAUUUUCAUCUGAGGAAUGUUGGAGCUCCUGCUGUUAUGGGGGGGGAGGAAAUCCGGGGUGAGAGACCACUAAAGGAGUGUCUCCACCCCCAUUGUUCUGCCCGGACGCUGAGGUCCAGCUCUGAGGGCCUUCUGGCGGUUCCCUCCCUGCAAGAAGCAAAGCUACAGGGAACCAGGCAGAGGGCCUUCUCUGUGGUGGCGCCCUCCCUGUGGAAUGCCCUCCCAGCAGAUGUCAAAGAGAUAAACAACUACCUGACAUUCAGAAGACAUCUGAAGGCAGCCCUGUUCAGGGAAGUUUUUAAUGACAUCUUAGUGUAUUUUGGGUCUUUGUGGAAGCUGCCCAGAGUGGCUGGGGAAACCCAGCCAGAUGGGCUGGGUACAAAUAAUAAAUUAUUAUUAUUAUUAUUAUUAUUAUUAUUAUUAUUAUUAUUACUCAACAGCCUAGCCUAGAUAUUGCAAUGCAAGGCAUCCCUGACAGAUGGCCAUUCAACCAGAUGAGGUGAGCUUCUCUCCAAAGCACUGUGCUAGGUUCCUAAGCGAUUCUCCACCCCCCAAACAAAACUCCUACCCUUAAACUUAAGGUUGCAUCCUUUGGGGAUAUUAAACGUCCCUCCCAUCCCAGGCUCAUCCCAAAUGACAGCUCAGCAUUAAAUGGCCGGCUGGCUUAGACAGCCAUAAACAUCCCCGGAGCCAGAGCCAUUAAGGAGGCUGUCAGGAGGGCGAGAUUAGCUGAUCUACUGGAAUUCGCCUGGGCUCCAACUCAGAAGAAGCCGGACGGGGCUUGUCAAGGCUUUCGGCUUUUGGGAGGAAGGAAGUCACCGAGCAAAAAAGGACGUGAUGCUCAUGGCUCUCAAGGUGGCCACUUAUGAAGCCGUUUCAGCGCCAAGGUGGCUUCUUGCCCUUUCGUGUUCAAAAUUGCGAUUGCUUUCUCUUCUUAAUAAGAGAAUCACCCAAGUAAAUAAAAAUAGGUAAUAUGCAGGGCUACAUAUUUGGCAUAUGGAUCAGAAAUGAUAAUUAACUAAAUGUCUCUAACACACAUUCUUGUUAUUCCUACCUAAAUAUUAUUGCACAAUGUUUCUGCUAAUCUUUUACAUACUUGAUUGAUUGAUUGAUUGAUUGCAUUUUGAUUCCGCCUUGUCUCCCUGGAGCUCAAGGUGCCAUUGGUGGUUCUCCUCCUCAUUUAAUCCCCACAACAGCCCUGAGGUUACGCAGAGAGGCAGUGACCAUAACCGAAGGACACCCAGUGAGAUUCAUGUCUUAGGGGGGGAUUCGAACCCUGGUCUCCCAGAACCUUGUCCAAAACUGUGACCACUACACUGCACUGAAAAGUAAGGCAAAUGGGGAGACCUCUGCCUCAGGCUCUUAAUAUAGCAGUGCAAGGAAUGUCUUCUUCUUCAUCAUCAUCAUCAUCUUCUUCUUCUUCUAGCUGCUGUGAAUGGCAACUGAGUUAUUUGCAUAAAACUAAAAACAGUUGCAAUACUGUUGUUGUUGCUGCUGCUGCUGCUGUCAAUACCCCGCCUAUCUGACUGGUGCUGACUGGGCCUCCAGCACAUAUUAAACAAGAUAAAACCUCAAACCUUAAAAAGCUUCCCUAAACAGGGCUGCCUUCAGAUGUUUUUUCAAAGUCAGGUAAUUGUUUAUUUCCUUGACAUCUGAUAAGAGGGUGCUACUACCAAGAAGGCCCUCUGCCUGGUUCCCUGUAACCUCACUUCUCGCAAUGAGGGAACCGCCAGGAGACCCUCGGCACUGGACCUCAGUGUCUGGUCAGAACGAUGGGGUGGAGACGCUCCUUCAGGUAUACAGGACCGAGGCCGUUUAGGGCUUUAAAGGUCAGCACCAACACUUUGAAUUGUGCUCGGAAACGUACUGGGAGCCAGUGUCGGUCUUUCAAGACUGGUGCUAUAUGAUUCCAGACGGUGGCAAAGCAAGCCGAUCGGGCACCUGGGGCAGUGCCCAGGGGGUGGAGCCAGCCACCUGUGGGGCGGGGUGAGCUGGGGCAGGUUGCUCCAUGAGGCUUCUGAGGAGUCUGCCUGCCUUCUCACACUCAGCCGCCCCACAGCUGAGGGGGAGGUGGCAGCGGGUGGGCAGUUUGGGGCAGCGCAGAGCCUGCAAGCACCCAAGCCAUUGCGUCACUCCCAGGAAGGACACGUGGCUCUGCAAGCCCCACGGUGAGGGCCGCCUGGCAUUUUGUCACCCCUCAGUGGUGACACCCGGGGCAGACCCCCCACCACCACACACCCUUCCUCUGCCCCUGGUCCCGGUGGCUGCUUCCAGUUCCCAGUCUAGCUGCCGCAUUCUGUGUUAAUGAGCACUGAAGACGCCUAACAACAAAGUACAAAACAGCCAAAUAUCAACGAAAACACCCACCCACCCCAACCUCGCAUGGGGUGGGGCAAGCAGGUGAAAAAGACUGCCCUUGGUGGUGCCAGGAGACUCUCCCCUGUAGCUCUUCGUAUGGGAUUUAUUUAAAGGCAAAACCCAACCUGCCUGAUAGAAAAUCGAUGGUGUUUCAAUUUGGGGAUUCCUUGAUAGGUUGGAAGUCCAAAAAGCAAGGAAUCGUGGCCACAUCUUCAACAGAGGCUGAAUACUGUGCUUUAUCAGAGUUGUGUAAUGAAAUAAUUUUUUUCGUUCAAAUUCUCAAUGAUUUAGAUAUACAAUGUGAUUAUCCAGUUCAAAUAUGUGUAGACAAUCAAGCUGUAAUAACUUUGGCUGGGUCUGAGCAGUUUAAAAAUAAAUCCAAACUUUUAGAAAUUAAGUAUCAAAAUGUAACUGAAAAUGUUAAACAAAACCUGAUAAUGCUAAAAUACUGUGAGAGCAUGCAAAAUGUGGCUGAUAUAUUUACGAAAGCACUAACUUUUGAGAAACAUGCACAACUGGUGACAAAAUUAGGAAUUGUUGUGCGUGAUGUAUAAAUAUGUUUUGUAUAUGUUUACUGUUUUGCUUUCUGUUUCUGUUUGAAAACCCCCCUCUAAAAGGUCCUCAUCACUCUGCACAUGCUCAGAGGUGCUUUGUCAUCAAGAAGUAGAGGCAUUUGGGACAUCUUCAGAGGAAUUGUGCAGAUCUUAAGGAGGCGGCUCAGCAACUAAGCGUGAACAGGACCCUAUAUUCUGCAGCCUGCGUCUUUUGCCAAGAGGAAGGGGUGGCGGAGGCAGGCAAGUUCGCCUGGAAAGGGUUGUCCCCAUUUUCAAGGUUUCCCCCAGCUGCAGGCUUCAGUGAGCUUGGCAGUUGAUUAAUGCCUCCGCUGUGGAGUGGCAGUUUGGCCGUACAGCUUCAUCCAUCAUCCGCAGGCCAUUUCCUCUGGGUUUGGAGACCCUAACAAAUUGUCACCUAAGCGGCUGGGACACUGUCUCUUCCGUCGCUUGCCUGCUGCAUCGGGAAAAUGCCCCAGUUUGGUGUGACGCUGGAGCGGGGAGAAUGAAAGGAGCUCAGGAAAGCUCAGCAGCAUCGUGUUGUGCCAACGCCGGGAUGUUCAAUGGUGUUAUGGAGUUUUUAUUAGGGUUACGGAUUCGGUGUUUGUGCAUAUAAGAAUUUAAGGAGAGCCUGCUGCUUUGGGCCAGUGGUCCAUCUAGGACAGCAUCCUCUUCUCACAGUGGCCCAAAAGCAAGAUCUGACCACAAGAGCCCCCUCCCUCCCUGCAAUCUGCAUUGCUGCCCCCCAACUGUGGAAGUUGAGCAAAGCCGUCCAUAGCCCUCUCCUCCUCCAUGAAUUUGCCCCAUCCCCUUUUAAAACCAUCCAAGUGACCAUCACUGACUCCUGUGGGAGGGAGUUCCACAGUUUAACCAUGUGCUGCAUGAAGCGCUUUCUUUUAUCUGUCCUGUGUGCAUGUUUGUAUGACAAAAAAUGUCAGUUCUGGUAGAGAUGUUCAUUUAAAAUCAACCAGAGCUGAAUUCUGUGUUGUUUUGCAAGCCUGUUGAAUGGACUGUUAUCUAUCUACCUAUCAUCUAGCUAGCUAGCUAGCUAGCUAUUAUCUACACACACACACACACACACACACACAGAGAGAGAGAGAGAGAAUUGGGGGGUAAGUUACAUAAAGAGCCAUAAAAAGGAGGUAUUUACUAGAAACAAAUAAAAGGUUUUCAAGACCACAUUAUUAUAUUAUUAUAUUGCUCAUGAAAUAAAACUAAAUGAACAUUACAACAUGGGGGUGGGGGAGAACCACACAAUGAUUUUAUUUUGAAACUUAAUACAGUGGUACCUCCGGUUACAUACACUUCAGGUUACAGACUCCGCUAACCCAGAAAUAGUACCUCAGGUUAUCACAGGAACCCCCCCCCCCCCAAUCAUUCAGUUUGUACAAACUUCACACACACUCGCACACUACAUACGCUACGCUUCUGUUAUAAAUUCAUAGAAAACCAACCAUACAUCGGAUCUGCACUGUUCCACUUUUAUUUUACUCCAUGAAGGAAGGACUACAAAAUGGGGAAGGUUUGAUACAGGGCAGCCAUAAUCCCUUCAGCAUACCAGCACAUCCACAGGAGCCCUGCCCAGUUGCUAUGCCAACCCUGAUGGUCCUAGACAGAAGACCAUCAAGAUCACAAAGAACUUGCAUAUGGGAGUGGAUUCAGCACAGACUGGAACAAAGGACAACAAUCAGCUCUUCCCUCUGGGGGCAGGAAACUGCAAACUCCCCUCUGUCACCUGGAAAGUACUCAUGGGGAGGGGGGAAAGGAGGAACCAGCCAGGUGACAGGACACUCAGGUUACCUCCACAACUCCUCCCUCAACCCCUCCUUUCUGUGAUGUAUGCAUGAUGUUUCUGGGGGUGGUCUUGAUCUACAGGGUGGCAAUUUCAAAAGUCUUUAUAAGGCCUUGCAUGCCAUUUUUCUGGGUCCCUCCUCUCUCCUGCGGGUGAGGGAGCACCCUGUUGCAACAGAUCAAUAAAAGCCAAGCCUACAGGCUGCUGUUUUGCUCCAAGUUAUCCUGGUUGGUGUCUUUGUUUUUGUCCAAGGGAGCCCUCGGAUUUUUCCGUUAACAGGGUUAAGAACUUUGCUUCAGAAUGAGAAGAGAAAUCGUGCUCCAGCGGCGCGGUGGCAGCGGGAGGCCCCAUUAGCUAAAAUGGUGCUUCAGGUUAAGAACAAAAUUUCAGGUUAAGAACGGACCUCCGGAAUGAAUUAAGUACUUAACCCAAGGUACCACUGUACUCAAAAAUUAAUAAAGACACAAAGGGUUCCUUUUUGUGUGUGGUUUAAAGGUAAAGGGUAAAGGGACCCCUGACUGUUAGGUCCAGUCGUGGCCGACUCAUGGGUUGCGGCGCUCAUCUCACUUUACUGGUCGAGGGAGCCGGCGUACAGCUUCCGGGUCAUGUGGCUAGCAUGACUAAACCGCUUCUGGCGAACCAGAGCAGCGUACGGAAACGCCGUUUACCUUCCUGUUGGAGCAGUACCUAUUUAUCUACUUGCACUUUGGCAUGCUUUCGAACUGCUAGGGUGGCAGGAGCUGGGACCGAAAGACGGGAGCUCACCCCGCCGCGAGGAUUCGAACUGCCAACCUUCUGAUCAGCAAGUCCUAGGCUCUGUGGUUUAACCCACUGCGCCACCCGUGUGUGUGGUUUAGAGGGCUGGAAAUGAAGAACUCUGCAUUUCUAAAAAGACAUGUUCCUUUUGAUGUAUUUAUCGCAUUGUUUUUCGAUGUGGGGGUGCCUCUCCCUUGCAGCUUAGAAGGCGGGAGGACAGUUUCCCUCUCGCUUUGUGCCAAUUGUAUGCAGCCUUUUAACGCCGUAACUUUUUGAUCUUGGAGGGAAAUGUCAGUUUUGAAAGGAGUAGGAAGAGGAGCUGAACCAGAGUUGAGCUGCCCUUUGCAUCUGCAUGAGAGAGAGAGAGAGAGAGAGAGAGAGAGAGAGAGAGAGAUCCCAGCCCAAGGGGAAGAAGAGGUUCAUUUCUCAUUUUUGUUUUGUUUUGCACAGUGCAAAAUCACACAGAGCCAGUGUGGUGUAGUGGUUAAGAGCGGUGGACUUGUAAUCUGGUGAACGGGGUUCGCUUCCCUGCUCCUCCACAUGCAGCUGCUGGGUGACCUUGGGCCAGUCACACUUCUCUGAAGUCUCUCAGCCCCACUCACCUCACAGAGUGUUUGUUGUGGGGGAGGAAGGGAAAGGAGAAUGUUAGCCGCUUUGAGACUCCUUCGGGUAGUGAUAAAGCGGGAUAUCAAAUCCAAACUCUCCUUCUUCUUCUUCUUCUUCUUCUUCUUCUUCUUCUUCUUCUUCUUCUUCUGCAAUGGGGCAGGGGGAAAGCGUUGCCUGAACAGCCUGCUUUAGAAGCAACAGCAAAGAGAUGUGUGGCAGCCGAAAGAUUUUGGGUUUUUUUGUUUCGAUAUAUUCUUCUGCAACAUGUCAUUUGCAGGACACAUAGGCAAGAUACAAGACCUGGCCACAAGACUGAUAGGAACCAGUUAAAGAAAUUUUAUUUUAUUUUAGACUAGUCUAUUGUGGUUUUAACUUUAUGUAUGUUUUAAAUUACGGUCGUAAAUUUUGUUGUUUUCUCUUUUUUGGAAAUUGCUUUGAGGGUGUGUUUUUUUGCUGCAGUCAAGCGGUGUGUAAAUUUUAUGAAACAAAUGAAUCAAUAAAAUCGACAUCUGGCUGCAAAAGUGAAAAGAAUCCCCGUGCAAGGUAAGGUUACCAGACGUCACUGUUUCCCGGGGACAGUCCCCAGAUUUGUGAAUAAGUCCCCGGACAAACUCCAUCCCCAGAAUGUCCCUGGAUUUCAUCUAAUGUCCCCAGGAAACGCAGCAGCCGCAGUCUCUCAGCAGCCCGGAGCAGUUGGCUCUGGCUGGCUUCAGGAGCUGCUUGGAAGUCCCCAUCUGAUGGUGGUGCAGGGGCUCAAAGACGCAGCUUCCGGGCUGCCUCCACCUUCCCUGACCCCAGCAACUCAGCUGUGAAGGAAGGCUUCACGCUGCCUAUCAGAGCUUGCGUGCAAGCAGGAGGGGGGCAGGGAUCUCUCAGUUAGGCAAUGGGAAGCCUCCCUUCCCAGCUGAGGGAUCCCUGCCCCCUCCUGCUUGCACGCAAGUAGGAGUGGGAUUGGGGCUGCUCCAGUGGGAAGGGAGGCAUCGCUCUGCCCGAGCCUCGCCACUGCUGCCACUCUCGGCCCUCCUUGUCCGCCUUCCAUGCCUGACCCACUGCGCACCGCUUCCCCACCACCACCACCAAAGAACCAACAAGUCAGGGGCUGCUCAGGCUCAUGGAAAAAGAAGAUAGAAGCCUCAGAGGAAUGAGAAACGUGGCGGUUGAGGUCAAGGCAGCAGCCACCCCUCUGCCACUGCUAUUGCUGCAGCAUCAACGUCCUGAACGUGUAGUAUUUAUUUAUUUAUUUAUUUAUUUAAAGUGUCCCCAGAUUCAUUGAAAACAAUCUGGUAACCUUAGCGUAAGGCACAAAGAGGGUUCCCCUGUGUGCAGUGAAAAAUGGGUUGAGUAAGUGGUUAGAGGAGAGAUGGUGGGGUGCUGGGGUGGCAGAAGGGGGUUGGGUAGAGGGCAGACAGCUGAGUUGCCAUGCAUGUGGCUCCAUAGGGUGUGUCCUAUAUAGGGCAAUGUCCUUGCAGACUCUUUGGACUCUGCCCAGUAAUGCAUUGCUGAAAUCGACUAGGAAUUUGGUGUGAACCUCUGUACUUGAACCCCCAAGUGGAAUUUCUCUCACAGUUCCCAUGUUCGUGAGACAGGCAAGUGACCUGUUUUGGAUGGAGUUGCUCUCCCUCUGAAGGAGAAAGCGUGUCACUCAGGGGUGCUCUAAGACAUAUCUCUGUCACUCAAGGCCCAAGAGUCCUCUGUGGCUAGGCGUAUACCUGAAGGAGUGUACCUGGAGGAGCAUCUCCAUCCCCAUCGUUCUGCCCAGACACUGAGGUCCAGCUCCAAGGGCCUUCUGGUGGUUCGCUCAGUGCGAGAAGUGAGGUUACAGGGAACCAGGCAGAGGGCCUUCUCGGUGGUGGCACCCACCCUGUGGAACGCUCUCCCAUGAGAUGUCAAGGAAAUAAACAACCACCUGACUUUUAUAAGACAUUUGAAGGCAGCUCUGUUUAGGGAAGUUUUUAAUGUCUAAAUUAUUAUUAUUAUUAUUAUUAUUAUUAUUAUUAUUAUUAUUAACCGUCCUUGCUAGGAGCCAGCCAGAAACCUCUCCUCCUCCACGAAUUUAUCCAAACCUCUUUUAAAGCCACCCAAGAUGAUGGCCAUCCUGUGGGAGCAAGUUUCAAAGUUUAGCUUGGACUACUGCAAUGCUUGGACUAUUGCAACAUGCUCUACGUGAGGGUGCCUUUGAAGGUGACCUGGAAACUACAACUAAUCCAGAAUGUGGCAGCUAGACUGGUAACUGGGAGCGGCUGCCAAGACCACAUAACACCAGUCUUGGAAGACCUACAUUGGCUCCCAGUACAUUUCUGAGCACAAUUCAAAGUGUUGGUGCUGACCUUGAAAGCCUUAAACGGCAUCAGCCCAGUAGACCUGAAGGAGCGUCUCCACCCCAUCAUUUUGCCCAGACACUGAGGUCCAGCUCCAAGGGUCUUCUCGUGGUUCCCUCACUGCGAAAAGUGAGGUUACCGGGAACCAGGCAGAGGGCCUUCUUGGUGGUGGCACCCACCCUGUGGAACGCCCUCCUAUCAGACAUCAAGGAAAUCAUAGAAUCAUAGAGUUGGAAGAGAGCACAAGGGCCAUCGAGUCCAACCCCCUGCCAAGCAGGAAACAGCAUCAGAGCACUCCUGAUAUAUGGUUGUCAAGCCUCUGCUUAAAGACCUCCAAAGAAGGAGCCUCCACCACACUCCUUGGCAGCAAAUUCCACUGUCGAACAGCUCUUACUGUCAGGAAGUUCUUCCUAAUGUUUAGGUGGAAUCUUCUUUCUUGUAGUUUGGAUCCAUUGCUCCGUGUCCGCUUCUCUGGAGCAGCAGAAAACAACCUUUCUCCCUCCUCUCUGUGACAUCCUUUUAUAUAUUGGAACAUGGCUAUCAUAUCACCCCUUAACCUCCUCUUCUCCAGGCUAAACAUGCCCAGCUCCCUUAGCCGUUCCUCAUAAGGCAUCGUUUCCAGGCCUUUGACCAUUUUGGUUGCCCUCCUCUGGACACGUUCCAGUUUGUCAGUGUCCUUCUUGAACUGUGGUGCCCAGAACUGGACCCAGUACUCCAGGUGAGGUCUGACCAGAGCAGAAUACAGUGGCACUAUUACUUCCCUUGAUCUAGAUGCUAUACUCCUAUUGAUGCAGCCCAGAAUUGCAUUGGCUUUUUUAGCUGCCGCGUCACACUGUUGGCUCAUGUCAAGUUUGUGGUCAACCAAGACUCCUAGAUCCUUUUCACAUGUACUGCUCUCAAGCCAGGUGUCCCCCAUCUUGUAUUUGUACCUCUCAUUUUUUUUGCCCAAGUGCAAUACUUUCCAUUUCUCCCUGUUAAAAUUCAUCUUGUUUGUUUUGGCCCAGUUCUCUAAUCUGUCAAGGUCGUUUUGAAGUGUGAUCCUGUCCUCUGGGGUGUUAGCCACCUCUCCCAGUUUGGUGUCAUCUGCAAAUUUGAUCAGGAUGCCCUUGAGUCCAUCAUCCAAGUCGUUGAUAAAGAUGUUGAAUAAGACCGGGCCCAAGACAGAACCCUGUGGCACCCCACUAGUCACUCUUCUCCAGGAUGAAGAGGAACCAUUGAUGAGCACCCUUUGGGUUCGGUCAGUCAGCCAGUUACAAAUCCACUGAGUGGUAGCAUAGUCAAGACCGCAUUUUACCAGCUUCUUUACAAGAAUAUCAUGAGGCACCUUGUCAAAUGCCUUGCUGAAAUCAAGGUAGGCUACAUCCACUGCGUUCCCUUCAUCUACCAGGCUUGUAAUUCUGUCAAAAACGAGAUCAGGUUAGUCUGACAUGACUUAUUUUUCAGAAAUCCAUGCUGACUAUUGGUGAUCACAGCAUUCCUUUCUAGGUGCUCACAGACUGUUUGCUUAAUGAUCUGCUCCAGAAUCUUCCCUGGUAUUGAUGUCAGACUGACUGGGCGGUAAUUAUUUGGGUCCUCUCUUUUCCCCUUUUUGAAAAUAGGGACAACAUUUGCCCUCCUCCAGUCUGCCGGGACUUCGCCUGUUCUCCAGGAAUUCUCAAAGAUGACUGCCAUUUUAUAAACAAUAAAAUGCAAUAAACACCAUAUUAAAAGGUUAAAAACAGACAGGAAUCUCAGCUGCAGAAUACCCUGACCGACGGCCAUCCAACCUCUGCUUAAAAACCUCCCGUGAGCAGGAUCCUGUUCCCUCUUGGCUCCCAGCUCUGCCUGUCCUUCAGCUCAUUGAGUUUUUCCUCCCUCUAACUUGUUUGCAGUGCUUGAUUUGAUUUUUGUUUAUUUGGCUGCAGCAUCGGAGUCUGUUAUUGAUUUCCGGCGCUCAGCCCUCCUCCAGUUUGGCCUUGGUCCGCAGAAUUGGAGGCCACCAUCCGAAUCUCAAAUGCCAGCGGGAGUCUGUGCGUCCCAUACGGACCAUGUCUCUCUCCACAGAUGACGGGUCUCCAGCUCCCUUGAGGGGCUGCAUUCUCAGCCUCCCUCUUAGAAUCAUAGAGUUGGAAGGGCCACUGAGGGCCACUUAGUCCGGCCCCCUGCAAUGCAGGAAUCUGCCCUGGCCAACCAACCUCUGCUCAGAAACCUCCAAGGAAGGAGAGUCCACCACCUUCAAAGGUGGUCUGUUCCACUGCUAAACCCUCAGAAAGUUCUUCCUAAUGUGCAGUGGGAAGAGAUAGCCCUCUCCUCCUCCAUGAAUCUGGCCGAUCCUCGUUUAAAGCCAUCCAAGUUGGUGGCCAUCAUUGUCUCCUGUGGGAGGGAGUUCCACUGGAUUUCUACAAAUCUGAAACUACUAUAUUAUCAUACGCCACCCCCAAUCUCCAAGCGGUUAUUUGGCCCACUGUGUGUCACCCUGAACAUUCCCAAAAUCCAGCAGGCUCUUCUUAAUAUGUGGGAUACAGGAUCACAGGCCUGGAAGGAUCUCAUCCAGACUGACCACCCCAAAACUCCUACCAGGACAUUCUUUUUUCUGCUUACCACUAAAUUCACUUCCUUCUCCUUUUUAUGUUGUUUGAAUUCUAGACCACAUAAAAAACUCUCAUCUUGUCCAGUAACCUUGCGGGGGCUUUUUGGGUUCAUCCUUCUUUCCCCUGUUUCUUGCUUUCCUUCCCUACUCUUAAAAUACGAAGGUGGUUUUGGGCAGGUGAGCUGCCAGCAUUUGCCUGCCCCAAGAAAGAUGUUCUACACAGAACAUUUCUGGCAGGGGAGAGACACACAGUGGACCAAACUACAUUUCUCCCCCUGGGGGAUUUAAUGGGACAGGCCUAAGAGCAAAGAUUUGAGCUUACACUGGGGGUCCUUGGCUCUCAAGUAUUGAAAACAGGUUAAUACACCGGCAGGAUUUGAAGAAUACUUGUAAUUUUAGAAAUAAUACAGGAAAGUUGAGGUAGGAAAAUAAUUUGGAGUAGAAAUGAUAUGCAGUUGAAAAGGAAAUUUAAGGAACCGGGAAGGGAAGUCAAGGGAUUCGGAGAAUCCCAUUUUAUGGAUUUGAUAUUGCUUUUGUGUAUAUUUUCCUUUGCUUGUGGUUGUUGUUGUGUUUGCUGUUGUUUGUUUUUUUAUUUUUGUUAUUUCUGUUGAAAUUUAAUAAAAAAUAUUCUUAAAAAAGAGCAAAGAUUUGAGUUUACACAGGGGAUCCUUGGCUCUCAGUCGUGCCCUGAAAGAGGGGACCAGUCCCUCAAAUGGGGCAGAGGACAGAUGCCACGAUUCCAGAGCAAUGACAUUUGCAGGGGAAUUAAGCAGAGAGCCCUCGCCCAGGCACCACAAGCUCUGUUGGCAACCCCAGAGGGAAAUCUCACCAUCAGCCUGAAAGCUCUGGGAAGUCGCUGAGUUUCUCCGGCUGAGAGUCGCAGCCUGCUUGCUUAAAAGGAUUGGAGUUCAGAAGUGCCUCCUGCGUGGGUGUCGGGUAAAAUACGACCAGCGCCAUUUAGCCUUAAUUAAAGCUGCCACCGCGACGUGACACAGCCCUGCCAUCGCCACCAGCAUUCCAUAUGCAUUUUGGACGUUUUGUCCUAGACAUCCGAAAGGCAGGGAAUCCACGCCCAGCAGUGUGGCGCUGUCUGGAAUCAAUCACCCAAGAGGCACAGGGAGGGCCUUUUCUCGUCUUUGCGAGCGUGUGGGGAGAAUUGCUAAGAGGGAAGAGGCUAGCGCAAUGCCACUCGCCUCUUGGCCCAAAAUGGUCCUCGCUGCCCAGGGGCCAUGGCAGGAAAAGGAGCUGACGGCAGGCGCAGAGGAGGGAGAAGGAAAAUGAGAACACAAGCAGGAUUCUUCAUAUUAGAGCAUAGCAGAAGCCAGUUACUCAGAGGGGACAGUGCAUCAUAAGCCCCUCUCUCAUGGAGCUCAGGUCUUCCAUAGCAUAACAUGCCACACAACUCUCUAAAUGGUGAUCCCGCCCAUCUGGCUGGGUUUCCCCAGCCACUCUGGGCGGCUUCCAACUGAAUAUUAAAAACAAUACAUCAUCAGACAUUAAAAACUUCCCUAAACAGUUGUCUUUUAAAAGUAAAAUAGUUGUUUAUCUCUUUGACAUCUGGUGGGAGGGAGUUCCACAGGGCAGGUGCCACUACUGAGAAGGCCCUCUGCCUGGUUCCCUGUAACUUGGCUUCUCGCAGGGAGGGAACUGCCAGAAGGCCCUCAGAGCUGGACCUCAGUGUCCGGGCAGAACAAUGGGGUGGAGACGCUCCUUCAGCUGAGAUUCCUGUCUGUUUUUAACUUUUUUUAUAUGGUUUUUAUUGCAUUUUAUUGUUUAUUUCCUUCACAUCUGAUGGGAGGGCAUUCCACAGGGUGGGCACCACCACCAAAAAGGCCCUCUGCCUGGUUCCCGGUAACCUCACUUUUCGCAGGGAGGGAACCGCCAGAAGGCCCUCAGAGCUGGACCUCAGUGUCCGGGCAGAACAAUGGGGGUGGAGCCGCUCCUUCAGGUAUACUGGGCCAAGGCCUUUUAGGGCUUUAAAGGUCAGCACUAACACUCUGAAUUGUGCUCGAAAACGUACUGGCAGCCAAUGGAGAUCUUUCAGGACCGGUGUUAUAUGGUCUCAGUGGCCACUCCCAGUCACCAGUCUGGCUGCCGCAUUCUGGAUUAGUUGUAGUUUCUGGGUCACCUUCAAAGGGAGCCCCACGUAGAGGGUGUUGCAGUAGUCCAAGUUAAAAGAAAGUCCUUCACUCCCUCAAGAGGCAGUGAUGACUACCAGCUUGGAUGGCUCCCAGUCACCAGUCACUCCCAGUCACCAGUCUGGCUGCUGCAUUCUGGAUUAAUUGCAGUUUCCGAGUCACCUUCAAAGGUAGCCCCACGUAGAGCGCAUGGCAGUAGUCUAAGCAGGAGAUAACUUGAUACUCCAAAGCAGGAGAUAAUGUGGUGAGACUCCAAAGGUGCCAGGGUUUGCUUUCUGAGGGCACCGGCGUUUGUCCACAGACAGCUUUCCAGAUCAUGUUGCCAGCAGGACUAAACCACUUCUGGCACAAUGGGACACUGUGAAGGAAACCAGAGCAAUGCACGGAAAUGCCGUUUACCUUCCCACCGCAGUGGUACCUAUUUAUCUACUUGCACUUUGAUGUGCUUUUGAACUGCUAGGUUGGCAGGAGCUGGGACAGAGCAACGGGAGCUCACUCCAUCACAGGUACUCGAAGCGCCAACCAGUCGGCAAGCCCAAGAGGCUUAGUGAAAGGGAUGUGGGUGGCGCUACACAUAUAUACGACCUGAGCGUACAUUAACACCCCAGCAGAUCUCGCAUCUCCUUCAGUCACAGCUUUGAAUCCAGCCCAGAGCAAGCAGGUCUCUGUGUCUCCAGCUUCCAGCCUGCUUCCAGCUCAGCUCUCUCACACCACUCAGGCUAAUCUCCUCUGAUCUAGCAUUCAGUCUAUAGCACAGAGCAAUCUUUUUGGUUAUGUCGAUUGUGGCACUUCGCUAGCCAGCCAAAGCCAUCGCUUAGAGAAAGAGGCUGAGUUAGGCAAAUUGGCUCUGACUACUGUCCUGACUGGGACACAGGUGGCGCUGUGGGUUAAACCACAGAGCCUAGGACUUGCAGAUCAGAAGGUCGGUGGUUCAAAUCCCCGCGAUGGGGUGAGCUCCCGUUGCUCGGUCCUUGCUCCUGCCAGCCUAGCAGUUCGAAAGCACGUCAAAGUGCAAGUAGAUAAAUAGAUACCACUCUGGCGGGAAGGCAGACGGCGUUUCCGUGCGCUGCUCUGGUUUCGCCAGAAGUGGCUUAGUCAUGCUGGCCACAUGACCCAGAAGCUGUAUGCCGACUCCCUCGGCCAGUCAAGCGAGAUGAGCACCGCAACCCCAGAGUCAUCCGCGACUGGACCUCAUGGUCAGGGGUCCCUUUACCUUUACCUUACUGUCCUGACUCCUGCCAUUUAAAUAGGGUUGCUAUACAUCUGAACUAUUCCCCCCCCAAAAGGCUCAACAAUUUGCCCCCCAAAAGUCCAACAGCAACCCUACCUUUGAUGUACCAAACAGGUGAGGGGGCUGGCUGUGGAAGAUUCCUUCCAUCAGCCACCGAGUUUGGUGCUUGUCAAAGUAAAUGAUUCCCAGACUUUGCAAAGCUGGUGUCACUGGAUCAAGUUCAUCAGAUUCUUUGAAUUAAUUCAACUAAAUGGUUUUAAUGGGACUUUGAACCAAUGUAGGAUUCCUUGUUCCCGUUUUGAAUUUUAUUGUGUCAGUAUUUUCCUGAAUGGGUUGUGCAAACUGCUAUUCGGAAUAAUGCUUUUUGAAGGGUAGGGGGCACUGGGGGGUGGGCUUGUGGAACCAAUAAGGAAGCAGCCCAAAAGAGUGUGGGAGCUACCGGCCUAAAAGCUCUUCUCUCCCCUCCUCCUUCAGAACGCCAAACAUUAUGCAAACCUGGGAAAGGCAGCUGAACGGUUUGGCUCGGUAAUCUUUGGGCUGUGAGCCAAACCAGUUCCAAAAUGUAUUAGCGAUAUGCACACACAGUUCAGUGGAGAACAGAGAGACUUUGGUCAUUAGCUGAAGUGAUGCAAAGCCAGGCGUGGGAGGCAAAGGACUCAUUCAGCCGGGGCCACUUGGGGAGGGGAAAUCCUGCCAGUGAUGGUUUCUCUCNNNNNNNNNNNNNNNNNNNNNNNNNNNNNNNNNNNNNNNNNNNNNNNNNNNNNNNNNNNNNNNNNNNNNNNNNNNNNNNNNNNNNNNNNNNNNNNNNNNNCAUGGAUAGGCAAGCUAAGGCCUGAGGGCCGGAUCCAGCCCAAUCGCCUUCUAAAUCCAACCCGCAGACAGUCUGGGAAUCAGUGCUUUUACAUGAGUAGAAUGUGUCCUUUUAUUUAAAAUGCAUCUCGGGGUUAUUUGUGGGGCAUAGGAAUUCGUUCAUAUUUUUUCUUCAAAAUCUAGUCCAGCCCCCCACAAGGUCUGAGGGACAGUGGACCGGCCCACGGCUGAAAAAGUUUGCUGACCCUUGAUCUAAUUCAACCCCCUGCAAUGCAGGAAUUUCAACAUGCAGUCUCCCAUCCAGUUUGAAACCAUGCCAGCCCCUGCUUAGCUUUGCAAAUGUUCUUAGUGGAAGUUAAAAGUUUGAUGUCAGAGAGCGUUCCCCCUUAGCUAUGAACUGGGAUCAGUGCUAGAUAGAAGGCACCAGAUGAGUGCAUCCUAAUUUUGGUCAGGAUAGACAUAAAAUCUCCCUCUAACCCUCUUGAUAGAAACCCGAUUCCUCCAUGUUUAUAGGGCGGCAUCGCUAAUCCCUUAAGGAGAUGAAUUUAUAGCUGGCUUCAGCUAUAAGCAGCCCUUUCCUCCCUCAGAAAUGGAAUUCCUUGUGAAACAUUUGUAUUUAUGUAAUACCCUAAUUCAAGCUGCUUACUUGUGGAUCAUGUUUGAUGGGAAAUUGUUGCUAAAUGGAGGGUGAUAACUUUCGGCCCUGAAGGUGGGAGUCAGAUGACAUGGCCCUUUUCCUGUACAGCUCCCUUAUUUGGGAUAACCAUGACUCUCAAAGGGAACCAUUCACAGUGGGAUCAGGUGUUAAACAGGGUUGUGUUAUUGCCCCAACUCUACUCAUUAUUUUCAUUGCAAAGAUCCUACACUUUGUUGAAGGGAAACUCCCCACCGGAGUAGAAAUCAUAUAUGGAACAGAUGGAAAGCUCUUCAAUCUGAGCAGGCUGAAAGCAAGGAGGAAGGUUACCGUAACUUCCUCCAUAAAGCUUCAGUAUGCUGAUGACAACGUAGUGUGCGCGCCCUCAGAGGAUGACCUCCAAACCAUCCUAAAUAUCUUUGCAGAAGCUUAUGAAAAGCUUGGCCUAUUGCUCAAUCUAUGCUUGUGAAACAUGGACCACUUCUAAACGCCAUCUCCAACUCCUCGAAAGAUUCCAUCAGCGGUGUCUCCAAAAAAUUUUACACAUCACUUGGGAAGACAGGCAAACUAAUGCCAGUGUACUGGAAGAAGCAAAGAUCACCAGUGUUGAAGCAAUGAUUCUUCAACAUCAACAUUGCUGGACUGGUCAUGUUGUGCAGAUGCCUGAUGAUUGUCUUCCAAAGCUACUCUAUUCUGAACUUAAAAAUGGAAAGCGUAAUGCUGGUGGUAAUAAAAGAGGCUUAAAAACUGUCUCAAGGCAAAUCUUAAAAAUGUAGUAUAAACACUGACAACUGGGAAACACUGGCCUGCAAGUGCUCCAAUUAGAGAACAGCCUUUCCCAAAGGUGUCAUGGGCUUUGAAGAAACUUGAACUCAGGACGAAAGGGUGAAACAUGCUAAGAGGAAGGCACGCUUGGCAAAUCCACACCGUGAUAAACUCCCGCCCGGAAACCAAUGUCCCCGCUGUGGAAGAACGUGUGGAUCCAGAAUUGGCCUUCACAGUCACUUACGGACUCAUUGUUAAAACCGUGUUUAUGGAAGACACUCUUACUCGGCUACGAGGGAUCGCCAAAGAGGAAAGGAUGGCUGAGCAACGGUGAUUGUGGGGUGAAGAUGAACAGAGGAAUAGACGUCUUGGUGGGUGUUGCUCUCAAGGCUGUUGUAGGGUGGGCAGCUGCUGUUUUCUAAUAAUAUUCAGACCUUGGAGCUGCAAGUGGGGACUCCAUUGCUCCCCUAUUUUGCUGUUUAAAUCUUGGAAGUGGAGAGCAAUAUUCCCCAUUGUUGCCAUUGUGGUGCAAGAGGAUGCCUGCGAAAUUAACGGGUCUGUGAGAUCAAACCAGCCAAUUAUUUUAUUUUAAGAAUCCCUGCUGAUACCAAAGUGUGGUACUAACACAGAGCUUUGAAUAUGCUCCACAGAUUGUGGACAAGGUUUGAUGGAGGGCUGGACACGGCUUCCUUUUAUUUUAUUGCCUCCGCUUUGGAUGGUACAUCGCUUCCUUUAAAAUAGACUUUCAAAGGCAGGUACUCUUAAGACAGUUAUCUUAAAAGACUGGAUCCCCCAUCCUCCCUUGAGAAGGGAUCUCUGAUCAUGCAGUGCCUUUACUAAAUGUGCCUCCAGGAAUCUCAUAAACUUUUCUUUACUCGUUCAUAAAUGGUGCAGACAACCAUUUUUUGCUCAGGGCACAGCAAAGUCUCGUUUUGCACUUUCAGGUGAAUUUAAAAGUGAAUAAGAUACUGCGGGCAAUUAAUUUUUGUACAGUGUGCAUCGCAAGGUUCUGCAUAAGCUCUGAAUUUUGGACAGCUACUAUUUGCGCAAAAUCUAAACUGGUGAGGAAAGGCAUUAAGGUGAAUUAAAAGUGGGUGGAGGCCUAACGUAGAAUGUAAGCGGUAUGCCUGUUCUUAAUUCAGCUAAUACUAAAUGGAAACAUUAAUGCUUUUCUGUAUGACAGUGAGGUUUUUUAUGCUAUGGCAGCCCAGAUACUGUGAGCCCAAAGAUGGAAAGAGGAAACAGAUUGGCAGACCAAAUUAAGGGACUAUGCUGAAGUGGCAAAAUUAACUGGAAAGCUCAGAUAUCAAGAUGACAAUAAAUUUAAAAAAACAAUGGGAAAUGUUUACUAGGGAUUUGCAAAAGUAUUGUAAGCAGGUUAAUACAUUGGCAGGAUUUUAAGAACGCUUGUAAUUUUACAGAUAAUACAGGAAAUUUGAAUCAAAAAUUAAUUUAGAAUAGAAAUAAUUGCAGUUGAAAAGGAAAUUUAAGGAACAGGGGAGGAGUCAUGGGAUUCGGAGAAUCCCAUUUUAUGUAUUUGAUACUGUUUUUGUGAAUAUUUUUCUUUGUUGUAGUUGUAGUUAUGGGUUUUUUAUUUUUGUUUUUGUUACUUUUGUUGAAAACUUAAUAAACAAUUUUUUUUAAAAAAGAGUAACAUUUUGUGCGGCUCAGAUUUUGAAAGAGGGAUGCUUCUGAGACCUGGAAUGCAAUGGGUCCUUGUGAUAAGAGCUGUACUUUCCGUUCCCUUAGAUUUGCUUCCCCUAUCUUUGGCUACAAUGAGUUCUGUGCUUCCUUGUGUUCAUGCGAGAUUUAUUUCUUCUGCGCCGUGUUUUCAUCUUAUGCGCCCUGUGCUGAAAAGCCAAUAAAAAUUAUUUUUUAAAAGAAGCAAACUUCUGAGCUUCUUUCAUCGGUGCACCUUUCAGCUGUGCCUGCCAACAAAACCCAUUUCUCUCUUUUACGGCGUGUGUAUUGCUCCAAUCUUACCGACCAUUUUACAGAUCCGUGGGGACUCGAUGCAGCUUGCAACAUUCGCCACCCCACCUCCUGUCAGUGUUGAUAGAAGACAAAUAUAUGUGUAUAUUCGAUGCUUCCUGGAGCAGGAGAUCUGUCUCAAAAGAUUCAUCUACCAACCCCUCUUCCAUGCCCUGCAAGAUCCCUUCCAGUCGGAAAUAACCAGCUCUCAACUCUCUGCUGUGAGCUUUCUCCUUUCGUUAAGCAAACUCAUUUCUCGUCAGCCUUCUCAAUCUUCACAAGCCUACAGGCAAGCAGCACCUGGGAAUGCUAUUCUGCAAAACACUGGGAAACUGCACCAAGGCAGCACACUCUGGAGCAGGGCAGACAAUGAUAAUGAUAAUAUUAAUAAUAAUAAUAACAACAACAACAACAACAACAACAACAACAACAACAGCAACAGCAACAACUAAUAAUAAUAAUAAUAAUAAUAAUAAUAAUAAUAAUGUUGUUUAGUCGUUUAGUCGUGUCCGACUCUUCGUGACCCCCUGGACCAGAGCACGCCAGGCACUCCUGUCUUCCACUGCCUCCCACAGUUUGGUCAAACUCAUGCUGGUAACUUCGAGAACACUGUCCCACGAUCUUGUCCUCCGUCGUCCCCUUCUCCUUGCGCCCUCCAUCUUUCCCAACAUCAGGGUCUUUUCCAGGGAGUCUUCUCUUCUCAUGAGGUGACCAAAGUCUUGGAGCCUCAGCUUCAGGAUCUGUCCUUCCAGUGAGCACUCAGGGCUGAUUUCCUUCAGAAUGGAGAGGUUUGAUCUUCUUGCAGUCCAUGGGACUCUUAAGAGUCUCCUCCAGCAUCGUAAUUCAAAAGCAUCAAUUCUUCGGCGAUCAGCCUUCUUUAUGGUCCAGCUCUCACUUCCAUACAUCACUUCUGGGAAACCUAUAGCUUUUACUAUACGGACCUUUGUUGGCAAGGUGAUGUCUCUGCUUUUUAGGAUGCUGUCUAGGUUUGUCAUCGCCUUUCUCCCAAGAAGCAGUUGUCUUUUAAUUUCAUGGCUGCUGUCACCAUCUGCAGUGAUCAUGGAGCCGAAGAAAGUAAAAUCUCUCACUGCCUCCAUUUCUUCCCCUUCUAUUUGCCAGGAAGUGAUGGGCCCAGUGGCCAUGAUCUUUGUUUUUUAAUAAUAAUAAUAAUAAUAAUAAUAAUAAUAAUAAUAAUAAUAUUUAUUACUUAUACCAUACCCAUCUGGCUGGGGCCUCCCUAGCCACUCUGGGUGACUCCCAACAGAAUAUUAAAAACACAAUAAAUAUAUCAAACACUGAAAACUUCCCUAAACAGGACUGCCUUCAGAUGUUUUCUAAAAGUCAGGUGGUUGUUUAUUUCCUUGACAUCUGAUGGGAGGGCACCACCACCGAGAAGGCUCUCUGCCUGGUUCCUAAUGGUCGCCUCAGCUCAAAAAGGAUAUUGGAAAAGUUUCAGUAAAUGAUCAAGAGGAUGGAGGGGCUCCCCUGUCAAUAAAGGUUUCAGCGUUUGGGACUUUUUAGUUUAGAGAACAGGCAAGUCAGAGGCAACAUGACGGGAGUUUGUAACAUUAUGGAGAAAGUGGGUAAAUUCUUGUAGAUUGAAUUUUCAUGUAACCCACACUAUUGCAUAAGCUGGUGGGACCAUUUGUCGGCAUGCCUCCUUAUCCAUAUACAAUAUGAAAUCAAAUCAUACUGGGGGAAAACACACACAACCCUCUGCCCCCCCUUUUUUUACUAGACACUCGCUGAGACUUUUUAUAGUUAUGCUGUCUGUCUCCACCCAGGCUCUCAGCUUCUGCAUUUGUAAAUAAACCCAAAUAUUACCAUUCUCUCACACCCUGAAGUCUUCUGUCAUUUAGAAGGAAAAUGCAGGUGGUCACCGCUACUGAAGCUGGGCAUGUGCAGCAGUUGGCAAACCUCAGAAAAGGCACCUUUAUGAGACUCUGACAGAAGACUGAAAUAACUUAAUUGCAGUGAGUUGGAAUUUCUGCAAAACCCAUGAUCAGCAAGGCUAGUGUCACACAAGCAAGAGUGCAGCCUGACCACAAAACGGGUAAGAAGCCAUUAAGGAGGAACCUAACAACUGUCGUUUAAAGUGAAAAACAAUGCCAGAUAAAGUACAAGGAAGGUUCUAAUAGAUACUGUGAAAAAGGAUUGAGUAAAAGUUGGAUGAAGAAAUGGUGAGGUUCUGGGGCAGCAAAAGGUGAAUGGGUUAGAAGACAAAAGAGCUAAGAUUAUGCACAUUUUGCCUAUAAAUUGUGUCCUGGUGGAAAGCUCUUGCAGACUCUCUGAACUCUGUCCAGUUCUGCAUAACUGAAUACAUUCUGACCGACUGGGAAUUUGACAUGAGCCUCUGCACUUUCCCAAUAACAGCUUAAAGGAAAAUACAGUCUUAAACAAGCACAGAAACACAAAGUUGCAGCCCCAGUUAAAAUGCCAACCGGCUCUGAUCAAUCAACCCAGAAUGCAAUACUUGGAAAGACAGGAGAACUAAUGCCAGUGUACUGGAAGAAGCAAAGAUCACCAGUGUUGAAGCAAUGAUUUUUCAACAUCAACUUCGUUGGACUGGCCAUUUUGUGCGGAUGCCUGAUGAUCGUCUUCCAAAGUAACUACUCUAUUCCGAACUUAAAAAUGGAAAGCGUAAUGCUGGUAGUCAACAAAAUAGGUUUAAAGACUCUUUCAAGGCAAAUCUAAAAAACACCAGCAAUUGGGAAACACUGGCCUGCGAGCGCUCCAGUUGGAGAACACCCUUUACCAAAGGUGUCAUGGGCUUUGAAGACACUCGAACUCAGGACGCAAGGGAGACACGUGCUAAGAGGAAGGCACACUUGGCAAAUCCACACCGUGAUCAACUCCCGCCCAACGUCCCCACUGUGGAAGGACAUGUGGGUCCAGAAUUGGCCUCCACAGUUGUUAGGAGUCAUUCUGCAAAGAAACAGAAAAGAUGAUUGUAACUUUAAGAACUGUUUCUGUGAGUGGUUUUCUAAGCUGAUUAGGUACAGCUGGUGAUGAGUACAAAAGGAGGAGAAGUUGCAGUUUGAAUUUGCCUGCAGAGAGAGAACACCCACAUGCUUUGUGUUUGUUGUUUUUGUAUAGCUGUAAUAAAACCUUUGUUUUGAGUGUUUUACACCAGUCUCGUGGUCUCUUGGUUCUGUUGUCUACCAUCAGAAGAAAAAACCCCUCUAACAACAGUCACUUACAGACUCAUUGCUUAAACCAUGUUUAUGGAAGACAAUCUUACUCGACUACGAGGGAUCGCCAAAGAAGAAGAUAAAGCUUCCCACAAGAGGAAAUUUGUGUUCUUGUGUUAUCUUAUGCAGAAGAAUGUUCAGGUGGGCUUUGACCUAAAUGUUUUCUUCGUAAAAAUCUACCAUACCGAUUAAAGCUUGCAACCCUCCUUAAAGCUCAUCCAUGUUCCACCGGCCUCUGGAGAAUCCUACUGACUUAGCAGCCAGGGCUGAGGGACCCAUCAGCAGUCAGACACAGCUGCUAGGGCAUGUCUUGGGGAAACGGGAAAGGCUUGGGAAGAGUGUCAUCCCUUGAAUUCUCUCUCUCUCUCUGGGCUCAUUUAGGAUGCAAGGAGGGAGCAAAUGAUUCUGCUCCUUAACAAGACAGAUAUUUGUUUUUUUAUGGAAGGGAACUGUCUAAUGUGAGGAGGAGAGGUUUAAAUAUUCAUCAGCUCCCUGUGCAAAGAACUCCAUUUGCAGGGAAGGCAAACCUCUCUGGCAUUCGCUGAAUUUCAAACGAAGGCUUUAUUUAGAAGAGCUGUUUCCCCACCCUGCCGGAGCAAACAUCUUAUUACACUUACAGAGCUCAGACAACGGAAAUUGAGUCCCCUUGCUUGCUCUGAAGAGAUUCACAUUAUGAAUAGUGCUGGGUCCUUAGAAGCCUGCUUUCGUUGUGGGCAAAUGCAAGCAGACUUCUCCAAGUUUGGUGCCAUCUGUGCCUGCGCCAGGACUUAUGAACGUAGGGUGCCAACACAGGCCUACUGGCUGGAGCUGAUGCCAGCUGAAAUGUUGGCUUUCCUACUGGAGGCUACAGGAAAUGUGAUGUCAGGAUUGCUAUGAAGGCAAAGGACUCGAAUUUGGAGGUGUUAAAAAAAAAUUAAGGUCUUAUGUACGUAUAUAGUGGUACCUCGGGUUAAGAACUUAAUUUGUUCUGGAGGUCCGUUUUUAACCUGAAACUGUUCUUAACCUGAGGUACCACUUUAGCUAAUGGGGCCUCCUGCUGCUGCUGCGUGAUUUCUGUUCUCAUCCUGAAGUAAAAUUCUUAACCUGAAGGUACUAUUUCUGGGUUAGCGGAGACUGUAACCUGAAGCGUCUGUAACCUGAAGCGUCUGUAACCCGAGGUACCACUGUAUAAUAGAUGUUCAUAAAUGUACCAAGCAAACACAUACAAAUAUGUAAACCACAUGUCUGAAACCCACAGAAAAGUCCUGAAACCAUUUUCUCUCUCCCAAAAUGACCUCAAAUAUUUCUCUGCAAGGUCGAAGGAAAUGGGAAAUCUCCCUAUUGUCUCUUUCACAAAUCUGUCUUAAGGGCACAUUUAAGAUAUGUAUAGCAGAGACACCACCUUGUCAACAAAGGUCCGUAUAGUUGAAGCUAUGGUUUUCCCAGUCGUGAUGUAUGGAAAUGAAAGCUGGACCAUAAAGAAGGCUGAUCGCCGAAGAAUGGAUGCUUUUGAAUUCUGGUGCUGGAGGAGAUUCUUGAGAGUCCCAUGGACUGCAAGAAGAUCCAACCGAUCCAUUCUUAAGAAAAUCAGCCCUGAGUGCUCACUGGAAGGACAGAUCCUGAAGCAGAGGCUCCAAUACUUUGGCCACCUCAUGAGAAGAGAAGACUCCCUGGAAAAGACCCUGAUGUUGGGAAAGAUGGAGGGCACAAGGAGAAGGGGACGACAGAGGACGAGACGGUGGGACAAUGUCAUCGAAGCUACCAGCAUGAGUUUGACCAAACUGCGGGAGGCAGUGGAAGACAGGAGUGCCUGGCGUGCUCUGGUCCAGGGGGUCACGAAGAGGCGGAGACGACUAAACGACUAAACAACAACAACAUACAGUCAUACCUCAUGUUACGUCUGCUACAUGUUACAUUCUUUCAGGUUACGUCCCACGGCGACCCAGAAGUACCAGAAAGGGUUACUUCCGGGUUUCACCGCUCGCGCAUGCACAGAAGCGCAAAAUGAUGUCAUGUGCAUGCACAGAAGCAGAGAAUUGCAACCCGCGCAUGUGCAGAUGCACCGCUGUGGGUUGUGCUCUUUUCAUGUUGUGAACGGGCCUCUGGAACAGAUCCCGUUCGCAACCAGAGGUACCACUGCAGGGUGUGAGCCUGUGACCUGUGACCUGGAUUCAGGAAUUGUGUAACAAAAGAGUGGCCAGGAUGCCCAGGUAAUCCAAUCAGGUAACCUGGCAGACAGGAAGAAACAACACACCCAGAUUUACACCCCUUCUGUGAUGUAUGUAUGACGUUUCUGGGGGGUGGUCUUGAGCUACAGGGUGGGCAAUUUCAAAGUCUAUAUAAGGGCUUGCACACCUUUGUCCUAGGUCCUCCUCCUCUCUCCUGCGUGUGAGGGGAGCACCCGGUUGCAACAGCUUUAAUAAAGAUCAGGCUUAUAGCCGCUUUGCUUUUGUAUAUCCUGGUCUGGUCUCUUUCCCGACCGGUUUGAGCCUUAAAAGGUACGCUCUCUCCGAAGGUCCUGUCUUCCUUAAGAAGAUGAACCCCUUGAAGGGACCCCAUUUUUAUUCUUAUUUCAGAGGUUACAGUGUGUGCUGUGUCAAGCAAUACUUUAUCUGUCCUGAAUCUCCCACAGGGAAGGUAGUGUCUCCUGGCAGUUAGCUGUGGGUGUGGAGGAAAUAUACAGGUUGCUGGCCCUCCCUGCCUCCGGAGUUCCAUAGUUUAACUACGUGCUGGAUCAAUCCCAGCCCUCCUGCAUCAUGUCUAGUUUGGCUCCCCGUUGCAGACACUUCAUGCUCAUUCAUCCGGUAAUGACACUAAGGACCACGGGGUGAAAAUACCCAUUUGGACACAGGUAGACAAACCCACAUUAAAUCUCCUUCGAAAAGGACUAACUGGCAAACUGGUUCCUUCAUCACUUUUAAACACUUCUCUGUGCGUCCGCUACAACUGAGGAUGGACUUAGAGAGCCAUUGAAGCAAAUGCAAUCGAUAUUCAAUUUCGCCAAGAUAAUGCAACAAUAACAUAACCGAGAAGCAUUUAUCAGAAACCCAAACAACAUUAACAAACAGAAAAGCAGGGGCCCAGGUUUAAAGAGGCGUCGCACCGCUGAAUGCCAAUGUCAAGCUGCUGCGAAAGUUAACACCCCAUUGUUCCGGCCAGGUUGUGUUAGCAACUAGGUAACAGAGGUCUUGGCAUCAUAUUUUGCCUUCUUUGCAGGCAACGGUGGAAAGAUGAGAUGGAAACAACACUUUUGUGGAACUUGCAGUUUGACCAUCAUUUGCGGAUGUUAAAGACAGUUAGUGUGCAUCUGUUGGAGCAGUGAAUUGGUCUUUGUUAUAAGAAAAAACUGCUCCUUUUUACCUUAUGGGGUACCCAAGAGCCCAUAUAGAGUCCUUAUGUAGGUUCUCUGUGGGUAGGAGAAAAUAACAGAGGCCAAGCAGAGAAUAUUGAGAAGCAAAGCCGCUAGUAAGCCUGAUCUUUAUUGAUCUGUUGCAACAGGGUCCCCACUCACCCCACCCAGGGAGGGAGGAGAGAACCCAGAACAAUUGUGCCCAAGUUCUUAUAUGGACAUUUGAAAUUGCCUCCCCUGUAGCUCAGGACCACCCCCAAAAAACAUCAUACAUACAUCACAGAAAGAGGUGGUCCCCAGCAGAAAUUAGAGUGUGUUGCUUCUCUCCUGUUUGCCAGAAUACCUGAUCAUGCCUUAUCUGAUUGCCUUUUCUGGGUAGCCUGGCCAUUCCUUUGAGGUGGUAAAUCCUUAGUUCCUGAAUCAUAUAUGCAUAUUGAGAGUGUGCUCAGCUUAACAGAUACUUGCCAGACUGUAUUUGCAGGGCAGUAUUAGCACCUACAAUAGGAAGCUUUUCCCAUUUCCUUCCUCCUUGCAGAGAAAAAUAAUUGAGGUCAAUUUGGGAGAGUCAAAUGGCUUCAGGAUUGUUCUCCUGUACUAUUUCAGACACGUGGCUUAUAUACCUAUGUAUGUGUUUGCCUUGUACCUUUAUGAACAUUUAUUUUUUAUAUAUAAGACCUUAGAAUUCCUGUAACAGUCUUCAAUGCCUCUGUUCAUUCUUGCUUCUAAAACCCAGAUGUUGGAAGCAGAAAUGCGGCACCAAAGUGAAACAAAACUGCACCAACACACAAGAGUGGUGUGCUCAUUUGGGGGGCAGAAUUAUGCCGGUGAAACACAGUGCGAUAGCAAACUCCACCUCAAGCAAGAGAGAAAGGAGUUUCUCUCGCUCCCCCUCCGUUCUUUCUUUUGGAUUCUUCUUUUGAUAGCAGUGCCACCAAGAGUCUGCGAGCCAGACCAGUGAGACAUCAGAUCCGAGAGAGAGGCAGGGAGGGAGCGCAAAGGAGCUUUGCAAAAAGCAAAUCGCAAAGGGAGCCUUUUCCCUCUCUCAACUGAAGUCCAACAAAUGAAUUAGACUCUCCCCACCCCACCCAAUAUUUAUGGAGCCGCUGAGGCAGAAAGCAAAUCUCGGCUCAGAGGCCUACCUGAGGGUUACAUAACAAAAUUCAUUUGGGCAUCCAGUGAGUCAGCGCAGGAGGACUUUCCCAGAGCACUGCAAAGGACGCAGCAGCCUCUACCCCACAAAGGGAAGAGUUCAGAGGAGCCAGAUGCUGAACUGCAACAGUUUAAGGCUGCAGAUCAUGCACAGGAGACGGAUUCACCCUUUUCUAUUCUUUCCACUCUGGUUUAAUCUGUUACAGUGGACGCUCGGGUUGCAAACAUGAUCCGUGCGGGAGGCACGUUCACAACCCACAGUGUUCGCAACCCGCAGCGUCACAUCUGUGCCCGCGCGGGUUGUGAUUCAGCUCUUCUGCACAUGCGCAACCACCAAAAGGUUCUCGUCUGUAACCCGAGGUAUGACUGUAUAAGAAAAAACUGCUCCUUUUUCCCUUAGGGGUAUCCAAGAGCCCAUAUAGAGUCCUUAUGUGGGUUCUCUGUUGGUAGGAGAAAAUAACAGAGGCCAAGCAGAGAAUACUGAAAAGCAAAGCAGCUUGUAAGCCUGAUCUUUAUUGAACUGUUGCAACCGUUUCCCCAUUCCCCACAUGCAGGAGGGAGGAGGAACCCUGAACAAUGGCGUGCAGGCCCUUAUAUAGGCUUUUGAAAUUGCCACUCUGUAGCUCAAGGCCACCCCCCAAAACAUCAUACCUACAUCACAGAAGGAGGCAGACCUACAGCAGGAUCCUGUCUGGCAGGAAACCUGUUAAUGGGUUUACCUGGACAGCCUGACCAUUAUAAACAAUUAAUUCCUGAGUCCAGGUCACAGGCUCACCCUAUUCAUACCCAAAUGUGCCCUUAAAGGCAGGAUUUGUGAGCACAGAGACAAUGAGGAGGCUUUUCCCAUUUCCAUCCAAACUGCAGAGGAAUAUUUGAGGUCACUGAAAGAAUCAAAAUGGCUUUAGGACUGUUUUCCUGUACUGUUUCAGACAUGUGGUUUAUAUAUUUAUGUUUGUGUUUGCCUGGUACAGUUAUGAACAUUUAUUAUGUAUCUUAGAUUUUAUAAUUCUCAUAACAAUAGCAAUGUCUAUGGAGUGAAAGCAGCAUUGUGUGACUGUUUGAAGGAGAGAGACAGUUUCACAGCACUAUUGCUUUCCUCCAAAAAAUAAUAUUUUUUGUUAACGUUUUCUCCCUUGUCCUGGAAUGAACUCCAGAAAGAAAGGAAGCAAGAAAAUUCCUACAAAACAUGGUCUGGCAGGUUUUCAGGGCAGAGGGCAGCACAUCCAGACAGUUUCCAAAAUGAGAGCACUCUCUGCGUUCAGGAGCAAAGCAAUGCUCUUGGGGGGAGUUGCAGACAUUUGCUUGGGUUUGGGUCCCAGUUCCAGGGGACAGGAUGGACCCCUAAGGAGUGGGGAAUCAUAGAAUCCUAGAGUUGGAAGAGACCACAAGGGCCAUCGAGUCCAACCCCCUGCCAAGCAGGAAACACCAUCAGAGCACUCCUGACAUAUGGUUGUCAAGCCUCUGCUUAAAGACCUCCAAAGAAGGAGACUCCAAAGAAGGAGGGAGUGGGAUUCUUCUAGCGAAUGGCCCUGGAAGAAACCCUGACUACAUUUUCAGCGGAAGGCAAUAAUGCAAAGUGACAGCAGGAAAAUACGGCUGGGUGAUUUUAGGUUGGAAACAAGGCAAAGGCAGGGAGCACAGAUUAUUAACCUCCUGUGGGUGGGCGGGUGGAAUUCUCCAAUUUCUUGAUAAGGCAAGUCACACUCGGGGGCAUUUCAGGAGAAACUCACAAGUCCAAAAGCAAAAGGCAAGUCACAUUUCCAGGAGAGAAUUCCUGGGUUCGUGGUUGGAGACAGGAUGGAGAGAAGAAUGGACUGCUGGAGGACACACCUUUGUUAUAGGUUUAAUCAUUUAUAUGGCAUCUUUGGGCCAAAAAGUUAUGGCACCCCCAGGUAGCACACAAAUUUUAUAAAAGCAAACACACCCAUGCAAACACAUUAAAAAUCUUACCAUUUCAAAUUGUUAACAGAGAAAUCUGAGGGCUCCCUUGGACAAAAAACAAGGACACCAGCCAGGAAUACCAGAGCAAAACAGCAGCCAGUAGGCUUGGUCUUUAUUGAAGACUGUCACAACAGGACUCCCACCUGCCACCAGGUGAAACAAGAUGGAAGCCCAGAACAACAGAAGACCCCAACUUUUAUUAGCUACUAAUCCCCCAAGCUACACCCCUAGAACUACAUCACAACUACAUCACAAAAAGGAGGGGUUGAGGGAGGCGUUGUGGCGGUAACCUGAGUGUCCUGUCACCUGGCUGGUUCCUCCUUUCCCCCUCCCCAUGAGUACUUUCCAGAGGACAAAGGGGAGUUGGCAGUUUCCUGCCCCCAGAGGGAAGAUCUGAUUAUUGUCCUUUGUUCCAGUCCGUGUUGAAUCCACUCCCAUAUGCAAGUCCUUUGUGAUCUUGAUGGUCUUCUGUCUGGGACCAUCAGGGUUGGCAUAGCAACUGGGCAGGGCUCCUGUGGAUGUGCUGGUAUGCUGAAGGGAUUAUGACUGCCCUGUAUCAAACCUUCCCUAUUUUGUAGUCCUUCCUUCAUGGAGUAAAAUAAAAGUGGAAUGGUGCAGAUCCGAUGUAGGUGUUUUUUUCUAGGAAUUUAAAACAGAAGCGUAGCAUAUGUAGUGUGUGUGAGUGUGUGUGAAGUUUGUACAAACUGAAUGAUUGGGGGGGGGCGGGCUUCCUGCGACAAAAUCAAACUUUGAAAGGCUGAUAUUGUGGGAUCAAGUUCAUGAAUUUUGCUGAAUUAGACUAAAUAGUUUUAAUUGGAUUUUGAAUCAAGUUGUCAUUAAUUGUUCCUGAAUUUCCCUUUGAAUUGUGCUGUUGUCUUCCUUAGUGAGACUUGAAACCCACUAUUUUGAAUAAUGCUUCUUAUGCAGUAGGGGGCACUGGGGUUGAGCUUAUGGAACCAAGGGGGCAGAAACCAUACACUGGUUUGGGGAUUUUUUUUUGCUCCUGCAUUUAGAAAGAAAGAAAAAAGAAAACACACACACAGGAGGCCAAAAGAAAGAACAGCUCGGACAAAACACAUCAAAGAUGGCACCCAAGAAGGAAGUCACCCACGUUCUUGCAGUUCUGGGUCUGGUGACCAGAUGGGCAGCUUCUGCAGUCAAGGGCUGCAGAAUGGGCGCUUUAAGACUUACAUCUCAGGAUGUCUGCAAUUGUCACUUAAUGGAGGGCCUCAGAAGGUGGCAAGCUCCCCUUUGUUAAGGAAACAAUUCCGGGGUGAGAGACUACUCAAGAGCCUAGCUCAACGGGGUGCAAGUCCCCCGUGGGUCCAUAAAGUCAGUAAAAGAAGGAAGGUCCAGCCAAGUAAUUUGGAGCAAAACAGCGGUCAGUAGACCACGAUCCUUAUUGUUGAGCAACAGGUCCCCCCAGGAGUAAGAACCCCGAGCAGGGGGCGUGUUGUAAACAAAAAAAAUGCCCUUUUCCCUUAUGGGGUAUCCAAGAGCCUAUAUAGAGUCCUUUUUUCCCCCUCAAAUGAUAUUUAUUAAAGUUUCCGAUAAAAAAGACACAUCAGUAAAAAAGAAUUUAAAAGUAAAAAGAAAAAUACACAAUACAAAAAUAGACAAUACAAAAUACAAAAAAAAAGACAAAAGAAAAAAACAGUUAAAAACAAUACCAUCUUUUCAUCACCACUUUUGAAUUUACUUAUUUUCUGGACCUCCUCAUACCUCCUCUCUUUGUAUUCCAGUUCAAUUUGUUUGUCCAGCAAUUUCUUUCCUCUUUUUAAAUCCCAAUUCUUAAUCUUAAUAUGGUAUAACAUUAAAUUCUUAUCUAUUAAUAGCCAGUUUUCCGUUCUUUUAACCUUUUAUGCCUAAUCCUUAAUCUUGGUCUGUAUAUAACUUUAACGCCUGUGCAGCUAGAAACCACUUAAUUUCAAUCCAUCAUCACUCUAACAUUCUUUAAUUUUGCAAUGUUUCUGUAGGUAAUCUUUAAAUUUCUUCCAAUCUUCUUCCACCAACUCUUCUCCCUGGUCACGGAUUCUACCAGUCAUUUCCGCCAGUUCCAAGAGCCUAUAUAGAGUCCUUACAUAGGUUCCCUAUUGGUAGGAGAAGAUAACAGAGGCCAACCAGAGAAUAUUGAGAAGCAAAGCAGCUAGUAAGCUUGAUCUUUAUUGAACUGUUGCAACAGGGUGCUCCCCUCGCACACAGGAGAGGAGGAAGAAUCCAGAAAAAUGGUGUGCAA
RNAcentral lists this long non-coding RNA (98879 nucleotides) under Podarcis lilfordi (Lilford's wall lizard). The record is from RNAcentral. Lineage: Eukaryota; Metazoa; Chordata; Lepidosauria; Squamata; Lacertidae.